AGUGCAGCUCAGAGCCCUUCCGGUUUACAGCCGCGGAAAAACAACUCGGACCAGAUCCGGGAGGGGAAUGGGGGCUGGGUGGCCAAAAUUCAGUCCAGAGGAUCGAAGCGGCUGCUUUAACAGAAGUUGGGGCUGCGUAACAACAGCUCCAAGCAAAGCUUCAGGCUGAUCGGAAAGAUGAGGAAGCAGAAAAGAGACUAAAGACAGACGGACAGGAUGGCUGGGGACAACGACAGGGACCCAGUGAAAAUACGGGCAAUACCGAGGGCUGUAACCCUAACACGGGCAAAUUUGGAGGGGCUAACAUGGGCGGAAACCAUCCGUACCAGUCACCACCACUGUCUCCAGCUGUCCCAGAACCGGACUCUUCCUGCCAUCAAAAUGGCGGCGGCGACGGCAGCGGUGGUAGCACCUACGCUGGCGGUGAGCAGGCAAAGGAAGUUGCUUCCGAGCGCGUCGAAACGAUGAUGCGCACGCGCAAAGUAGGCCUACGUGGAGCCGACCUGCCAUUGGGUAAACGCAAGGGAGGAGAAAAGGUGGGGCAGGGGUGAUUUGGGUGGAUGGAUAGGAGGGCUUCCGACCUGCGUUAGGCGGGUCAGUUAAUCUUCAGUAACUCCUUGAUGCGUUUGAUAGUCCUCCCAACUUAAGCCUUCCUUACUGCCUCCAGGAGAUACAGUCUUCUGUUCUUUUUGUCAUAGUUGUUUAUUUUUCAUGAAUCGCUGUUUUUGAGCAUAGGGCACUUACCUCUUUCUGUGUCCCCAGCCCUACCACAGUGCCAGGCUCUCAAUAUGCUCGAUAAAUAUUAGGCGAUUGAUUUGUAAAUCGUGUAUCAUUUUCAUGUAUCUAAUACUUUUUUAAAAAUUGAUUAAAGCCCAUAAGCCCAUAUUUUAUUCCAGAUGUCCUUAGUUUUCGACCUGGUAUUCUUUUCCAUUCCAGGAUCCUGUCCGGAGUACAUCACCAUGUCUUCCAGGCUCCUCUGGACCGUGACCGUUUCUCAAACUUUCCUUGUUUUUGAUAACCUUAAUAGUUUUGAAGCGACUUAUUGGUCAUUUGGUCAAAUGUCCUUCAAUUGGGUUUUGCCUGUAUUUUUCUCAUGCAUUAACUGAGGUUAUGGGUUUUUCUUGAGUUAAGAGGUAAGGUAAAGUGAUCUUCUCAUCACAUCACAUCAAGGGUAUAUACUAUCAACAUGACUUAUUACUGUUGAUGCUAACCUUUAUCACCAUUAUUACAGUGUCAUACAGAAAAGUUUUAUAGUUCUACAAAGAUCCCCUUUGUUUCAUCUAGUAAGCCCUUCCACCUCCCUAUGUAGGGUUUGUCAGGUUUCUCCACUGUGAAGUUACUGUUUUUCUUUUCCUCUCCAUACUAUACUAUUUGGAAGGACAUCUCUCUGUGCAGCCCAAACUAUAGGAAUGGGAAAUUGUUAUACUCCACCUUUAUGAGGACAGAAUAUCUUCAUGAAUUAUUUGGAAUUCUUCUGCAUGGGAGAUUUGUCUGUACUGCAUUUAUUUAUGUAUUCAAUCAUUUAUGUCAGUAUGGACUCAUGGAUAUUUAUUUUACAUUUUGGGUUAUAAUCCAAUACUACUUUAUUUUGUUGUUCAUAUUGGUUCCAGCUUUGGCUAUUGAGAUUUCCUUUAGUUGGCAUUUGUGUCUUUUUGACAAACCCUCCUCGUUUUAUGUUUAUUGAUUUUUUUUCUUGAGCAUUUUCUUAAUUUCUAUAAGUUGCUCCAGGCUCAUCUUGUAUAUUCCCUGCCCCAAUCCUAGAAUCAGCUGCUUCCCCAAAAAGCCAAGGGUACUUUUAAUGGAAAAUGAUAUUAGAAAUCAAGAUUUGGACAUUUGGGAUGUUGUUGCUUCUAGACACUCUCAGCUGACAGAGCAAGGAAAUAUUUGUGGAUAUGCUAACCUGACUAAAUACGCAUAUCUGUAAGUAUUUAUAUAUGUAUCCAUCUGUAUCUUUGACAGCUACACAGGCGUUCUAGGUUCAAAUACUAGAGCUGUUAUCUUCAGUUCAAUUCCAGCACCAUAUGGAUCAUUGCAGCCUUCUCCCCUUGCUUGUCUGUAGCCUUCCACUCCAGUGUGAGACACCUGGCUCUCAUCAUCUGCCAUCCAUUUACCUAAUUGUUCAAUUCCAGGUUACGUGUAUAAUGGAUUCAGAACCGUCAACCCGUAUUCAGAGUACAUGUAUAGUUGUUUCUGAACUGUUAUCAGGUAUACCUGUGAGAAACAGAUUUACCAAUUAGAGUACAAUGCUUAUGUAUAGUUCUUUUGCUUUUAAUCUUAUAGAUUCCACUUAUUUUCAAAGUUACUGAAGUCAGCAGCCCUCCCUCCUACCUCUACCCGGCCUCAGUGAAGUUAUUUUAUAUGCUCGUAAUACAGUUGUAAUCUUUUGCCACAAUCUGCAUUACUCCUGGGAUUCUUUGAGUUCCUAAGAUUUUUUAAAAAAUCUUCCUCCGUUUAGGUUCUGUUUGUGCAAUCCUCAUAAUGCACAUUUAUUUUUUUCUUUUCCUGUACAUAAUAGCAGACAGCUGGUCAGUAGUGGGAUAGAAGUAAAAAUUUUUUUAACUUCAAAUUUUCUUUCUAUGGGGUUUGACAAAUCCAUACAUAGUGUCAUGGAUCCACCAUUAUUAGAGUGUCAUACAGAAAAGUUGUAGUUCUAAAAAGAUCCCCUUUGUUUCAUCUAGUAUUAAACCCUCCCACCUUCCUAUACCUCUAGCAACCACUGAUGUGUUUACCAUCUCUAUAAUUUUGACUUUUCCAGAAUGACAUAGAAAUGGAAUAAUACAGCAUGUAGCAUUUUCAGACUCAUUUUCUUCACAUAGUAAUAGCUGCAUUUAAGAUUCAUCCAUGUUUUUGUGUGGCAUAACAGUUCAUUCCUGUCUUUUUAUGGAUUCUUUUUUAAGACAGGGUCUGAUAGCUCUGUUGCCCAGGCUGCAGUCCAGUGGCACGAUCAUAGCUCACUGUAACCUCAAAUUCCUGGGCUCAAGCAAUCCUCCUGCCUCAGCUUCCCACGUAGCUGGGACUACAGGUGCACACCAUCAUGCUUCACUAAUUGUAAAAACUUUUUUGUAGAGAAGGGGGCCUCAAACUUCUGGCCUCAAGGGAUCCUCCCACGUCAGCUCACAAAGCAUUAGUAUUACAGGUAUGAGCCUCCAGGCCUGGUCUUUAUUUCUGUCUUUUUGAUCCCUGAAUAGUAUUCUAAUGUAUAGAUGUACCACCAUUUAUACUUAUUAAAGAACAUUGUGAUUCUUCCAGUUUUUGACAAUUGUGAAUAAAGCUGGUAUUAAGUAUUUAAGUGCAGGUUUUUCUGUGAACAUGUUUCAAGUCAGUUGAGUAAAUAUCUAGAAGCACAAUUGCUGGCAAUUGUAUUUUUAUAAGAUAUGUGAAAAUAGUUCUGCUAGGUUAUUUGAGCAUCUUCCCCACAAUCAUAUAUAUAGUUAAUUUAAGAAAUGCUCUUCUAUGUUGAUAACAUAGAGCAAACUUCAUUCCACUCCUGUCUGAUUACUACAAAUUGGUAAUGUCCAAAUUAGUAGGCUUUAUGAAUCACAGGCUGACACUCCUGCAGCUGUUCAAAUCAAUGAAUACUCAAUCGCAGAUAAAGGAGAGUAUCUUGGAAUGUCUUUGUUAAGGAUAUCCAGGGAAGAAAUUCUAGGACUUUCCUUGGAAACCAUCUGAUAUCUCAAAAAACCUUAACCUUAGGAAAUUAUCCCUGCCCCAGAAUUCUCAUGUUGUACAUUUAUUUCCUCUUUUCCUAUACAUAGUAGGAGACAGCUGGUCAGUAGUGGGAUGGAAGUCAAAAAUUUUGACUUCAAAUUGUGUUUUUCUUUAAUAGAUGCUUUUUUAUGCUGGGAAUUUGUUGCUCCAAAAGUGGGCCAAUUACUAAAGUCAUCAGACUCUCUUUCAAUUUCUGAGAUGUGAAAUUGAAAGAGAGCUGCAUAUUUUCUUACAGAAAAUGCUAGAUAUAAGGCACAACCAAGGAAGGGGUGGGAGCUCUCUUUCUCUGUUGUGACUUCGUGAUUCCUAGUUAAAGUCUGUGGGUGUCAAGUUGUUUAGUGAUGAAGAGAGCAGAAAAGUGCCAAAGAAGCUGGUGAUUUGAGACCUUUACUUUGCAAACAUUAGUGAUAGGAAACUAGAGUUGAGGAGAAAUUCUAAAUUUGAAGAGAGAAUUCUAGAUUAUCCUUCCAAACUAAGUAUGUCCAGGAGUUACCAGCCUGAAGACCUCUACCACCACUACUGAUGCUGUUCUAUAAAGGCAGAAUGUUGUAUGUAAUGGUACAGGUAUAGACUAACACCAUAUGGCCCUGAUUGGAUUCUUGAAUCUGACAUUUCUAGCUAAGUCAUUGUCUUAGUCUAUUUUAUAUUGUUAUAAAAUAACAACAUAAUCCCACAGACUGACUAAUUUAUAAAGAAAUUUAUUUAGGUCAUGGUUAUGGAGCUGGAAGUCCAAGAGUAUAUGCUAGAAUCUUCUGAGGGCCCGUGUGCUUCAUCAUCUUGUGGCCAGAAGAAAUGUAGGGGGUUGAGAACAUUUCAGGCAAAGGAAGCAAAAUGAAUAGAGGAAUAGAAUCCAAAAGACUGUGGGCAGUUUGAGAGAUCCACAGCUAGUUCAAGGAACUGAGUUGGAGGUAGAUGGGGAUCAGAUCAUAAUUGAUCUUCAGUGCAAUACUAAGGCGGAUGUAAUCCUGGAAGCAAUGAAAAGUAAGUGGGCAGAUUUAAGCAGUCAUGCCAUUAUCAGAUUUGUGUCUUGGGAAGAUCUUCUGGCUACAGCACAGAGAAUAGAUUGGAAGGGUGUUGGGCAGCAAUUGGAUCAAGCAGUUAGGAGACUCUUGUAGUAUCCAUGAGGAAGAACACAAAGAGCCUGAACUAAGGGAAGGGGAGCGUUAAGGAAUCAACAUGACAUAGCUAUCCAUGGGUUGCUGAUGAGGAAAAGAGGACAAGUUGAAUCUUCAACUUCUAAAUUUUUGAUUCAGGAUAUUUGGCGAAUGGGGUUCCUUUUACUGAGAUUGGGAAUCCAGUAAAAAGUGGAUAUUUGUAUAAUAUAUCCUACGUGGCAGGCACUUGGAUAGGCAUUUUUUCAAUAUCUAUUUUAAUCCUCAAUAAUGCAGAAAAUUGAGGUAUUAUUAUCUUCAUAUCAUAAAUGAAAAAAUGAAAGCAAAAAGAGGAAAUAUAUUACUGAAGCUUCUGGGGCUGGAUUUAAAUCUGAAUCUGUUUGGUUUAAAACUAGUAUUCCCUUUUUCAUAGGAUACUUCCUCCCAAGAGGAAAGCAAAUUUAAGGAGAAUGAUAAUAUGCUUAGUUUGAAUUUUGAAUUUUAAUUUAAGAUGCCUGAGAGCAUUCAUGUGGGUUUUUGUCCAAGAAGUCAUUUGAAAGGUCUAUUGCUCAAGAAAGUGGCUUGUCUGAGAGAUCAAGAUUUGAGAUUUUUUUUUUUUUGACAGAGUCUUGCUCUGACACCCAGGCUGGAGUGCACUGAGUGAUCUCUGCUCACUGCAACAUCUGCCUCCCAGGUUCAAGUGAUUCUUCUGCCUCAACUUCCUGAUUAUCUGGGAUUACAGGCAUGCGCCACCAUGCUGGGGCUAAUUUUUGUAUCUUUAGUAGAGACCGGUUUCACCAUGUUGGCCAAGCUGGUCUCAAACUCCUGACUUCAAGUGAUCUGCCAACCUUGGCCUCCCAAAGUGCUGAGAUUACAGGUGUGAGCCACCAUGCCCAGCCAAAAUUUGAGAGUUUUUAACAAAGAGUUAAAGCCAUUGGAACCCCUUGGACUGGAGUACAAUGAUGGGCUUUGCAGAGAGUGAAGAAGAUUUGUGAAAUUCCUGAAAAUGCAUGUAAAUUCCUGAAUAAUUAUAAGUAGGUUCUGUUUCCCCUUCAAGGGAGCUGAGCUUCUUUAGGUCUUUGAAGGAGUCUGUGCCUCUGAAAAGAUCAAGGGCCACUAGUGGAGAGUAUAAAAGAAAAAGGGCAAAAGUCAGAGCUCUAGGAAGUAUCAAUUAAAGGAGUAACCGAAGAAGAAAACUGGCAACAGAGACUGAAAAACUUUAGUCAGUGGGUAGACAAAAAUCAGGAGAAAGACAUAUUUUAAACAUCAUGAAGAUAAUUGCUCAAGAUUAUUAGAUGCUACGCAAUGGUCUUAUUAAGGACCAAAAAGAGAUCAUCAUAUUUGAUAGGCCAAUGGUGACUUUGCUGGAGGAAUUUCAGUGGAACAGUAAGAGAUGAAAUUUUGAUUACUGUGGUAUUCAAAGGAUGAAACAUAAACCUCUUGAGGACAGAGAUUUUUUUGUCUGUUCACUGUCUUAGGACUUCACUAUAUUCCUGCUACAGAGAGGUAAUCAAUAAAUAUUGUUGAAAGUUGAACAGAUGAAGAAGUGGUGGCAGUGACCAUUAAUAACAGCUUUUCUUUGUUGUUCUAUUUUCAGGCUCCAUACCUACCUAACAUCUAUCUUCUCAAGAACUCUGCCAGGGAAGGAGUAGUUUCUGUGUUUCAUAAACAGACUGAGACUCAAAGAGGCUAAGUAAACUACCUGAAGCCAUAUAUAGCAACACACAAUGACGGAUGUGAGAUUCAAACUUGGAUUUAUCUGGCUCCAAAAUUUCUAGUUUUUUUUUUUUUUUUUUUCCCACUACAGCAAAACUAAGGAGAAGAGACAGAGGUGAAUAGCUGUCUCUCAGUGGUUAUUCUGUUUUCCCUUAUCUACAUGUUUUCCUCCUUUCACUCUCUCUUGGUUUGUUCUUAUCCUUCAGAGGUAAAGAGGAGCCUUCAGAGAGCUAUAAAGGUUGAUCAAAGUACCAGAUUAUGAGAUUAUUUGGAGGCUAAUAUGUAAUCCUUGGGGUUUCCUUUCUCAUCUCACCCUUACAGCUGCCUGUAUUAAUGCUUUCUGAUUAACAUAUGGUCUCCUUUUUAUUCUAGAAAACACUAGAUCUGAAUAACAAAGGAUGCAUACUUAAGCAAACUAAGGCAUAUAUAGUUAUCACUAAAUGCUCAACCUGGAAAGAAUACUGGAUUGCAGUCUGCUUUUUCUGUAAAGACAAUAGUAUUAUAAAACCGAAAGAGACAACAGGGAAUAUUUCCCACUCAACUAAGCAUAUCUAAAAGCACAUUUGAAGUUUGGAGACAAUAUUCUGUGUUAUUUUAAGAAAAGAUUCUAUAGCAUUAUUACCUGGUGGUAAGAAAAUAACAUGUAAAAGAAAAGGUAAUAAGAAUAAAAAAAAUAAGUAAAAGUAUGUGAACAUGCUAGACCUGGUUAUACAACUCAACUGUUGAGAAUGCAUUUUUGAAGUUGCCUGCAUGGUUGCUGCAAGCGUUCUUCAGUAUUUAGUAUAUGAAGACAGGCAUAUGCUCUGGCCAUUUCCAGAAAAGCCAAGGCUAUCCUGUAUAUUCUAGCCAUCUGUUGUUAGGUGAAAUGCGUGAAUGGCAUAGAGAAAUGUUAUGGAGAGUGAAUGUUACAUGCCUCUGAGAUACAAUAGAAAAGAAGCCCUUGAUUUAAUAUUUUGGUUCUUAGUUUGACUGUGAUUUAUAGGGAGUGAUAUUGCCCUGGGCCUUUCUGUCUCCUUUGUAUCAGGAAAUGAUUUGGUUUAGAGAAAAGCAGGCAAAGGUUUUAGUGGGACUCCCACCAGGAUAAUGGCCUUCUUUGUUCCUAGCUACUUCUUGAGGUGACUAUGGCUAUCCUUUAGGCCCCAAGCAUGUGGACAGAGUCGAGAACAGGGUUAAGGAGAAGAUUUAAGCAAAAUCUCUUUAGUCACUGAGCAAGAAGCACCUAUAAGUUGCAUUUUGUAAACUCAGAGGAUUUGGUCUGUGGUGAUCUAGCUACAUAAGAACUGGAAAUGCCUAGGUUUAAAAUCGGGGUAUAAAGCAACCCAGAGCUUGUUAGAUAUGCAAGAUCUCUGGCCCUAUCCCCAAACUACUGUCCCAGAAUAUGUAUUUUAACAAGGUUGCUAGUGACUCAUAUGCUCAAUAAUGUUUGAAAAGCCCUGCCCCAGACUCUUGAAUAGGAUUGGCCAGGAGGUGGGAAAAGGGAUGGUAGCAGUGGUGCUUGCAAUGUACAUAGCCCCAGAUAUAUAGAAUCAGAAUCUGUAAGAGUGGAGACUUAGGAAUCUAUGUUUUAACAAGCUCCUCAGGGAAUUUUUAUAAACACUGCAAUUUGAAGAUCACAGGUAAGAAAUAAAAACAGUUCAGGGGAGAAGUGCAAUAUACACUAUGAACACCAGCUGUCAGUACUCUACAAUUUAAAAAUGACCUUGAUGGUUAAUAGUGAAAAGAAUUAUUACAAGAACAUUUUCUAAAUUUGAAAUGUAAAGAUCUAGGGAACAUGAGCUCUAAGUUAAACAGAUUUGAAUUAUCCUGUGAUUUUAUCAAAGAUCUCUAGACAUAUAAAUAGUUUACAGAGAGUAGUGGUUGGAGAUUUAGAGAUUUUGGGUACAUGUGAGUAAGUCCAUGUCAGAAUAAUGUCUUACUAUACUUGGGAAAAUAAAGUGAAUGCUUUUGUGGUUUUAAAACCAAACUGGACUCUACAGUUUGAAAGUAUGUAAGGCAGGUCAAUGACUCUUUCUAAGAAUAUCUUUUCAUUUUCUUGGCAUUAUGUCCUGAUGUUACUGGGUUUUUCAGGUACUUAAUUUUCAUGUGUAGCUCAGGGAUUAAAAGUCUUGUGCAGUAUUCAAAGGAACUUUUUCUGUAUUUGUAGACACUGCACCAUACUGGGAGACUUGGAUUCGAAUUCUGUCUUUUCCUUAUAGCCUCGUGCAGAUUACAAUGACAAUUCCUUAACAUCUCUGAGUCUUUUAGUGUGCAUAAAAAUACCCACAUAAGGGUUGUCAAGAGGAGGAUCCAGAUAAUAUAAUAAAUAUGAAAUGCUCUACCAAUUAUGAAGCAUUAAAUAAAUGCAAGGUAGUACUUGAAUGCUUAUGGCAUUGGGCUUUCACUUUUAUAUUUGAUCUUUGGAACCCCACUAUAGCACCCAUUUCCAUAAAAAUGACUCAGGUUUCACUAGGAGCCUAGUUACUUUUCCUAGUUAGGUAUUUUUUUUUUCCCCACCCCAAAUAGCGUUGCCUGAUAAAAUACUGGACAGCCAGGUAAGUUUGAUAUAAAGUUUGAUUUCAUGUAAACAAUGAUUUCUUUUUAAUUCUUCAGCUAAGACAGCGGAAGAGAUGAUUUAUUGUAUGGUUGUUACACUCGGCCACAAGUAAACACAUAAAUAGUCCAGAAUGUCACAGGUCUAGGGCAAAGGACCAAAAUGGGCAGUUUUGGUUAUGAGCAACAUGGGUCUUAGAGGUGAUUGGCGAUCAGAGGGCGAUGAAGUUCUAGAUCAUGAGAUAAGCUCUGGACAGUAGCAUGCAGUCCUACAACUUGUACCAGCAUCUCCAGCGUCUAGCAUUCCAUGUUUCUGCUCCUGUGGCCUCCAUGGUACAAGAAGCUAGUGGUUUACUUGGACAUCUGACUCAUCUUUCUUCUUUUGCGCUUCAACCUGUGCAUUCGCUUCUUCCUCCACUUGGCUCUUAUGGCACAGAGGUUUUCAAGAAAAUGGUGCUAAGGCCGAGAUGACAAUGAAUAAUUUUUUAGUAUGACUAUGUCCCAUGUAUUGCACAGCAAACUGGAAAAUCUAACUCCAAGACCAAAUGCUAUCUACAUUCAUGCAUCUUCUACUCACCAAUCUCAUCUAAUUGCUUACAUCUUCUAUUUUGCCUGUAUGGAAAAAGUCUGACUCAAAGACAGUAAUGUAGAUCUAAAAAUGGUCUUGAGAGAAAUUAUUGCUAUCUGAAAGCUCACGUCUUCAAAAAUUUUUACACUUCCUGUCUAGAAACGGCUCUGGCUUAUCUCUAAAGAGUGCUUAGAAUAAAAUAGAGUCACUUAAGUACUUACUCCUUGGGAUUAUUUUUGAUUUUUUUUUGUGCUGUUAUUCUGUUGACUUUUGAUUAUUCAUUAACAUCUCUUUCUCUGUCUCACUGUGUGGUUGUGGGAGUAGAAGGAGGGAAGAGGUGACUCUCCAAAAUGAAAUAAUUCGAAAGCCACUUACAUGUUGCUAUUAUGAACAAUUCUGAGGCAUUUCUGGUACAGCUUUCUCUUUCCAAUUAUAUUUGGUAUAGCAAAUAAUGCUAUUAAAAUAUAUAGACUUUAUAUAAAGAAAGACCACAUCCUGAUACUGAAGGAGAGGAAGAAGAAGGAAAGGUGGGAGUUCGCUGUGUGCUCAGCAGAAAGCAGGGUCGUCCUGGGGAACACUUUGCAGUUUCAAAGUACUUGAGGAGGGUAGGCCACAAAAUGGGAGUUUAACUGUACUAAAGUAAAUUCUUAAUGACACUUUCACGUGGAUGCCCUGAAGCAGAGGGAGGAAUCACACCAGGAAACCUGAUGCGGGAGAGAGCCAUGUCCCACAGUUUGACCGAAAAAAAUGUUGCCUUUGGGCUCACCUAACUCUGGACACUAGGUGUCAGUAUACAGCAAUGUAACGAUUUUAGGAUGCGGGGUUGAUGUGCUGAAUUAGUGGGGGAAGAGUUGUGAGAUGAUGUUUCGUUUCCUGCUGUUAACACAGGUCCUCGAUUUAUGGUAGAGGUUCUUUCAGCUGUGAUCUUAUGAAUCAUCAAUAGAGACAGGAACUGUGUCAGAGUCACCUCUAGGGGUUUCCUUCAUAUUUUCUUUUUCUUUUCUCACUGGCUAGGACUGAUUACUUCUUCACAUCUCUGCAAAGUACUUAAUUAGUCUCAUCAGGCAGCCAAACUUGAUACCUUCGUCCAAUUUUAGAUACAGAGAUGAUGAAGGUGUUUCAUUGGCAGUUGGGGCCAUUAGAGGGACCCCGCAGGGCAGAGCGACGUUGCACUGAGGCGAUCUGAGCUGAGCACAGGGGUAAGGAUAUAUUCCUGGACUGUGUGCUGCUGUCACCGAGAACAUUUGCAAAUCUGCUGACACAUUACAGUGGGAAUAUCCCCUGGACGCAUGGAAGGCCCAGUGCCCUGUCAUUUGAGCAGUGCAGGCACGUCACCAGCCCAUGGGGAUGUCAGUAUUCAUGCUGCUCUUUGAUAUAAAGUUCGCAUUUUCUAUAUGGUUUGAUGAUGUUUAGUGGGAUCAGUGAUGCCUGUUUGUUAAUUGCUUACAGAAGAUUUGGGCUUAAAAAUAAAAUCUUGGAUCAGGUAACAUUCUCUGUUUUAAAUUUUAUUGAUAUUUCUGAAUUCCAAGGAAAUUACUUACAUAUCAGAUGGUCUUUGAAACCUUAUUUUUUUCUAUUAUUUUUAGUAUUCUCUGCACUCUGUCUUAUAUUUCUGCCCUUUCUCCUGCAUAAGUAAAACAGAAAGAUUUAGUUAGCGUUUGAGGAUGAAAAUUAUCAAGCCUAUAUUCUCAACAACAAUCUGGGAUUUGAGUUAAUUUUAAUGUCCAAUUUGUGUCCCUCUUGCCCCCUUUACAUGUGUGACUUUAUUUUCAGCUAUCUUUUAAUAUUAUUCACUCUUAGUCACACCAACUAUGCUUAUCCCUACCUAAGUCCUUCUCAUCUUGUUAUCACCAGCUGGUAAAUUCUUCCUGCUUCCUUUACUUAUAUAAAUGUGGCUGCUUUUUCAAUAUCAGCUCCAAGCCAUCUCCUCCAUGAAGCUAUCUGGGUAAUUCACAGAAAUCUGCUUUCCUGAAUCAUAGAGCAUUGCUCAGUGUAGCUCAUGAUUAUAACCUAGUCUUAGUUGCUUUUUAAUUAGUUUGCACACGUGUACAUAUACACACACAUGCACACACACACACACAUGACCAACUAGAUUACAAGCUUUUCAAAAGUGGGGGCUGUACCCCAGUGACAUCUAGUAAUAUGCUGAGUAUCAUAUAUACAUUUUCAAUAGAUAGCCAUUUUUUGUUUAUCUCUUUGAUUGCGGAGGCUAAAACAUAAUAGGUAUUUAAUAAAUGUUGAGAGAUCUGAGGAAUUGAUUUAAAUUACUCUGCUGAAGUACUAGAUCUUUGAUAAUAUUAGAUUGUGACAUUUGGUGUGACAAUUCUGGUAGUCAUUAGCAUAUACCUUUGCAAGAGCUAGCUCAAGUCUUAUACCUUCCAUGACAACUUCUCUAGGCUAAUACAGUCCUCAUUGUUCCUCCUGGUCCUGAAUUUCUCCUUCUCCUGUUUCUGAACUCCUAAAGCAUCGUACAUCUACAUUGGGCAAGUGCCUUAGGACUACAUCUGUAGAAUGGGUUUAAUAAUAGUGCCCAUCUAUUUGGAACUAUGAUAAUUAAAUGACAAUAUGUAUAAAUUACUUAGAACAUUUCUGGCAUAUUAUAAGUAAUCAAUAGGUGUUUUAGUCAUGGUUCUCCAGAGAGGCAGAACUGAUAAGAUAUAUGAAUUAGCUCAGUUGAUUAUGGAGGCUGAGAAGUCCCAUGAUAGACGUCUGCAAGCUAGAGAACCAGGGCAACUGGUAGCAUGGCUCACUGCAAAGUGUGAAGGCUUCAGAACCAAGGAAGCCAAUAGCAUAACUCUCAGUCCAAGGCCAAAAACCUGGGAGCCUGGGGGUUGCUGGUGUGUUUCCCAGAGUCCAAAAGCUGAGAAGGGGAGUUGUAACAUUCAAGAGCAGCGGGAAGAAGUUAUCCUAGCUUUAGAAGACAGAGCAAGAUUUUGCCCUUUCUCCACCCUUUUAUUCCAUCUGGGCCCCCAGCCAAUUGAAAGGUAUCUGCCCACAUUGAGGGUGGAUCUUCCCCACUCAGUUCAAAGACUCAAAUUCUAAUCUCUUCGCAGAACAUUCUCAGAGACAUACCUAUGGUGGCCUAAUAAUUUUAAUCAAAUGCCAAAUCACCUGGAGUUUCCUUUCAGCGGAAGAGCGAAGGACUUUAAUUUAUCACAGUCUAGCUGGCGAGAUUGUGGAGAAAAGGGAAAACUUAUACACUGCUGGGGGGAAUGUAAAUUAGUUCAGCCAUUGUAGAAAGCAGUUUGGCAAUUUCUCAAAGAACUUAAAACAGAAUUAAGAUUUUGUCCAGCAAUUCCAUUAUUGGGUAUAUACUAAAAGGAAUAUAAGUCAUUCUACCAUAAAGACACAUGCACACAUAUGUUCAUCACAGCAGUAUUCACAAUAGCAAAGACAUGGAAUCAACCUAAAUGCCCGUCAAUGGUAGACUAGAUAAAGAAAAUGUGGUACAUAUACACCAUCGAAUACUAUGCAGCCAUAAAAAAGUACAAGAUCAUGUCCUUUGUAGCAGCAUGAAUGAAGCUGUAGGCUGUUGCCCGAACAGAAAACCAAAUACUGCAUGUUCUCACUUAUAAGUAGGAGUUAAACAUUGGGUAUGGACGCAGAUAAGGGAACAACAGACACCAGGGUCUAUUUGAGGGUGGAGGAUGGGAGGAGAGUGAAGAUCCAAAAACUGCCUAUCAGGUAUUAUGCUUAUUACCUGGAUGAUGAAAUAAUCUGUACACCAAACCCUGUGACAUGCAAUUUACCUGUGUAACAAACCUGCACGUGUACCCCAAAACUAAAAUUUUUUUAAAAAGUCACAUAUUGAGGUAAAAAAAAAUACAAAUAAUUUUCAUUAGAAAAAACUUAUCCCAAUCUACCUUAUACCUCUUCACAUGCAGUAUAAGAACCUCACAACAGGGUGCUUCCAUCUCUUUAUCCUGAUGGCUGCUGUUCUCAUGUAUUUUACUUCCAUGUUUGCUGUGAAUCCCAUACUACACUGCUCUCAUUUUUGCUUUAAACAGUCGAUUCUAUUUUGAUGAUAUUUUGUAAAAUGAGAAAAUUGUUUUUUUACAUUCCUCUACAAACUUACCAUUUCUGGCUUUCUUUAAUCCUUUGUGUAGAUUUAAUUUUCCACCUGGUGUUAUUUUAGCUCUGCCUAAAGAACUUCCUUUAGCGUUGUUGGAGUGGAAUUCUUUUGGUGAUGAAUUCUCUUCAUUUUGUUCUUCCAGAAAUGUACAUUCAUUCUUCACAUUGGAAAUAUAUUUUUCUUGAUAAAGAAAUGUAGGUAGACAAUAUUUCCCCCUCUCAAUACAUCUGGCUUGCAUAGUUUAUGAUGGAAGUCUGCUGUCAUUCUUCUCUUUAUUGCUUUGUUUGCAGUGUGUCACAAUGUGUCUUAUUUUUAUGGCUGAUCUUAAGAUUUUCUUUUUAUCAUUAGUUUUUGGCCAUUUAAUUAUAUAGUGCUUUGGAAUCUAAUACCAUUCUCAAGCUUUUACUUGAUACCUUAUAUAUUUCGUUUUUGGUUUUUAAAAUUUUGUUGUUGUUGUUGUUAUUGUUUCAUCUUGGCUGGUGGGAACAUGAACAAUUCCUAGCGCUCUGUGAGCUGCAAGAAUAUUUCUGAGUACUCCUUUCUUGUGUUUUUUUCCCAAGCAUGAGUCAUUUCCUCUCAUGCAUGCACAGAUCAGUACUUAGGCAAAGCCUCCUCCAGACCCCACUGCAGAUCUCCAGAGUUCCUUUUUUGUGCAGCUCCUUCAUCUGUGCUACCAUGCCCCACGAACUCCACCUUUUGUAAUAUCCCUGAAUUCUAAUCUCUCUUUCUUCAGCUUAAAAAGACUGCCUAACUCUGUGCUGUUGCCUGGAAACUGCCUACAGGAAGUAAGAUGGUGCAGGUUAACAUCUCAUCAUCUGGUUUCUUUCUCUCAGGGAUCACAGUCUUAUAAUGCCUCUUUUCAAAUGCCUCUAAACCAGUGUUUCCUAUGUUUUGUCUGAGUUUUUCUAGUUGCUUACAGCAUGUGAUGGGGUUCCUUUUGACUCUAUUUUGACUUGAAACGAUAGUGUCCAUGGAGAUGGAGCCAGUUUCUUACUUCCUGACAUCCUAUUCCUAAAGACUAAUAGAAUACUCCAGAGUUUGUGAUAAAAGAGAAUAUCCAUUAAAUUAAUGAUAAGAUCAGUGCAUAUAUGAAUACUCCAGUAAUUCCCAGGUAAUGAUAAAUAAAACAGUCACAAAGAGCUGCAGAAUUAGAAAGCUAUUUGAACUUUGAAUCAACUAUGUUGAAGCAACAUAAUGAAAUACAGAGUCUUCUAGAUACUCUGUAAAGUCAUAGAAUUUUAGAAAGUAUUGUUCUCAUUAUUUCUGAUGCAGUAAAGUUCAAAGAGGUAAUUACAUUGCUUUCUGGCAGACAGUUGACCAGAAAGGCCAAAGUAGAAAUCAUAAGCCAACUGCCUUAAUGGUUUGGGUAGUGGUAUAGGUAAAUGAAAAGGCAAUUUUAAUCUUCUGACUUCAAAUUAAGAGAUUAUAUAUUUAACUUCCUAAUAGAUAAAUACAUUAUUGCCUUUCAAUUCAUUUUUGUUUAAAAACAGCUUCUUUUAGAAUUCUGCUUUGGUAUAUUGCUUUAGUGUGGGCACAAAUUCCCAAAGAUUCCAUGAAGAAUUUAGUAUAUAAUCUCCCUUAGAAAAAGUACAGCAUUUUUAUGAGCAGAAUAAUAAUAUUCAGAAAUGAUAUAAAGGUACACACAGGAAUAUGUGUGUAGCUUCAAUAUCUAUAAGGGAUUAUAAUUUUAACAUUUUAUUGAUCUUUUAAGGUGUUUUGAGUUUUCAAAUAAAAUUGCUCUCUAUUAUUGUGCACUUAGAGAUACUUUUCUAGGCAAUAAUAUGUAAAUUAAUUGCCUUUUCAGGCUGCGCUAUGGUUUCCCAUUGUGGCAUGGAAUAAUAUAUUGGGGAGAUUUUUCUGUUUUAUGGCAGUUUUAACUAUCUUUUAAAAAUGGUUAAAAUUUCCAGUUGCAAUAACGUAGCGUUAAAUUAUUUAAAAACUGUUAUGAAGAAAUAUAUCUCAGGAUUAAUAGAAAAAAUUUCUUAUAUUGGCCAAUUUCAAAUUUAACCACAAUUCUUAAUACAUUUCUCUUUGACAUGAAUUUAUAAAUAGCAAUUAUAAUGAGUAUGGUUCUCUAAAUCAAAUAACCUGUUAAAACCAAAUGAUCCAAUUACAGGUUUAUAUUAAAAAUGAAUGAAUAAGGAAAGCUUUUUAGCUCCUUAAGAUGCUAUCAUUCCUUUUAUAGAAUGUCAAGAUUUACAGAAUAUCAGGAAAGUAAUCAAUCUUCCUUUGAUUAGGCUUGUAUCUUCUCUUUCUUUCAAAUUUCUGCAGACUUUUCAUUUGCUGGGGGGAAAAAUGGAAAGCUAUGGGACAGUGAAAGAUAACAGUUAAGAAUUUCCAAAGGAUUCAAGGAUGUAGAAACAGAAAUGACUCAAAUGGUCAUCACACUUCAAAUUCCAUCAUAAAGGCUGAAACGCUGUAGUCCUAUCCUGAACUGGUCCUAAUGAUUUAGUGCUCGAUUCUAGGCUUGCACAUAGGUAAACAUGACGACAUUAUAGUAUGUCAAAUAAUGCUCAUGAAUGAAAAGAACAGUGAGAUUUUCAAUGUUUUUUAUACUGACUUGUUUCCCUCUAUUUACUUUACUUGACCGCCCCCAAGAAUAGUCAGAUGACAUAAUUUGAGUCAAUAGAUACGUAACGGAGACAAACCAGAUGGCCAAUUCCUGUGGAUUUAUGGGACAAUUCUGCAUAUUUUAAGCAAAUAAUUUGUUCUUUUCAAUUAUAUUCAAAGCUUACAUUCUGUUAUACUGUAUAUUUUAUUAGAGAAUAGUUUUUCUGUGAAGAUAAUACCAUUAGCUGAGUUGCAAAAAAAAUUCUAAAUUUUAAUAUAUACUUUCAAACUAUUUUUUUCAUUCCAAAACUACUUCUGAGGAAACUCUUACAUAAAAUUAAGGUUAAAUAUUUUUAUAUUUCCUGACUUUCAAUUUAUUACCUAUCUUCAAAUCAACAAUUAACUAAUUGAUUUACCAUAUGUUAUAGACAAUAGAAGUAAAGGGAAAGUGUGAGCAUUUACAAAGUCAAUUGAAAGAGACAUUUAGCUGGAAAAUAUUUUGAGCAUUGUGUUUUAACUUACUGCUCUGGAGGAUGAGGAUUUAACUCUUUUCAGCUUCUUUCUUCUAUCAUGUUUAGUCCACUUCAGAACCCACCCACCUCCCAAGAUAGCUAUAUGACAAUUUGAUUAGACCAGUAAUCAGGGUUUAUGUUUCUAUGACUAUGUAAUUGCUCAUGAAUGAGCUAGGUAGCAUACCAUGAUCUUUUUUUCUCUUGACAAUAUUUUGUUCUCCUUAAAGUUAAGGAGGGCCUGGUUUUACUGUCAUUUCUUCCUUUAGUUUUCUAUAAUCAUAUCAUUUUCUUCGACCAAACUCUCUCAAUUGUGGAAACAUCUUCUCAAAACUUUUGGACACAUUAGGUAUUUUGUCACCUUCACUGUCUUGAAGAAAUCUCUCCUGAGACUUUUGACCUGCUCCAAACUUAGAUUAAUUGUUUUCUAGGUCUGCUGUGCAGUUGUGGGAUCUUUAUUCAUGAGUCUUCUCUUUCCUAUAUCAUAUUCUUGUUUCCCAAAUUUCAUAUCUUCCUUCUUCUUACUCUUGUGUUGGAGAAGCACACUCUCCACUAGCUUCUUGAGAAGACUUGCAUAAGAAGUAAAAUUUUUGACAUUUAUGUACUUCUGAAAAUGUCCGUAUUCUACCUUCACAUAUGAUUUUAAUUUUUACUGCAUAUAGAAUUCUAGGUUGCAAAUAAUUUUCCAUAAAAAUUUUGAAAGCAUAUUUCUAUUGUUCUCUGAUUUCAGAUUGGAAUUAGAGAAAUCUCUGCCAUUGUGAUUCUUGAAACUUUGUUUGAAAUUCCUUCCCUUUAAACUUGUUUCUGGACUCUUAAAUUUUAUUAUUUUAAUUAUUAUUAAUAAUUUUUUUAGAGAUGAGUUCUUCCUUUGUUGCCCCAAACUGGUCUCAAACUGCUGGGCUCAAGCAGUCUUCCCAUCUUGGCCUCCCAAAGUGCUGGGAUUACAGGUGUGAGCCACCAUGCCUGGCCUGUCUGGACUCUUACUGGAUUGUCUAGUUCCUACUCACCCUCCCCCUGACCAAGUGUUUUACAAUUUCAUAGUGAUGGCAUUUGGUGUGGGCCUAAUUUCCUUCAUUAUGCUUAGUACUCACUGGAUCCUUUCAAUAUGGAAACUCAUGUCCUUCAACUCUAUAAUAUUUUCAUGGAUUCUUUCUUUGAUGAUUUUCUUCUCUCCAUUUGUAUUUGUCUCUGAACUCCUAUUAUUCAGAUAGGAGUUGUAUUGUUCUUCUAAUGUUUUUCUUUCCUGUUUUCCAUAUUUUGACUUUUUGUCUUAUUUUUGGAAUAUGUGCUCAAUUUUUUAUUCCAGCCCUUCUAUUAAGGUUUUGUUUUGUUUUGUUUAGGUAUGAAACGAAUAUCUAUUUAGGCUAAGAAAUUCCCACAAAUUACAAAUUUUAAAAAGGUGACAAAUAUUAUAAACAUUAUUUUUUGCUAUGCUUUUUGAUAAUUGUUGGUAAUUUGAAAUAACAAAGUAGAUUUAUAAUGAUCAUAAAGGCAAGUUAAGUAUAUUAUUCUGCUAUUGGCAUUACUUGUCAAAUCCAGCAGUCAAUUUAUUAUCUCCUCUUACUCGGUUGUUCUGCAGCAUUUGACAGCGGUGACCACUGCAUACCUCUUUUGACACACUUUCUUCUUCAGCCUCAAUGACACCACAGUCUUCUGGUUGUUUCUUCUGCUUUACUGGUUGGUCAUGCUCAGUGUCUUUUGCUGGCUUCUCUUCCUCUGCUGAACUUCUGGAUAACGGGGAAUUUAAUAAUGUGCCAAGAAUUUAAUCCUAGACCUCCUUCUCUUUUCUUAUUAACCCUGUAGGUGAUUUUAUUUUUUUUAAUAGAAACUUUAUUGAGCUAUAAUUCACAUACCAUGAAAUUCACCAUUUUAAGUUGUAUAAUUCAAUGUUUGUUGUACAAUCAUCAUUACUAUCUACUUCUAUUUAUUUUUCUUCAAAAAUAUAUUUUUAUUUUUAAAUUUUUUUUACUUGAAAAAUCAUAAUUAUAUACAUUUGUGGGCUAUGAUGUAAUGUUUUGAUAUAUGUAUUCAAUGUGAAAUGACUAAACCAAGUUAAUUGACCUAGCCAUCACCUUACUUAUCUAUUGUUUUUUACAGUGAGAUAUUUGAAAUUUACUCUGUCAUUUUGAAAUAUGCAAUACAUUUUUAUUAACUGUAGUCACCUGCUGUGCAAUAGAUCUCAACACUUAUUUCUCCUGUCUGUCUGAAACUUUGUACCCUUUGACCAGCAACUCCACAUUCCCUUCCUUCUCUCAAUCUCCCAAUCUGUGGUAACCAUCAUUCUACUCUCUACUUCUAAGAGUUCCACUUUUUUAGGUUCCACAUAUCCACAUGUCUUUCUGUAUCUGACUUAUUUCACUUAGCAUAAUGUCCUCCAGGUUCAUCUCUGUUGUCACAAGUGAUAGCAUUUCCUUUUUAAAAAAAGGCUGAAUGGUAUUUCAUUGUGUAUGCAUACCACAUUUUGUUUACCUAUUCAUUCAUAAUGGAUACUUGAUUUCAUCUCUUGUCUAUUGUGAGUAAUGCUGGAAUGAAUGUGGGAGUGCAGAGAUCCCUUCAACAUGUUGAUUUCAAUUCCUUUGACUAUAUACCCAGGAAGUGAGGUUGCUGGAGUAUAUGGUAGUUCUAGUUUUAGUUUUUUUGAGGAACAUCCAUACUGUUUUUUUAAUAAUGCCUCUACUAAUUUACAUUCUCAACAGCAAUGUAUAAGAGUUCUCUUUUUGCACAUCCUUGCCAACACUUAUCUUUCAUCUUUUGGAUAAAAGCUAUUCUAACAGGUAUGAGGUAAUAUCUCAUUGCAGUCUUAAUUUGCAUUUUUCUAAUGAUUAGUGAUACUAAGCAUUUUUUCAUGUAUUUACUGUCCAGUUGCAUGACUUCUUUUGAAAAAUAUCUGUUCAGACCAUUUGCCCAUAUUAAAAUCAGGUUAUUUGUUUUAUUGCUGUAUUAGGUCAAUCUUGCAUUGAUAUAAAGAAAUACCUGAGACUGGGUAAUUUAUAAAGAAAAGAAGUUUAAUUGGCUUAUGGUUCUGCAGGCUGUAUAGGAAGUGUGGUGCUGGCCCCUGCUUAGCUUCUGGGGAGGCCUCAAGGAGCUUUUACUCAUGGUAGAAGGCAAAGUGGAAGCAGGCACGUCACAUAGCAAAAGCAGGAGCAAGAGGGGUGGGGUGAGGUGUCACACACUUUUAAAUGAACAGAUCUCAUGGGAACUCACUCACUAUUGUGAGGAUAGCACCAAGCCUUUGGGGAUCCACUCCCAUGAUCCAAUCACCACCCACCAGGCCCCACCUCCAUCAUGGGGAUUAUAUUUCAACAUGAGACUUGGGUAAUGGUAUGGUUUGGCUGUGUCCCCCUCCAAAUUUCAACUUGAAUUGUAUCUCUCAGAAUUCCCAAGUACUGUGGGACGGAUCCAGGAGGAGGUAAUUGAAUCAUGGGGGCCAGUCUUUCCCAUGCUAUUCUUGUUAUAGUUAAUAAGUCUCAUGAGAUCUGAUUGGUUUAUCAGGAGUUUCAGCUUUUGCUCCUUCUCAUUUUCUCUUGCCACUGCUAUAUAAGAAGUGCUUUUCACCUCCUGCUAUAAUUCUGCGGCCUCCCUAGACAUGUGGAACUGUAGGUUCAAUUAAACCUCUUUUUCUUCCUAGUCUCAGGUGUGUCUUUAUUAGCAGCAUGAAAACAGGCUAAUACAGGUGGGGACAAAUACUCAAACUAUAUCGUCCUGCUUCUGGUCCUAAAUCUCAUGUCCUUCUGGUCCUAAAUCUCAUGUCCUUCUCUAAUUGCAAAAUACAAUUAUACCUUCCCAAUAGUUCUCCAGAGUCUUAACUAAUUCCAGCAUCAACUCAAAAGUCCCAAGUCCAGGUUCAAAGUCUCAUCUGAGACUCAUUUGCUUCCACCUAUGAGCCUGAGAAAUCAGAACAAGUUAUUUGCUUCCAAGAUACAAUGGGGGUACAGGCAUUGGGUUAUCAUUCCUGCUCCAAAAGGGAGAAAUCAGCCAAAAGAGAGGGGCUACAGGCCUCAAGCAACUCUGAAACCCAGGAGCACACCCGUUAAAUUGUAAAGCUCCAAAAUAAUCUCUUUUGACACCAUGUCCCAUGUCCCAUGUCCAGGGCACACUAACACAAGGGGUGGGAGCUACAAAAGUGGAGCUCAUGGAGAUAGAGAGUAGAAUGAUGGUUAUCAGAAUCUGGGAUGAGAAGAGGAGGAGGAUGAAGGGAAGUUUGUUAAUGGCUACAAAAAUACAGUUGGGCAGAAGGAAUGAGUUAUAAAAAUCAAUAGAGUAGUAGGGAAAUUAUAGCUAUUAAUAAUUUAUUGUAUAUUUCGAAAAAGCUAGAAGAGAAGAAUUAAAAUGUUCCAAACACAAAGAAAAGAUAAAUAUUUGAGGUAAUGGAUGUCCCAAUUACCCUGAUUUGAUCAUUACACAUUGUAUACAUCUAUCAAAAUACCAUAUGUACCCUCAAAAUGUGUACAAGUAUGAUAUAUCAAUUUUUAAAAAAGAAACCAUUAUCUACGGUCAUAAAGAUUUGCUGCUAUGUUUUCUUCUGAGGGUUUUAUAGUUUUUGCUCUUACAUUUCAGUGUCUGAUCCAUUUUGAGUUAAUUUUUGUGUAUGGUGUGAGAUAGGGAUCAAACUUUAUUCUUUUGCAUGAGGAUAUCCAGUUAGCACCAUUUAUAGAAAAGAAUGCUUUUUCCACAUGGAAUUGACUUAAUAUAUGAAAUUUUGAUUAUGUAAUCACUUUUAAGUUUCAAAAAUUCUGUUUUCCUUUCAGAAUAUUCCUAUUUGGUAGUAUCCUGUUUUUGUUUUUCUCUUAUUUUCUCUGAGGGUAUUCUCUGAGGGUAUUUUAAUAUGACUCUCUGCAGAAAAUUUUUUUCCCUUUUAAAAAUCUCCCUCCUCUACUCUCUUUUUGGUCACAUCUCCCAUGGUACCAUAUUUCUUCAGCUAUCUGGUAAUCCUUGGUUGCUGGUUCUUGAUUAAUAUUGGUGUCCUAUUUGGGGGGCUUGUGAGUAUUGAGCUCAAUUGUAGGGUGAUUUGAGUGGGCUUUUUUUUGGUGAAAUGCUGAUGCCAGUAUAUGUAAGUCUUUUUUCUUGGGUUGGUCAAGUUCUGCAGUGAAUAUUCCUCCAUUCUCUUUCCAGGAGGGUAAAGGUCUGGCUGCCAGUAUUCUGGAAGCUUUGUGGGGGAAGAAGUUAGGGGCCUCAUUAUUCCAUCUCUAGUAUGAUUGUUGUUACUUAAGUCUCCUGUAUCAGGUCUGGUACCACACAUUCAACUAUGCCCAGUCAGUCCCCAGUCCAAGGACUUUAUCUGUUACCCUCUUCCAGAGAAUAAAUUCCCAGUUUCCUUUCUGAGAGGUGAUGGGUCAAUUUCCCAGCAACAGGAAUGGGGAGGAGAUCUAGGGUUCUAACUAUUUAUAAGCAACUUAUAUAAAAAUAUUUUUACAAGUGUAAAACUAUGCACAGUUUCACACAUAUAGUAACCUUGCAUAUAUACUUCUGCUCUUGGUGCAAUGUAACCUUGCACAUAUAGUUUUGCACUUCUACAAAUAACAUUGCAAUAUUAUUUAUAAUUCAAGUACAUUGGACAGUAUCUAGAUUACUAGCAAUAAGACAUAUACACACUCCAUACAAUAAGAUAUAGUAUAAAGAUUAGGUAGAAUGUAUGUUAAUAUGGAAAAAUGUUCAUAAAAUAUUGCUAAUAUAAAACAAUUGGAAUAACAUGCUCCAAUUUAUGUAAAAAUAUAAAUAUGUACAAAUAUUCAUAUUAUUUGCAUGCAUAGAGAUGAGUCUGGAAUAAUAUAUACCAAUAUGUUAAUGAUAGUUGACUGUAUGCCAGAAUUAGAGGUGAGUAUGGUUUUUUCCCCUUUAUUUUUAGCUGUAUUUCAUGCUAUUUUACAAGACAGAUCAGUUACUGACAAAGAAAUGAUACUUUUAUAAAGUGCAAUUCUCAGUUCACAGGUGUGAGCUCCUUUCUUAAGCAGGAACUAUCAUUUUUGAACUCGUGUAUUGUAAGUAAACAGCACAGAGCCUGUACCUAAGUACUCAGAAAACGUAUGUAUAAGGAAUUCAUUCCAUUUGCUUUCUUCCAUGUUAAUGAUUUCUCCUACAUUCAGUGAAAUCUACUUUACCUUGAUGUUCCUGUUUUCUUUUGUCUUCAUCAGUGUGAAUGCUAAGGGAAUGUGUGAAUGUAAUUUGUUAAAGUGGUCUGAUGAAACUUCUGACAAAAUUGAUAUAAGAUUGUUUUCAAAAGAUUUAACAAUAUCUUAAACUUAUAAAUAACACUGUUGAAAUGACUUUUGACUUAAAAUUGAAAAGCUAUCAACUCUGAGUUACUGUUUAGGGGGCCAUCUGAAGAAGUUGCUGCAUCCUAGCCCACAAAAGAAGAAAUGAUAAAAUCAUUUUACAUUGUCCAUUGGCAGACAUACAGAGUGGAGGCAGGAAGACAGGAUUGCUUGCUGAUUUUGAAAAGUGUUCUGAACAUUUGAUUUGGGGUUCUGUCUCAUAGGAAUCACUGGAGGAAACGGUGGGAGUUGUGUUUGAUAAAUCACUUAAAAAAUAAAUUCUGUUGUGUAUAUUUAAGGUAUACAACAUGAUUUUAUAAGAUACAUGGAUAGUAAAAAAAUGUAUAGCGUGUUCACAGAUUUGCAUGUCAUUCUUGCACAUGGACAUGCUGAUCUUCUCUGUAUUGUUCCAAUUUUAGAAUAUGUGUUGCCAAAGCAAGCACUAAAUCAUUUUUACUUAUUUAUUCUCCUACUAACUAGUAGGAAAGAAGACUUGAUAGGGAGAACCAAGGAAGAGGAGGAGAAGAACUCUGCUCACAUCCUUCAUUGGCUCAGCACUCGAGCUGCUCUUUAAUAGGCCUCAGGCUGCCCUUGAAACCCUAGGAUGAGAAGUACUUUGCUUUGCCAGAUUAUCCUGUGUAUCAGUCAGGGUCCAGCCAGAAAAAUAAGGCACUCUAGGUCUUUCAGCAAAUGAAAUUUAGUCCAGGAAAUAGAUUUCACAGAUGAUGGAGAGGGAGUUUAGGGACCAGAGAGAGGGCUUUUGGAUGGGAACCAGAACUGUGGAAGUAAAGAUAACCUGGAAGGAGGUGCAGCUUCUGGAGACAUCAAAGGAGAGAGAGAGAGAAGGGAGAAAAUUCAUUUGUCAUGCCCUUCCUUGUGCCCUUCAUCUUCUAGCUGUGCCUCCAAUAUGCUGAAGCCAGAGGGCGAAAGAGCCUGGAAGAGUCGUUCCCUGAGAUGGAGAGCAGAGCAGGGCAAGGCAGGGAAGAGCACAGACUGGCAGGGACAGGCGCAUUGAGUACAUUUUAUAAAGUUGAGAUUGUAUGAAUUAACUUACUGCCCCUGCACCUCUGACAUGUUUUUACAUGCCCACAUGCACUGAGGCAUUUUCAGUGUGCAUGUGUACCUGUGUUUGUGUAUGCGUAUCUCUGAGAUCUUGGUUGGGCUAAUGUCCUACUUAUGAGAAAAGUGCAAGUGCUCAUUCUAAGAUUGUAUGCAAAAUGACAGCGAACACUCCUGUUUUCAAGUGGCACUUAGCAUUUACAUAAUGCUGAAACAUCUGGUCUUUCCCAUCAACCCAGGCAUGAAGUUAGUCCAGUUGAUUGCUUGGCAUUAUGUACAGACAACAGCUGGCUGGUUAACUGGAGUUUUGAUUACGGCUGAAUUGGCUGGAUGUUUGGUGUCACAUAGACUGAAGUUAUGACUGGGUAACGAUGGAGUAGAGCCAGUUACAGGGAAGAUCAAUGACAAAUUUGUGAAAUCAAACUUUUGUAUGGAAUUUCACUGGAAAAGAUAAUUAUUUAUUUCCAAGACUGAGUUUCAGAAACUCACUGGAAUUUCACUGGAAAAGAUAAUUAUUUGUUUCCAAGACAGUUUCAGAAACACUGAGACCUGGCUGAGUUUAUCUCUGGUGACUUUUCAUUCCCAUUUCACCUCCUUUCACCCAAGUGUCCCCUGCCCUUGUACCCAUAUCCUCAGGUGCCCUUGGCCAUUCACCCUUAAGGCACCUGGCUCCUGGGCUUAUCACCCUGGGAACGACCUCCAGAUUCUGAAUUUUUUAACCUUUAUGUCUCUUUCCCCUUUGUCCCUUUCAUCAAAUCACAUUUGUCCUGUCAUUCAGAGAUCUGCUAUCUGUUGCAGGAUCAACUGAUCUCAGAAUCUAAUUUUCAUGAAGAUGUUUGUAGAUGAUACUGUGCUAAUAUUUAUCUUUUCAUCUUUCCAUAUGUGGAAGUGGUCUCAACUGAGACUGAAAUUCAGGCAUACUUGGCACAUUUUUAUCUUGUGCUUGCCAGAAGCAUGUUUGCACAAACACUGAGGAAUGUCCUGGGAGAAGAAGGAGCCAGGUUGGAUAAGCUCUCAGCAUAGGGCCUUGCCUGUCAGGGGGUGCUGAGCCAGCAUGUGCCAUGGUUUCAGGCACCUAGAGCUGUCUCCCUGCCCUAAUGGAACAUAUCUGAGUUUUGCGGAGAGCAGAGGAACUCUAAAAUUUUAAGGGAGGUUAGGGGUGAGAAGAGAGAGAGAUAGAGAACUGUGUAAAGUACUGGGACCUAAGUGACCAUGCUUGAGAAUCUCUCCAAAGCAAAAUGGAAGUAAGAUUUCUUUCUUGUGACAAAUCUUUCUUGCAUAGAUUUGAUUUCUGGAGAGCCCUAUGAGGAACUGGGGUACUUGCAGGAAUGAUGGCUAAGCCAAGCUGAGGUCAUCACAGGAGCCAGCAGGAAUGGGAUUAUUUAGCAGCCUGUUUCAGACUCAGAAAUAUUGGAAAAAAGUUUUUGAAGGGAUCAGGGUGAGUAGUGGGGUGGGAAAGGCUGAAGGCCUGAAGGCCUGUCAAACACAAAUGGUUAUACCGACUAUAAACAUUUAAAUUAUUCCAUUAAAUAAAACUUCAUUUUAACCCACAUUUUUAAGGUCUAAGGAAAUUCAGAUGGUACCUGUAACAUAUUUGCCUUUUACCAGAACCUUUGAAUGUUUUGCAUCCAAUGCAUGAUUGAUGGUGGCAAUUUCAGAUCAUCCAAUGGUAAAUUGGCGAAGGAAAAAUACUUUUAGGCAAUCAUUUAAGUAUUCUUCAAAUAAUACUUCAUAAAUUUGCUUCUUAGCCCCCUGGUUUUAUUUGUUAGCUUAAGACAUGAGGACUUGAAAUGUCACUAUAUGAUUAUUGACAGAGACUUGGCUGCUACUGGGGAGAGGAGUGUGAAAUCCAAACAUAUUUUUAAAAUCUGAGUAGAUCUUUAUUAGCUUAUAACUAGCAAUAUUACAAUGGAAGUUAUUUUAGUUUAUACAGAUAAUUAAGGUAAAACUUCAGUUUUAAUGAUAGGUUUGCUGAUUGGUUUUACUAUAUUAAUUCAUUUAACAGACAUUUGCUUGGUGCCUAUUAUGUAUUAAACACUUUGCUGGGCUCAGGGUAAACUUUGGUGAAUUCAGCAGAUUUAAAAUCUAAUAUAGCUAAAUCAGGCUUAACUUCCUUUGUUUUCUAGCUGAGAUACCAACUGAAAAGAUUAAUGUAUCAAAACAACAAAUUUUCCCUAAGAAAGAUUAUGCUUUAUAUCAUCAGAAAGUAUGUUCCCUGUCCCAAAAUCUGGACAUAUGAAUAUACAUCAAUGUGUGUGUGUGUGUGUGUGUGUGUGUGUGUGUGCGUGUGCGUGCGCGUAUAGUAUAACUUGUGUUCAUAUCACCAGAACCUUAUAUGGCUAAAGAAAAAUUACAGAAAUUUAAACAUCAAACAUAUAAGUUUCAUCUGUAGAAAAAAAAUCCAGAUUUUAUUUAAACCACCAAAAUUGCAGUCAGCUGCUGAGAGAAAAAUAAAGGCAAAGAUCCUGUUUACAAGGCACCUAGAGUUCAGCCAUCAGAUGGUUUUGGUUAAGAUGUAGUUUCUCUUCAUGCUGAUGUUUCUAUAAGACAUUUUUGUGAGUCAGUCAUCACCCAACUUCCUAGUGUCUUUCUUUCCCUUGUAUGUGUGUGUGUGUGUUUUUUUUUACAAUACCUUUAUAGCGUUGCUUUUAAUUUUUGACAACGUUUACUGAAAACUUACUCCUUUGCAGCUUUUAUGUGAUUUGUAGAAUUGCAUUCUGUAGUAGGCAAAAUUCUGAUGUGUGUGUGUGUGUGUGUGUGUGUGUGUGUGUGUGUGUGUGGUGGGGGUAGCGGGGGUUCCUGUUGUUUCUUUGUGGCUCUUUCUGUCCAUUUUUAACUUCUGCUGGCAAGAUGCUGGUAUUAAAUCUUUACCCCACUAAGUUAUUAAGUAUUUAAGCUUAUAAUAGACUUGUCCUCUUUACCUUGUCUAUGCGUUCCUGGAAAGAGAGUACAUUAGAAGGUUUACUGGUUGUGACUACCCCACCAUGCCUAGAAUAACUAGGUGAUAAGCCAUCUCAUGCCAAGCUAAUAUUCUGCCCUAUGGGAAGUUUGCUAUAGGUAGUAGGGUGUGCCCCACUACACCAAAGGUGAGGGAGUUAAGCUGUCUGUUUGCAAGAGGGUCAUAGCUUUCCCAUAUACGUGUGCCAGGAUUUGCUGACAGGGAAUCUGUCUUGAUGAGCUGCACUGCAUUCUCAAUGCCUCCAGUGCUAAAGCAUUCAAUGAAAAUAUUUUUGAUUGACUUCUCCCACUGUGGCAGUUUUUGAUUCUGCAGUGGGUUUGGAUUUAAAACUAUUGUGCUUAUUGUCUGAUAAUGGGAACCCCCUAGCUGCUCAUUGCCUUAAAAGGAACCCAGUAGACACACCUGUGAAUUAUGUUUCGCACAUUUUCUACCAACUGGUAAAGCCACUUAAAAUACUUAGAUUCAUUUGUUUUAGAUGUAGGAAAAAAAUCUCUCUGUGUGACUACAAUUGCAUGUCUACUAUAUGUGUAUUUGUUUUUAACCAUUCUUUCUGAAAUGGAAACUGAUCAUUCUGGGUCAUCGCUGAAGAAGUACUUACCCCCUUUUCAGCUGGAAAAAAUAUGUACCUGAAUUAUGGGAGAAUACAAGGAACCUUCAGUUCACCAUUUGUCUUGGCUCCUUUCCUUUGGUAGAGAGGUAGGGGAGAAAGGAAGAAAAAACACACACACACACCAAAACCUCAUGGACUAUUCCCUUAACUUCUUUCCCUGGAGUCAUUGACUACUAACUGAAAUAAACCUAUCUAUUCAUUAAAGAAAAUUAUAUUUGCCUAUUUAAAAAGGCCUAUUUUUCUGUAUCUCUUAUUUUUCUUUAAUUCUGAAGAGUAUUGAAUGGAAAAUAUGCAUUUUCUUUUUUUUUUACAUAGUUUGUGAACAAUUUAAAGAAAACUGUGUAAAACGUCAUUAUGCUUUAGCUUGUGACUUUGUACAGAUCUGAGUGUUGUGUGUUCUUCAUGAUGUAUUGUGUAAAUGAUUAGCUACAAUCACAACCUACUCUUUUGGCUCUGACAGCAGAUAUUUUUGUUAGAUUUGAAUUAGGCAACAAAUAGAAUGCUAACUCUUAACAAGUAUUUUUGCUAUAAGUGCUUUUUUUUUUUUUUUUUGAGACGAAGUCUUGUUCUUGUCACCCAGGCUGGAGUACAAUGGCACAAUCUCGGCUCACUGCAACCUCCACCUCCCAGGUUCAAGUGAUUCUUCUGCCUCAGCCUCCCGAGUAACUGGGAUUACAGGCACCUGCCACCAUGCCCAGCUAAUUUUUGUAUUUUUAGUAGAGACGCCAUUUCACCAUGUUGGCCAGGCUGGUCUCAAACUCCUGACCUCCAGGUGAUCCGCCCGCCUCGGCCUCCCAAAGUUCUGGGAUUACAGGCGUGAGCCACCAUGCUUGGCCGCUAUAAGUGUUUUCUAAUAUUUGUAAUAAGACAUUUUAUUUAUAUAACACUUUAUAAAACUUCAUUGUCUUCUUUGAAUCUCAGCUCCCUAAAACAGGUGCCAUUGUCUCCAAAUUGGGAGCCAGAAAGUAUUCAUGACUUGUUUGAGGUCACAAGUUAGGUUAGUGACAGAGCCAGAACCCAAAUUGAAAUUCUUUCUACAAAGGCUGGACACCUUGACCAAGUAUAUCAGUUUAGCUAGAGCUUUGGCAUAGCUAGAGCUUGUCUGUUGUUCAAAAUGCAGUUUUUCUCUCUUCUCUGCUUCUAUAUGAAGACAACAGUCUUAUCUAUCUUGUUCACAAUUUCAGCCCUAGCAGCUUGCACAGAACUUUGAAUGGAAUAGUUAAUACAUAUAUGUGAAUACAUAUAUGUGAAUGAAUGAAGUACAGAAGAUGCUGAGGGUUUGCUUUGAAUAACAAUGCAGUAUGCCUCCCAUCCCCUUUCUGCAUGCUUCUCUUAUUAUGCUAGAAACAAUAUUUGAAGUUUGAAAUAAUGGAGUUAGACACUGCCUUAUUAUUUAAGGAUUUGAUAUGGUAGUCAGGCAAAAAUAAUUUCAUUUAAAUUCCCUAUUUCUUGACUUACUCUGCUAUCUUAGAAAAUUAAAUUAAUCUCUCUGCUGGGUCUUGAGAUCCAUCUAGAACUUGGCUAUAACCUGAGAAUGUUUUGUGUUCUGGUUUUUUCUUCACUGUUGGAGUCUGCUUGAGAAGGCUGGAAAUGUAUUUUCAUUCCAUUUUUCAGUAUAACACAUUGUGAGUCCUCACUGAAUUAGAUUCUUCCCCCUGAAAAAGCUACCCCUGGAAAGAUGUUUGGCACUUUUGGAUAUUGCUCUUUUGUGUUUUUUUUUUGGACCCCCAGGGAACCAUUUAGUGAAAAUGAACCAUUAUACUUGAAUUCCCGUUCAGCCACUAGAAGAACCAUUGCCCAUGACUUCCCAUUCACAAAAGCCAUGCUCCAGCAUAAGUUUCUGUCUGAAGCACUUUCUAGUUCCAAUCCCAUGUCUUUGGAAUAUUUCAGGCAUGCAGGAGAUCUUUUCUGGAGGUUUUACUGGAAUGAUUAGUUUGUGCUUGAAACAGGAGAAGCAGCUAAGGAUGAGGCCUACUGGGACUCUAGAUGCCAUGGAGACAAGCAGAUAUUAGUUAUGAUUUCCAUCAUUUUUUUCACUACCUCUCUGAAAGUAGUAGAUAUUGUGAUAAGACCUCUCAAGGAAGGGAGGACAAUUAUCCUCUUUCUCCCCUACCUCACCUUUCCACCCUAUAAAAGUGUGGCAGACUCAAACCAAACUUGUUGGCUGGAAGCCUAAAGGGAUUCCUCCUCAUGUGGCAGGCUGUCGUAGCAUUUUUAUGAUAGCUAGUGUUUCUUUUGGUCUGAAACUCUGGUAUGUGAAAUAUAGGUCAGGGGUUGGAAAUUAAUGCCUGCUUUUCAUGUGAGAAGGAAUAAUUGGCAUGAAAUGUAGUAAAGAAUGCCUGCAAGCCUGGCGGUGUUGGGUCAUUUUUUUUUUUUUUUUUUUGUUAUUGGUUUUGGCUGCUAUUCCCAGAAAAAUAAUGGGCAGGUUCACAUUUCUUAGAACAUAUCUUUAUCAACUCUGACAACUUACUGUGUCUUGGACCCCCAAGAGACAGUCAGCCUGGAAGUCUUUGCUUGUGCCAUUUCUGUGCUGGAUCCUUGGCUGUACACACCAUGACAAAUUAAUACAGAUGGAAUAAUGAAUUUCUCUUAUCCCUGAGACCAGACCUGCUGGGGAAAACAUCUAUAUCCUUUGAGAGAUUUGAAAUUAGUAUAACAAGUUCUAUACAGAGAUGAUCAUGUUGAAUAAAGGUUUUAUUUUACUCUUACAUGUACAGUCAUCACUGGAGUAUGCACAUAUUACAGGGAAGCUUAGUCUACAAAUGGGUUGGGUUCUAACCAUUAAUUUUGGAAUGUUGCAGACAUUUUCCUUUAUGAAGAAUGUUAUAGGUCUAUCUGACUUAAAAAUCAAUAGGGGAGUAAAAGUACAGUGCAUUUUCAAUGAAAAACAAUAGAAAACACAUAGUUUUAAUACUAUUAAUUAGGCAAAACAGAGGAACAACACAAUCGAAGAAGAAAUAGUUUUUGCUUUUCUCAAAUGUGGGUGCUUGCAGUUUGAUUAGGGGCAGAUGAAUCAAUGCCUUUUGGUGUUUUAAAGUGGUUUUGAAAACAUUCAAGGACUUGAAGGGUUGGAGGCCAAUCUUUUUCUAUUAAGUCUGUGACCAUUAUAGUUAAAAAAGCUCAUUAGAAAAAAGAAACCUGAAGCAACUUUUUUUUUUUCUCAUUGUCUCUUUAACACAUUGGGUUGAAUAGCUUUUUUCCCGAUUCUUGGAUGAAAUUUUGAGCAGAUCUCAGAGUUUUAAAAAUUGCUCUCUAUUUUCUGGCAAUUAGUAAUCUUCCAGUUACUUUAAAGCUUUAAGCAGUUCAGUUCAGCAUAAUAAUAGAAACCCAUUGUCCUCUUUAAAUUUUCUCCCAUUUCCCAGCCAGGGCCUGACCAAGAAUUGGAAGCCUGGUGUGUGUGUGGUGUUUGUGUGUAUGCAUGUGUGUGAAUGCAUGUGAAUGUGUGUAUAAAUGCAUGUGUAUGAGAGUGUAUGUAUGUGAAUGUAAAGUGUGUGUGUGUGUGUGUGUGUGUGUGUGUGUGUGUGUGUGUAUGAGACAUGGCAUCUCCUCUUCCAUCACUAACUAUGGCUUCUAGUGCCUUCAGCACUGGAGGGGGAUAAGGGAGAAGAGUUAAGGGGACAUCAAAGAGCUUACUGAUGUGAUUUGGAUUUGCCAUCAUGGAGGCUCAAACCUGACUUUAUCACAGGGGUGUUUUUGGAGUGAUUUUGCCUGUGGGAGCCUCAACUGCAACUAUAAUUACUGUAAGAUAGGUGAUACCUCAUACAGUUUGUUACUUUUGACACUGUCCUCGAUUCCUGGCAGUUUGCUAUGUCUUUCCAGGCAGUCCUUCCAAGAACUCUAGGUUUGUUCCUUCCUGUGUGGCACACAGUUGGUGUGCAGAAAGUUUGAUUCCUGCCUUGUUCUCUGCAUUGCUCCUUCAGGCCGGUCUAGCCACAAUGUCUUAUACCUGCACUAACAUUCUUUUAAAACUCUGGGAGAUAUUUAUCAAACUCUUCAAGUGUCUCCUCCCCUUGAAGUUCCUCUCACUUGGCUUAAAGCAAAGAAGUAGGUUUUCUCCCUUGGGAGAGCCAUGCUGCCAAUAACUCUCUCAACAGGAUUCUUCUCCAGUUCUUCAAACUGUAGAGGUUUUUUUUUUUUCUUUUCUUUUUUUUUUAAUUAGGGUUCAUUGAUGCUGAUAAAAACGGUUUUACAAUCAUCUUAGCAGUUCUGCACAGGGCUCUGUUCUUACCUCACUGUCAUAUGAUAUUUAGGCCUUAGGAGCCUAGAAAAAGCUGAAGUAGAAAUAAUUUUAUUUAUUAUUCUGUCGAAUGUCCAAUUUACUUCAAUACAUGAAGUCUUCUUGGCUUUUGCUGUUGAGUAUUAUUAAUACUGCUCCAAUCAGCCCGAAUUCAGGUUUUUUAUGCUCACAAGUAGCAUUAUGAGAAAAACUAAAAGAAAGGUAUUGGUAAAAAAGACAUUGCUUACUCUGAGAUAAAUCUGACAGUGAUAUAUGACAGGAAGAAAUGCAAAUGGCAAAGAAAUAUUAAAAACAUAGUCUAGCGUGAACUUGAAUGUGGAAAAAUGGUGGUGGGGAAGGGAAGUUUCUACUAGGGGACAAGGUCAAAUGGAGGACAUCUUGGUGCAUAUUUAGGGUAGACACUGAAGGGGAGAAAAGGAGCAGAAAUGGUGUACAAAUGGCACCAUUCAAUUUUCCUAUUACCAACCUGGAAAUUAUCAUUAUUCAUAGAGAAAACUAUUCUUCAAAUUAAUCACUUGAUUCUCCUUGUUCUAAUGCAAUCUCAUAUCCUAUUCUAUACCACUAACCCAUCAUAUGCCCAGGCUUCUGCCAGUGUUACCCAGGUGAAUCAUUUAUUCAGCAAAACAGCUAUUUAGGAGGCACCUGUUAAGUACAAGGGCCUGUGCCUGGUGUGUUGAGGAUAUACUAUGUUAUGGCAUAGCCCACUCUCAAGGAGAUUUCAGUUGAGGUGGGAAUGCAUGAUUGUAUGAAGGAUGACGUAGACUCAUAGGCCUGUUAGCAUUAGAACAUUAUUUCAUGUGCUCCUGUUAUUGUAUAGAUGAGAAAACCGAGAUCUAGAAAGAUUCAGUGGCCUUAGAAUCAACUAGUUAAGGAAUGACAGAACGAGGGCUAGAACUUGGUUCUUUUUACUUUUGCUCACUGCUGCUUCUACAACCUCUUUUAAAAAUACAAUACCUUGAUACAAUCUUACAAAGCUAUGGGCCAUUUGUUCCUAAAAAACAACUGUGUGCUGGAGCCAGCUUUCACCAGCUCUUACCAGCAGAUUGUGAGCACCUUUUCAACUGGCCAUGGUAAAAAAAUUUACACCACAGAAAUGGACAAACACCACAAACCUGAGAUCUUCUUCCUUCCAGGGAGAGCCAGUUAUUAAACAUUUACCAGCAUACCACUGCUUAUACAUAACAAAUGUGAUAAGCUCAGACACUCCUUCAUGAAGUGAUCGUCACAUGAAUGCAUUUUAUGGAGAAAUGAACUUUAAGACAGGGAAAGGGGAAAUGACGGAGUCUAUUUGAGACUGGAAUUAUGGAGUGAACAUAAUUCUGGGAUAUCAAAUAGAGAAAUUUGGCGGGGUGGGGUUACAUAGGACAGGAGUCCCUAAAUCACAUGCCUGCAAAGACCAGGCUGAAAAAAUAAAGGUGUAAAUCAGGGUGGAGUUAUGAAUAUUAGGGCAUGAGGAGUCUGUGGUAAAGUGAAAAGUAAAAGCCUCCCUAAAGGUAUUAAAAAAAAAAACAAAACUUCCUGUAUUCUACCCACUUUGAAUUUACCGUAAAGAACUAACAAGGGUAAGCUUAGACAGCAGUUCACAUCAAAUAGGACCCUGAGAAGGGAUUAUCAUUUUCCUUCUUAAAUGAACAUUAGUUUCCUUGACACAGUGAAGGCAACAUUUAGCAUCCUAAUUUAUUUCUCUUUUCUUUCUUACUUCUUCCAUGUUUUCACUGGGAAAUGUCUGUAAAUUAUUGCUUUUUGUUGUGUGUAAAAAGUCGUUCAACCAGCAUUUUCCUUUGUUAGUGUGGGUUAUUUAUAGUUGAGUUUAUGGUACUAUUCUCAGCUUUAUCAUCCUGUUUCAAGGGUAAUGAUACUCCCAAAGAAAUAAAGACUCAGUUUUGUUUCUAAGGAUGUUCAUUCAUAUCUCUAUGUAUCUGAAAAAAAUGUCACUAUGCAAAAUGGAAAGUUCAUAUAUUUUAAGGAAGGAUCUAGAAACACAUUAUUUAAUUGAUUUUUUCUUUCAAAAUGUCCCCAAGUUAAUUUCAAAUAGCCUUUUAAACAUGUUUCUUUUUUACAUUAAUCUGUAAGGAUAACUCCACAUUGAUCAACAGCCAUUUUUAAAAAAUGAGAAUUGCCUUCUGCAGAGAUAUCUUUAUUCUAACAUGUUAAAUCCACAGGGCUUUAUACAAAAUGAAAAAAAUCAAUAAAACGAAUGAUGUGAUUCCUAGUGAAAAGUUGUUCUGUAUAAACAAAAUACUGUAAUUUUUAUCUGAAAAAGUCCUAAAUUCUUAAAAUUCCCUAAUUAUAAUUGCAACUGCAAGAAGCCUAACAACAAAAAAUAUUGCUCUUUGAAAAUGUUCUGCAAGCCCCUCUAAUGACAAUGACUACCAUUGUGUUUGACAAGGAUCCCACUGAUGUUUGCUGCCAGGGGUACAUGUCUCUAGCCUCAAAGAUGGACUUAACUGAGGCAUCCCCUGGGAUGAGCUGGUCAGAAGAAGAGCAAGGGUGGGAUGGACAUGGAUUUUGGCAUUCAGUCGUCAGAAAAUAAGAGACAAUCUAAUCAUCACAAUCUAUUCUACAACUUUAGCCUCCUUAGCACAGAUGGACUAACUGGCAGAGCGUAUUAGAGGGGUUUUUGGGAUGGCCUGCUUGCCCCUGUAACUCUGCUAGAGAUAUAAAUGAAAAAAAAGUAGAUGCUUAAUAAUUGUUUGCUGAAGGAGUCAGGAACUGAGAGGUCAAGUAUUGCAAGUUCUCUCACAAUUUUCAGUCUACUUCAGCCUAGAAUCUGGGCCUCAGCCCGUAGCCACAGGUUUCUCUCUGGCUCUCUGCUGCAGAGGAGGAUGGCACCCAACCAAUUCUGUGCAGAAAGCCAGGAGAGUGCAGAAAAUGUCAUGCUCAUGAGCAAAGUUCUGGGUACAAAGGACUUGUGGAGUCUGGAAAUACCUGAAUUUUCCUUGGAGAGGAAAGAUUAGGCCUGAGAAGUUGUUCAAAAUUGGACCCCUCCUUCCAAAGUGUGUCUGAAAAGUGUGUUUGGGAUAGGCUUGUUAUGUAUGGCCUUUAUCAUGUUGAUGUAUGUUACUUCUAAUCCAGUUUGUUGAGAGUUUUUAUCAUGAAGGGGUGCUGAAUUUUAUUGAAUGCUUUUUCAGCAUCUGUUGAAAUUAUCAUAUGGAUUUUGUCCUUGAUUCUGUUGAUCAUAUAUCAUGUUUAUUGAUUUGCAUGUAUUGAACCAUUACUGCAUGGAUGUGCUUUGAGAAGUGCUGCAUGUUCAACAAUAGCCAGUCAGAUUAAAAGGUGCGCCUAUAGGCCCAGAGCUGCCCAUGUGCCAUGGGAGAAGGACCAAUAGCACUAUGAGCUUCCUGCUAGGGCACACCAAAAUGAAAGUGUUUGGUGUGAGAUGUGUACCACAUCCUCCAAGCCAAAAUUCUGGCUUUCUUCUGGGCUGCCAGCUUUUUCAUUUCACAAAAAUUUCAGCCUUUCACUUCCCUUGCUCAGAUUCUUUUUACCCUGGGAUUUACCCUGAGAUUUUUUAUCCUGUAAAAAAACUACCCUGUAAUUUUUUUUACCCUGAAAUAUUACUCUGUAAUAUUUUUACCCUGGGAUUUACCCUGUCACAAUCCAUAACUUGGUUUUAGCUCCUGUUCUUCUGGUUUCAUUUAGUCCUCAGUGCCCUGAAGCACGUGCCAUCAGUGUCCCCUUUCUCCCUUUCUGUCAUCAUCCAGUGGGCUUUUCCCUGACUUCCAACUCCCAGUAUUUUCAUCUCAGUAUCUCAUUUCUUUUUCAGCAGAAGCACAGAAAACAGCUUUGCCUAUGAUCCAUGAUCAGUGAGCCAGAAGUGCCUGGGAAUUAACAAACCCUGGGAGCAGCUUUCAACAAUGACCUCAGGACAACUCCUGAGAUAUAAAUACCCCAGCUCCCCUGCCUCUUGGAUGCAGUAAUUUGAAGGGGUAUGUUCCCUGGCUCUCAGAGUUUCCUCAGUGAGAUUAAACUCAAGUUGCAUACAAUACUAGUGGGACUGGUAAAGCACCCUUUUUCUUUUUUUGUAUUCCUUCCCUUCUUCUUUACCCUUACACCCAGCAUUUCCUAAAAUUGCUAUUUGCACUCAAAUCCUUGUCUCAGGGUGCUCUGGAACAAUACAAACUCCAGCACAUGUCUAACAUUAGGGGCUCUACCUCUACUCCCUUGCCAUUUCUGUCUUUUUAAAAAACCUCUUGCUGAAUCAUCUAGAUUCUAUUUCUACAAAAGGAUGGGCAAUGGUUUAGAGAUAAAAAAGGAAAUUAUAUAAAUGUCCAAAUAAUUUAUACUUAUGCUAGAUAUUCGGUGCUUUUAAUCAUUAGAAACCAAGGUUGUUGGCUUAGCACAUCAAGUGAAAGAAUUCAGUGAAACCAGGUAGAAAAGGGUACCAAUAUUUUUUUAGGAAUGGUAAUAGCUAAUCAUUUAUUGAACACUAGUGACAAUGUUUAAACUAUGUGUGUGUUACUUAAGUUUAUCUCUAUGUUUAAACUAUGUGUGUGUUACUUAAGUUUAUCUCUACAAUAUUAUUAUAUCUCUAUAAUAUUAUAUAGAUAUAUAUGUAAUAUAAUUAUUAUAUCUCUAUAAUAAACCUAAGAGGUAGAUAUACUUAUUCCAUUUUUACUGAUGAUGAAUAUGAAUGGACCAAAGUAAUUUGCCUUAAAUCAGUCAGCUCAUAAUGGUCAAAAUCCACAUUUAAAGAUCUUACUCAUGUCAAAGUCCAUUCUCUUAAUUAGUCUACAGUCUUCCUUAUAAGUUUUCUUUGAAGUAGAUGGGAGAUAUAUAAUCAGUCCUACUUACUGAUUCUGAAAUGCAAUUGAUCAAAUCAUCAUUCUGAAGGUGUAAGAUUACAGCUUUUCUUUAAAAGGGAUUGAGCUGGCUAUAAAUUGCAGUAUAAAUUCAGAUUUAUUCUGUUUCACCGUUUAAUUCUUGGAAAAGACUACUCAUAAAAAUUCUCUAAUGGCAUUAUUGGUAUUAUGCAUUAAGAGCUAGAAAAAUAGGUCAACAUUUUAGACGUAUUUCUGGUGGCGCAUUUUGCUAUUAGUCUACAAGGAUUAUAGCAGAUCACUAUCUUUAAAUGACAUUGCAACUUGAGGCUCAAAUUCGAUGAUCCUGGGAAAGUUGAAAUUUAGUGCCCUGUUUUGAGGUUAAACUAUGGCUGCAAGUAAUUUCUAGAAAACUGACAUCCUGAUAGACUUGAAAAAUAAAAAAAAAAGAAAGAGGAAACAAAUUAAAAUUGUUCUAUCAGGCUUUGCCAGGGUCUAGAAAUCCUAAUUUAUAAUGAAAUUGGAGGUGAGCUAAGAUAGCAAUAGAAUGAGAAGUUAGGAAAGGGAAGAAAUUGACCAGGAACAGUGAAUAUACUGCUUACAUUAUCUUACAUCAGAAUUCAGGAGUCUCCAACAUUCAUUAACUAAAUUCUCUCUUUUGUGUUUACUCUGAUAGUUUUGUAGUUGUGAUAAUAUUAUAGAUAUAGUCUAGUUGUUGACAUUUGGAGGUAAGAGUAUCUCCAACCUGGGUCAGGUAGCAGUUUAGUAAAGUAUUUUCUCUUCAUUAAGACGAGAGGUGUUACCAAAUGGAAUAAGUAUUUGACUUUUCUGUGUGACCACAUGAUAUAGGUGUUAAAUAGGUUUGUCUUCAGAUGCAAACAUCAGAAAACCUGACUAAAAUCCCUCAGGAUUGAUGGGGUUUACUUUUUCUAAAUAGUGCUAAGUCUGAAGGUAGGUGGCUCUGAGCAUUUAGGGGUUUAGACAUGUGAACUCUCCUUCCUGGUUGCAAGUAGCAAUCCUGGCUUAAUCAAGUUUAUACUCAAGGCAGAAAGAAGAGAGAAUGGAUGACAAAAGCUUCCCCAGAACCCACAUGUGGAGUUUUCCUAUGUCUCAUUAGCCAGAACUGGGUUAUGUUGGCAAGCCCUUGCUGAAGCAGAGACCAGGAAGGUGAAGAUUUAGUUUUUCUGCUCAUACUGUGGAAGGUGAAAGGAAUGGAGGUUAGGGAGGGUAUAGAAUUAGCAAGCCAAGAGUUCCUAUGUAAUGCCAACGUGUAAGUAGGAUCUAUAAAUAUUAAAUCUAAGAAAACAAACUUUAGUAGAACAUACCAAGAAGGACUAACUAAUCAUCACGGCUGCCCAGAACUGCAAUGGGCUCCCCAGUAGGUAAUUCAUUCCCUAUCAGAGCAUAUGUUUAAACACUGGGUGAAUGAGCAUUUGACCGAUUUACUGUGGAGAAGAUUUAAACAUUAGAUAGAUAAGUGGUUGAACUUUAUGUCUUCAAAGUUGUCUUCAAAUCCUCAGGAUUUUAUGAUACUCUGUAAGCAUUCCAAUUGCUUGCAAUUUGAAAAUUGUUUUUUCUUUGUGGUUCGCUUUUCUGUCAUGGCCACUGGCACAAAUCUGCUUUACUUUUAUCUUAACAUUAAUAUCCAACAGUGAGAUAUCUAGUCUCUACAAAGAAAAUGUAUUUAUCUCUGACUGUGUUCUUAUCUUAAAUAAAAACCUUUUACCUCCUUCCAGAAAUAUUGACAGAAUAGAUGCUGAAAGAAUUUUUUUCUAAUGGAUAUGGUUUUUAAUUUGAUGCAUUUUAAACUUUCAAAGGCUUCGUUAAAGCUCACACACAUUGUCUUUUAGAUGCCCAGUAGGAUGUACAUUUCUGUAGCAAUCUCGAAGCACUUCCCCUAUUUUUGUACAAACUUAUGAGAUAAUCCCUAUUUGGAUUUGAGUCUAUGUUCAUGAAAGUCAGAAGUUGUUUAAAGAGAAAAAUCAUGUAAGUAGUGAGUUGAAAUUUUGAACUGGGUAAUACUGAAAGUUUUGAAUUUUUGCCAAAUACAGGCCAAACUAAAAUGUACCCUAAUCCCAGUACUUUAUGUGAAAUAAGAUUGAUUUCUGCUUUGUAUGAGAAAAAGCUAAACCAAAGAUGUUCGAAAAAAUGCUGGAAUUAAUAGUCUACCCAAGAGCAAUGAAUUAUAUUUGCCAAUCCCUGGAAUCAAAUGAGUAUUUAAAAUAUACCUGUAAGUCUCAAGACAGAAAACUUUUAUUAUUAUUAUUUUCCUUUUCACAAAUAGUAUCAGGAAAGACUAAUUAAACAAGGAUGUGGAGAAUACAGAACUAACUUAAAAAGAAAAAUCCCCAACUUUGAUUUUUUAAAAAUAAUCCAAAUUGAAUAAAAGUUGAGAUAUGUUCUUCUCUGGUCAGGCAUUAUUAAAAUAAUUGAUAGCACUCGGUGAUGGUAAGGAUAUAGGAAAACAGGCCUUGUCAUUUAUUUCUGGUGGAAAUGUAAAUUGACUCAAGUGAUUUGGAAGGUAAUUUUUAAAGUAUCUGUAAAAAGCCCUAAAAAUGUAAUGAUCAUUGACUCAGAAAUUUCACCUUUAGCAAUUUAUCCUCAGGAAAUUCUUACAUGAGUUCCAAAAUAUAACCAAAUAAUAUUGCUGUGGUAUUAUUUGUAAUAGUGAAAAAUUGCAUAUAACCUAAAUAAAUCAUCACUGAUACAGUGGUGGUUGAGAAAACUAUGGGACAUUUGUAGAGUGGCAAAUUAUGUGGAUUUAAAAAUAUAAUAAAGCCUGAAGAUGAAAAUAUCUAUAAUAUAUUGAAAAAAGAAAAAUGUAGAAUAUUAUGUAUAGCCCAAUCUCACUUUGAUUUUAAAAAUUGUAUGACUGUAUCCAUCUUAUAAAAAGUUUUGAAGGAUAUAUCAUUAACUGUUUAAUAGUAGUCACAUUUUGGGGCUGGAGUUCAGCAUGAUUUUACAAAACAAUGUCUUAAAAGUUGAACUCAGCCUGAGCAACAUGGCGAAACCACUUCUCUACAAAAAAUACAAAAAUUGCGCCACUGCAUUCCAGCCUGGGCAACACAGGGAGACCUUGUCUCAAAAGAAAAAAAAAAAGAACUCAAUUUGGGAACCAUCUAUCCAGUAAAGGCUCUGUUAAGUGUAUUUCUUUCAUGUUAGGUAUCUUAAAAGUAUUCAUGUGGUCCUAGGAAUAGCAAGUCUUACAGCCAGGAUGUGUUGAGAAGAAAUUGCCUGAGAAAUUAGUAAAAAAGGCAAUUGGAGAUAAAUUUACUUCUAGUUCUGGUCUUUACACAGGCUAUUUAUAAUUUGGGCCACAUCAACUAAAAUUCAGUGCUUCAGUUUGUCUGUCUUGGAAAAUGGGAAGCUUAAAGAUGAACUGAAACUGAGUAAUUCUAAGUGCAUCUGUAUAUGAAUGUCAAGCAAUAUUUAUUUACCUCUUUGUUUCCUUCUUUGUGAGUUUUUUUUUUAAGAUGGGUAUCUUUAAGAUUAAGUUAUUCUAAGCACACUAUCUCUGCAUUGUUAAAUCCAUGGAAUGGUUUCUUCUUAUUAAAUUUCUUCGUAUUUGAAGCUUGUCUUGGAGAAAAAUAAUUUUCUCCUUUUCUGAAUAUCCUGUCACAACUAUAAGGUACACUUCCUUAGGGAAGGGUAGGAAAAUUAUGCAGAACAAUUUUCCUAAUGCAGCUAUUCUCUUGUUGAGUCUUUAUCAACUCCCUUUCUUGCAUGCUCUCUGUCUUUUUGCAGGUUUCUAUUUCCUUUGCCCAAAUGGGAUCAUCUUGGGAUUGUAGGUCCUUUGGACUCAAUGAUAUUUAAUAAAGGUCUUACUGUAUAUUCCAGAUCAGAAGGACAGUUCUUUUCUAUGGUUAAAUUUUUUUUUUAAUAAUUCUUACUAUUCAAUGCAAUGAAUGGAAUAAAUGGCCAUUGAGGGUUGGUUGGUGAACUGAAUUUUGUUGUUAUUGUUUUUUUACACUUGGCUUUUUCAUCUCUCAUUUUUUCCCUUAGUUUCAUUAUGAGAAUUUUCUCUUUUUUUUUUUGUAUACCACAAUUAUAGUGGUCGCUCAUUUUAAAAAUACCUCUCACAUAUGUAGGUGGUUGGUCAUACACCAUACAUUAUAUUACAUAUAUAAUGAAAGCUGAAUUUAAGAAUAGAUCACAAGUACUAGGAUCAAAUCUGCUUUCCAAAUGUCUUAUAUUCUAUUUCAUGAUGCAGUUUUGAAGAAAGUGCUAUGACAUUUGCCAAACACAUCUAUCAAUGCAUGGAAUAUAAUGCAUCACUUGCUGUCUUUUAUGCUCAGUGAAGCUCCAAGCUGAGGUGGUUGCCUCUAGACAAGAACAGCAUUAGAGCAUUUCUGGUUCAGUAUCAUUUGGCAUGAUACAGAGCCAUUAAUGCAGGUGUCUAAAGGGCUUUGAAAGCACUUGGCAGGUCAGUGCCUUUUAAACAUGAUUAAUAGCCAUUAAUUAGUUUUAUUUAAUUUACUAUUAUAUUAUAGUCAAUUCUAGAGGUAAGAUAAUACACAAAUUUUAAAUAACCCAGUAAGAAAGAAUACAUUAGAAUUAAAUAACCAAGACUAACCCAAGUCAUUAAGAAUAAAAAUCUUCAAAAAACUUCUGAAUAUCUAGAUCAAAGUUGUCCAGUAGAAAUAUAAUGCAAGCCACAUUCAUAAUUUAAAAUUUUCCAGUCACAUUAAAAAUAAAUGGCAUUAAUUUUAAUAAUAUAUUUAAUUUUACUCAAUAUAAUAAAAAUAUUAUCAUCUCAACAUGCAAUCAGUUUUAAAAAUUAGAGAUGUUUUAUAUUCUUUUUUAAUAAUAACUUUUUGAAAUCUGGUGUGUAUUUUAUGCUUACAGCAUCUCUGAAUUCAGAUUAGUCAUAUUUCAAAUGCUUAAUGGCCAUAUGUAGAGGCUACCAUAUUGGACAGUGCAGGUCUAGGUUUUUAAAGUUGAAGCUGGAGCACAAGUUCCUUUUUAUUUUAUCUUAAUGAAAGAAAUAGAAUGGCUAGUAGGUUACAAUUAGAGUAACUAAUAAAUGCUUAAAAUGGCAACCAAGUCUAAGGACAUACAGCAAACCACCACUUAAUCUUAAUAAAGGAAGUGCAAUGGAUCCAUUGCUGAUUCAAUGCCAAGGUGUAAAGAAACAUACAAGCUGCUAGUGACUUCUAUUAUGCAACAAAUAAAACUGUAACCCACAAAUCCAAAGGGAAAAGUAAAACUAAUGAGCUUUGGUUGGAAUGAGACCAAUGGUGGAACCAGUUUGACCACACAAGCAUUUCUUUUAGGCUCUUGGGGAGAUGGAUUUAAGGGCCACACUCUAGGCCUGAGGGCAGAGAGCCAAAGGGCAAAAGUGAGAUCUUCCAAAUAUAAGCUUUUAUAUGUUGCCCAUCUGUUAGUCUCCUAAAGAAGCUUGGUGAACUGACAGGCAGACUGACUGGUAGAUGUAUGGUGUGCUGUUUUAGUAUCAUAUUCCAGUUAAUAGUAGGAAUAGCUUGCAUUUAUGCAGCAUUCAGUCUUUUAAAGAGCACUUCCAUUUAUUCCUUUGCAACUUUUUAAAGCAAGUUUUACAAAUUAUGGCACACUAAGCAAACUAAGGCCCAAAACUUUCAUUUUAACAAAUGAUAUUGAGCAAUUAAUAAGCAAGGAAUUAUGCUCGGCUUCCAGAGAUAAUGGUAAUUGUUACUUGAGAACAUAGAUAUAUAAGAUCUCACAUAUCUAGGUCCCAAAUAUGACCAUUUGAAUCAUUUGGUUUCAAGGUAAUGUGUUCAGGUCUCCUUCAGGCAAAUGCCCAAAUCUUGCUGUGUAGCUAAUCUGUAUACUUCUUUAUCCUGGUGAACUGGAUUUACUAUGCAUAAGCCUCAAGGAAUCCUUUUCUCAGACUGAGGUAGAGCCACCAAAACUCUUUCUUUUUUUCUUUUUAUGGGUUCUUUUUAGCCUUUCCAUCAGCUUUCCAAGGGGAAGAUAAAAGAUAAUUAAGAAUGAGUUGCUUUUGGACUCUUCAUUUUUCCAGCCAAAGCUGUACUUAAUCUUUAAGACUCUUGGACCUAUGUCAGAGCUCUGCUUGCAAGAAGUACACAUAUUCUAUGUAGGUGAUGGUGACAGUGUUUGUGAAAAGAUGGGUACCACCUCAAAUUCUCCCUAGAGGUUAACAUGAGAUAGAACAGAGUAUGUGACUAAAGCAUUCCCAAUCUUGUAUUUUUCUUCCCUUAAAUCAAUUGACUUAACUUUCAGAUCCAAUGAACCAGAGAUGUUGCUACCUCUUUCAAGAGAGAUGAGUGGAGGUUUUUUGUCAGUUUUUUGUAUGUGUGUGUGUGUGUGUGUGUGUGUGUGUGCAUGUGUGUGUGACUUCUGCAGUCCUUGGCAUUGCUUCUAUUUAUCUUGAAAAAAAAUGAUAAGCAUUUUUAUCCAUAUGGCUAUUUGUAAGUGUGCUACUUUUAUUGCCCCCAGAAACCACUAAACUAUAUGACGUAGUUACUUAAAUUGGCAGCAAAUUCAUUCUAAAGCCAUAUUAUAAAAUGGGCAAGAAUUUCACCUUAAUUAUUCUCUCAAAUUGUUCCUAGCUAUUGUUGAACCAAAUGUACAAGCUUGAUCUAUACAGUUAUGUGUCACUUAACAAUGAGGAUAUGUUCUGAGAAAUAUAACCUUAGGUGAUUUCAUUGUUUGAACACUACAGAGUAUACUUCACAAACCUAGAUUAUACAGCCUACUACACACCUAGGCUAUACGGUACAGCCUAUUGCCCCUAGAAUACAAACCUAUAGAGUAUGUUACUGUACUGAACAUUGUAGGCAAUUAUAACAUGGUGGUAAAUAUUUGUAUAUCUAAACACAAUUAAACAUGGAAAAGGUAGAGUACAGUACAAAUAUGGCAUAAAAGAUUUUUUUUAAAAGCACACCUGUACAGUGCACUUACCAUGAAUGAAGCUUGCAGGACUGGAAGUUGCUCUGGGUGUCAGUGAGUGACUGGUAAGUGAAUGUGAAAGCCUAGCACACUACUGUAUAAUACUGUAGACAUUACAAACACUAUACUUAGGCAACACUAAAUUUAUUAAAAAUAUAUUUAUUUCUUUCAUAAUAAAUUAACCUUGGCUUUUUGUAACCUUUUUACUUUAUAAACUUUUUAAUUAUUUUUCGCUUUUUGACUGUUUUGUAAAAACUCUUAGUUUAAAGCAUGAACACAUUGUACAGCUAUACAAAAGUAUUUUCUUUAUAUCCUUAUUCUAUGUUUUUUCUAUUUUAAACAUUUUAUUUUAUUUUAUUUUAUUUUACUUUUAAAGGGUCUUUGUUAAAAAAUAAGACACAAGCACACAAUGAGCCCAGGCCUACACAGGGUCAGGAUCAUCAAUAUCACUGUCUUCCACCUCCACAUUUUAUCCCAUCGGAUGGUCUUCAAGGGCAAUAACAAGCAUGGAGCUGUCAUCUCCUAUGAUAAUAGUGCUUUCUUCUGGAAUAGUUCCUGAAGGACCUGCCUGAGGCUGUUUUACAGUUAACUAUUUUAUAUAAGUAGAAGGAGUACACUGUAAAACAAUGAUUAAAAGUAUAGUGCAGUAAAUACAUAAACUAGUAACACAGUCAUUUAUUAUCAAGUAUAACAUACUAUACAUAAUUGUAUGUGUUAUGCAUGUAUACAACUGGCAACGCAGUACAAUUGUUUACACCAGCAUCACCACAAACACAUGAGUGAUACAUUGUGCUAUGACACUAGAUAGCUAUGACAUCACUAGGCAAUAUGAAUUUUUCAGCUCCAUUUUAAUCUUAGGGAGCCACCAUAGUACAUGAUGUCUGUCCUUCAAAAUGUUUUGAGGUGCAGGACUAUGUAUUUUGUGCUAGACUUAUUACAAGUUUAAACAAAUAGUACAGUAUUAGUAGUAUAAAGGUGCCUGAAAUUUGUUCUAUCAUCUUUUACAUAUGUAUUUAAUAUUACAAGAAUUUGUCAUCUUUUCAGUGAAUUGUUUAUUCUUACAUAAUAUGCGAAAGCCCCUCCUUUGGUAUAAAAAUACUGGAUUUCCCUCUCUGACUCUAAUGGGAAUGAGAUCCUUCUUCUGCGGCCUGACUAGAGUUGCUGGAACAGGUUAUCUCUCUUUGGCUUUUUCUACUUUCCCAAGUUAUUAGAGACAAUCAGGAAUCACUGCAGCAAUCCUGGCCCCCCAAAGACCUUAUUAUCCAAGAAGUUUGUUGUUGAAGGGUAGGAAAUUGAUAUGGUUUGGCUGUGUCCCCACCUAAAUCUCAUCUUGAAAUGUAGCUCCCACAAUUCCCACGUGUUGUGGGAGGGACCAGGUGGGAGGUAAUUGAAUCAUCAGGGUGGGUCUUCCAGGUGCUAUUCUCGUGGUAGUGAAUAAGUCUCACAAGAUCUGAUGGUGUUAUAAUCACCUGCUUCCUCUUUUGCUUGGCUCUCUUUCUCUCUCUCGCCUGCUGUGAUGUAAGACAUACCUUUCACCUUCUGCCAUGAUUGUGAAGCUUCCUCAGCCAUAUGGAACUGUAAGUCCAUUAAACCUCUUUUUCUUUAUAAGUUAUCCAGUCUCAGUUAUGUCUUUAUCAGCAGCAUGAAAACAGACUAAUGCAGAAAUCAAUGGAGAGUUACCUCUAGGGUUAACAAGGUUCUUGGAAGGUCCUUUUGUUUUGGGAGGUCUUCUGUUUUUGUUUUUAUGGUGAGAGAGACUUUACAUGGUUGUGAUCAGAAAGAAAAGUCCACUAAGAAGGAGAUGGUUUUAUCAGCAUUAUCUUCAGUAACCCAGGUGAGAAUGAUGGUGAGGUUGUGAUGAUAGAGAUGUUUCUUGAUCAAAAAUCAAAGUGAUAGCAGAGAAAAAGAAAAAGAUGAUAGAGCUUAUAUCACACUCUCAUAAUCUAUGUCAGGUAAAAGACAUGGUUAUAAUUAAGAGUGGGUUUGAGGCCAGGCACGGUGGCUCAUGCCUGUAAUCCCUGCACUUUGGGAGGCUGAGGCGGGUGGAUCACAAGGUCAGGAGAUAGAGACCAUCCUGGCUAACGUGGUGAAAACCCGUCUCUACUAAAAAUACAAAAAAUUAGCCAGGCAUGGUGGGACACGCCUGUAGUCUCAGCUAUUUGGAAGUCUGAGGCAGGAGAAUUGCUUGAACCUGGGAGGCAGAGGUUGCAGUGAGCCGAGAUUGUGCCACUGCGCUGCAGGCUGGGCAACAGACCAAGACUCCACCUUAAAAAAGAAACAAAACAAAAAAAAAAAAAAAAAAAACAAAAAAAAAACAGUGAGUUUGGAGAAGUAAUUUUGAAACAAAUGGAAAAAAUAGAGAACCUCUCUGUUUUGGAGGAUCGGCAGUGGUUUUGAACUCUGGCAAUCACCUGUGACCUUUUAAAAACACCAGAUGUCAGGACCCCACCUUGGACUAAAUGAAUUUCUGGGAGGUGGGACUAAGGCCUGGUGUUUUUAGAAGCUUCAGAAGUUUCUAAUGUGUAGCCAGGGUUGAGAAUCUACUAGUGUGGUGUUGUCAUGGAAUGUACUGGCAAAAACUGUAAUUACUUUUGCACCAACCUAAAACUAAGGUGGUAGUUUCCCACUCAAGACCAGUUAAAUUAGAAGUUUGGAGUGUGGGGUCAGGAUCAGUGUUUUUCAAAAGCUUUCCAGGUGGUUCCAAUGAGUAUCUCUGAGAAUCACUGCACUGGAGAACCUGGGUGAAAGAAUACAAAAGCAGGAAGGGUGGGAGAUGGAGGGAUUUGCCUCUAAAACUGAGGAUGCUCCUUUAUAUUUUCCAGGAGGUUCUCUUACUUGAUCUCUACUUCCUUGGUGUUGAUGUUUAACCUCUAUUGUGGAUUUCCAUCACAUUCACCCAUAUUUGGACCCAGAACAAAUAUAUCUGCUAUUGUAGCACAUCUAUUGAUGUAAGCAUGCCCCACAUAGUUUCAUUUCCAAGUCUGCCUUAAAACUUCAGACGGCCGGGCACGGUGGCUCACGCCUGUAAUCCCAACACUUUGGGAGGCCGAGGCAGGCGGAUCAUCUGAGGUCAGGAGUUUCAGACCAGCCUGGCCAAUAUGGUGAAAUCGUGUCUCUACUAAAAAUAUGGAACUAGCUGGGUGUGGUGGUGCAUGCCUGUAAUCCCAGUUACUCAGAAGGCUGAGGCAGGAGAAUUGUUUGAACCUGGGGAGGCAGAGGUUGCAGUAAGCUGAGAUUGUGCCAUUGCACUCCAGCCUGGGCGAGAGAGCAAAACUCUGUCUCAAAAAAAACAAAACAAAACAAAACUUCAGACUAAACCAGCCUUUGUUCCCCUUGGUCUCCCACAAACCUGGGAAGGGAGAUUAAACCAUUACUAUCUGUAUCCUAGGUUUUUACGAGUUUAUUCUAUGGACUCACGCUAAAGAAAGAAGCCUCAAUUUACUUUGACUAAGACUUGACCUGAUUCCAAUUUACUCUCAGUGUAAAAGGAGACCAGAACUAUAAAGGGAACCACAGGCACCGUUUGAAUCUGCCUGCUAUGCUAUAUUCCUUAUCUAAGUGAAUGGCAUCGCUAUUCCACCUUAUGCUGAAGUUUAAACCUUCCAGUUUCAUCCUAAGCUUACAAAAGUUGUUGUUAUAAGACAUAGAACAUAGUUACUUAAACUGAAAAUAAAUUCAUUAGUCAUGUGUAAUUUUUAACUCUUUGGAAUUUCUCUUAGAAAACCAUUAUAUCCACUUAAUUCUCCAGUUCUAUUACUUCGUCCACGUCUCAAUUUUUUCAUCCUCUUUUCUCUACCUUGACCAUCACUGACAAAACUCAAGUCACCAUCUCUACUAAUGCAUUAAUUCCCAUACUUAUCUGCCAACCUCUAGUUCCAUUUCAGCUGCCCCUCCCUCCUCCUCCCGCUUAAUCCUUCUUUCUCAUUGCUGCCAAAUUGGCUUAUCUCCAAUGCAAAUGUGAUGAUUUUACUUCCCUAAUCAAAUUCUUUUAAUGUCUUCCAUAGGCUCAAAAGUAACAUCUGGGGGUGGCAUUCAAAGCCAUCAUGAUGUGGUUCCUGUCUACUUUUCCUGUUUUAUUCCUGCUGCUGUCCCUCUUUCCAUUCCAUAGUGUUCUGUUUUUGCCCACGUGGUACCCUGCCCAGUUAGUUCACCUGACACAUUGCUCAUCCUUCAGGUCUUAGCUCCAUAUCUUCUUUCUGAAGCUACCCUUCCUUGCCUAGGCAGCCUGAGGCAUCUCUUUGCUUGAUAAUGCCAUCGUUCUUUAGAACAUUCUUCCACGAAGUCAUUUUCUUCACUCUAAUUGCUAAUCACAUAUGUCUCUAAUCCCAUUAGACUAUAUGCUUCUUGAAGGUGCAGCUUUUAUGUUUGGAUUUGAAUCUUUAGAUAAACUAAUAGUAUAAUUUGAGUCGGCUAAGAGAAAACCAGUGUUGUAACUAAUAGCAGAAUCUUCACAGUCCAUUUAGCACUGAAUUAUAUUAACUCAAAGCUAGUGAGGUCAUUAUAAGUGAUAAAUCCAAUUUCUUAUGACAUAUAUUUUGUAACUAAAGUUUCACUAUUAUACUACCAUUUUUAUUUAACAGUAAAAAAGAUUUUAUUACUGAGUAUAGACAUUUCAAUCUGGAAAAUACUCUCUUGUUGCAGCAUUCUUGGUCUGUAGUCAUGAUCUAUGAUCUAUGGUCAUCUGUUUCAAAAUGCACUUGCUAACAUUCUAAAGCUCCCUGACUUGUUUAUUAAUUCAUUUAUUUAACACAUAUUUAUUCAAUAUGCACUAAAUAUAGAGGACAAUGCUAAGGUUGAAGGACUUAAAGACAUAAAAACAUGGUUUUCCCCUUGUGGAAUUAGAAAGUAUAUAGGCUUUAUUUAUCUAAAUUAAUUCUCAUAACAUCCUGAUAGGCAAUUAUUAUCUCUGUCUUAUAAAUGAGGAUAUUGCAGAACAGUAUUUAUAAUCUCAAAAGUGUCUUAGAAUGCUCAUGUUUGUCAAAUAUAAAAUGUGUAAGCCUCUUGUUUUGGAGAUUUUCUUAUAGUUUACAAUGGUGGGUAUAUUUUUUCCUUUUUUUAAUUACACUUUAAGUUCUGGGAUACAUGCGCAGAACGUGCAGGUUUGUUACGUAGGUAUACACGUACCAUGGUGGUUUGCUGCACCCAUCAACCCCUCAUCUACAUUAGGUAUUUCUCCUAAUGCUAUCCGUCCCCUAGACCCCCACACCCAACAGGCCCUGGUGUGUGAUGUUCCCCUCCCUGUGUCCAUGUGUUCUCAUUGUUCAAUUCCCACUUAUGAGUCAGAACAUGCAGUGCUUGGUUUUCUGUUCCUGUGUUAGUUUGCUGAGAAUGAUGAUUUCCAGCUUCAUCCAUGUCCCUACAAAGGAUAUGAACUCAUCCUUUUUUAUGGCUGUAUAGUAUUCCAUGGUGUAUAUGUGCCACAUUUUCUUAAUCCAGUCUAUCAUUGAUGGACAUUUGAGUCGGUUCCAAGUCUUUGCUAUCGUGAAUAGUGCCACAAUAAACAUACAUGUGCAUGUGUCUUUAGUGUAGAAUUAUUUAUAAUCCUUUGGGUAUAUACCCAGUAAUGGGAUUGCUGGAUCAAAUGGUAUUUCUGGUUCUAGAUCCUUGAGGAAUUACCACACUGUCUUCCACAAUGGUUGAACUAAUUUACACUCCCACCAACAGUGUAAAAGCAUUCCUAUUUCUUCACAUCCUCUCCAGCAUCUGUUGUUCCCUGACUUUUUAAUGAUAGCCAUUCUAACUGGCAUGAGAUGUUAUCUCACUGUGGAUUUGAUUUGCAUUUCUCUAAUGACCAGUGAUGAUGAGCUUUUUUUCAUUAUAUUUGUUGGCUGCAUAAAUGUCUGCUUUUGAGAAGUGUCUGUUCAUAUCCUUUGCCCACUUUUUGAUGGGGUUGUUUUUUAAACUUUAAUGUUCACAUGUCAUCCCAGGAUCUUGUUAAAAUAUAGACCUGAGUCAAUAGGUCUGGGGGGGGAUCUGAGAUUCUGCAUAUCCAAUAAACUCUGAGACACCAUGCAACUGGUCUAUGAACCAUGCUUUAAUAGCAAAGAUUUAGAAAUUGUCAUUUGUAGAAUUCUGUUGCAUUGAACAUUGUUCUCUUAUUCACUGAGUCUUUUAUAUUGAAGAUGGAGUCAGCACUACCUCUAAAAACUUGUUUAAACAUGAGGGCUGAGUGUUGAGUUCUCAGAUCCUUGAUUUUCCUUAGCUCUGAGACCAGUCAAUGUGUUUCCACCAUAAAUCCUCUUUAAUGAUUCUACCCCACAACAAUUGAUUUCUCCUUCCAAAUAUUGCUGUGAUUAUUAAUAGUUACAUUUUCAUACCUGCUAGCUUUGUUUCCUAACCUGGACUGUAAGCCCCUUAAGGCAGGGACCAGAUCUUAUUCAUUCAUUAACCCCCACACUGCUAACAUAAUGCCGUACAUCUGAUACCAGUAUAGGAGCUUUUAUUUACCAAGGAAUCUAGUAUGUGCCUUGGACUGAACUUCAUCUUGUAUAUGCAUUUUCUCAUUUAAUGUUUCACAAAACAUAUGAAGUUCUUACCAUUUUGCAGAUAUACAAAUUGAGACCCAGAUAGUUUGUUAAUUAAAUAAAUUCAUGUAUUCAGUAGUGGCAUGAGAAUUUGAAUGCAGGUUUAAUUCCACAGGCCAUGUUCUUUUCUUUCUGACAAACUACACCAUUUCCCAUUACAGUAGACACUUAAUUAUACUUGAACUGAUGACUAAUUCUAUGAGCUAAUUAUUGUUUGAAGCAGAAUUGAAUUAGAAACUUUAUUUGACUUUGUUUUAUCCUUCUUUUUUAUGGUGAGAACCUCUGUAUUAGGAAUCAACAAGGGGAAUUUCAGGAAAUGACUCUGAUCUAAUUACUGUUAUUUUUCAGUCAGGUGAGAUUCCUAGACUUUGGCAGAUUUCAGGCUGAAAGUGCCAUGAGCUUUAUUAAAUUUUAUGAAAGAUUGGCAGCCCUGACAAGGCCAUUGUCAGUGCUUCUGCCCAGAUUAGUGGCUACAUGGUUGUCCAAUCUUCACCAUCACUUCUUCUUUUUUCUUUUUUUUUUUUAAUUAUGCUUUAAGUUCUAGGGUACAUGUGCACAGCGUGCAGGUUUGUUACAUAUGUAUACAUGUGCCAUGUUGGUGUGCUGCACCCAUUAACUUGUCAUUUAACAUUAGGUAUAUCUCCUAAUGCUAUCCCUCACCCCUCCCCCCACCCCACAACAGGCCCCGGUGUGUGAUGUUCCCCUUCCUGUGUCCAUGUGUUCUCAUUGUUCAAUUCCCACCUAUGAGCGAGAACAUGCGGUGUUUGGUUUUUUGUCCUUGCCAUAGUUUGCUGAGAAUGAUGGUUUCCAGCUUCAUCCAUGUCCCUACAAAGGACAUGAACUCAUCCUUUUUUAUGGCUGCAUAGUAUUCCAUGGUGUAUAUGUGCCACAUUUUCUUAAUCCAGUCUAUCGUUGGACAUUUGGCAUGGUUCCAAGUCUUUGCUAUUGUGAAUAGUGCCACAAUAAACAUACAUGUGCAUGUGUCUUUAUAGCUGCAUGAUUUAUAAUCCUUUGGGUAUAUACCCAGUAAUGGGAUUGCUGGGUCAAAUGGUAUUUCUAGUUCUAGAUCCCUGAGGAAUCGCCACACUGACUUCCACAAUGGUUGAACUAGUUUACAGUCCCACCAACAGUGUAAAAGUGUUCCUAUUUCUCCACAUCCUCUCCAGUGCCUGUUGUUUCCUGACUUUUCAAUGAUCGCAAUUCUAACUGGUGUGAGAUAGUAUCUCAUUGUGGUUUUGAUUUGCAUUUCUCUGGCCAGUGAUGAUGAGCAUUUUUUCAUGUGUCUUUUGGCUGCAUAAAUAUCUUCUUUUGAGAAGUGACUGUUCAUAUCCUUCACCUACUUGUUGAUGGGGUUGUUUGUUUUUUUCUUGUAAAUUUGUUUGAGUUCAUUGUAGAUUUUGGAUAUUAGCCCUUUGUCAGAUGAGGAGAUUGCAAAAAUUGUCUCCCAUUUUGUAGGUUGCCUGUUCACUCUGAUGGUAGUUUCUUUUGCUGUGCAGAAGCUCUUUAGUUUAAUUAGAUCCCAUUUGUCAAUUUUGGCUUUUGUUGCCAUUGCUUUUGGUGUUUUAGACAUGAAGUCCUUGCCCAUGCCUAUAUCCUGAAUGGUAUUGCCUAGGUUUUCUUCUAGGGUUUUGAUGGUUUUAGGUCUAACAUUUAAGUCUUUAAUCCAUCUUGAAUUAAUUUUUGUAUAAGGUGUAAGGAAGGGAUCCAGUUUCAGCUUUCUUCAUAUGCCUAGCCAGUUUUCCCAGCACCAUUUAUUAAAUAGGGAAUUGUUUCCCCAUUUCUUGUUUUUGUCAGGUUUGUCAAAGAUAAGAUAGUUGUAGAUGUGUAGUAUUAUUUCUUAGGGCUCUGUUCUGUUCCAUUGAUCUAUAUCUCUGUUUUGGUACCAGUACCAUGCUGUUAUGGUUACUGUAGCCUUGUAGUAUAAUUUGAAGUCAGGUAGCGUGAUGCCUCGAGCUUUGUUCUUUUGGCUUAGGAUUGACUUGGCAAUGCAGGCUCUUUUUUGGACCCAUAUAAACUUUAAAGUAGAUUUUUCUAAUUCUGUGAAGAAAGUCAUUAGUAGCUUGAUGGGGAUGGCCUUGAAUCUGUAAAUUACCUUGGGCAGUAUGGCCAUUUUCAUGAUAUUGAUUCUUCCUACCCAUGAGCAUGGAAUUGUCUUCCAUUUGUGUGUAUCCUCUUUUAUUUCAUUGAGCAGUGGUUUGUAGUUCUCCUUGAAGAGGUCCUUCACAUCCCUUGUAAGUUGGAUUCCUAGGUAUUUUAUUCUCUUUGAAGCAACUGUGAAUGGGAGUUCACUCAUGAUUUGGUUGUUUGUCUGUUAUUGGUGUAUAAGAAUGCUUGUGAUUUUUGCACAUUGAUUUUGUAUCCUGAGACUUUGCUGAAGUUGCUUAUCAGCUUAAGGAGAUUUUGGGCUGAGACAGUGGGGUUUUCUAGAUAUACAAUCAUGUCAUCUGCAAACAGGGACAAUUUGACUUCCUCUUUUCCUAAUUGAAUACCCUUUAUUUCCUUCUGCUGCCUGAUUGCCCUGGCCAGAACUUCCAACACUAUGUUGAAUAGGAGUGGUGAGAGAGGGCAUCCCUGUCUUGUGCCAGUUUCCAAAGGGAAUGCUUCCAGUUUUUGCCCAUUCAGUACGAUAUUGGCUGUGGGUUUGUCAUAGAUAGCUCUUAUUAUUUUGAGAUACAUCCCAUCAACAGCUAAUUUAUUGAGAGUUUUUAGCAUGAAGCGUUGUUGAAUUUUGUCAAAGGCCUUUUCUGCAUCUAUUGAGAUAAUCAUCUGGUUUUUGUCGUUGGUUCUAUUUAUAUGCUGGAUUAUGUUUAUUGAUUUUCGUAUGUUGAACCAGCCUUGCAUCCCAGGGAUGAAGCCCACUUGAUCGUGGUGGAUAAGCUUUUUGAUGUGCUGCUGGAUUUGGUUUGCCAAUAUUUUAUUGAGGAUUUUUGCAUUGAUGUUCAUCAGGGAUAUUGGUCUAAAAAUCUUUUUUUUUGUUGUUUCUCUGCCCGGCUUUGGUAUCAGGAUGAUGCUGGCCUCAUAAAAUGAGUUAGGGAGGAUUCCCUCUUUUUCUAUUGAUUGGAAUAGUUUCAGAAGGAAUGGUACCAGCUCCUCCUUUUACCUCUUGUAGAAUUUGGCUGUGAAUCCGUCUGGUCCUGGGCUGUUUUUGGUUGGUAAGCUAUUAAUUAUUGCCUCAGUUUUGGAGCCUGUUAUUGGUCUAUUCAGAGAUUCAACUUCUUCCUGGUUUAGUCUUGGGAAGGGUGUAUGUGUUGAGGAAUUUAUCCAUUUCUUCUAGAUUUUCUAGUUUAUUCGUGUAGAGGUGUUUAUAGUAUUUUCUGAUGGUAGUUUGUAUUUCUGUGGGAUCAGUGGUGAUACCCCUCUGUCAUUUUUUAUUGCAUCUAUUUGAUUCUUCUCUCUUUUCUUCUUUAUUAGUCUUGCUAGUGGUCUAUCAAUUUUGUUGAUCUUUCAAAAAAACGGUUCCUCAAUUCACUGAUUUUUUUUAAAGGGUUUUUUGUGUCUCUAUUUCCUUCUGUUCUACUCUGAUCUUAGUUAUUUCUUGCCUUCUGCUAGCUUUUGAAUGUGUUUGCUCUUGCUUCUCUUGUUCUUUUAAUUGUGAUGUUAGGGUGUCAAUUUAGAUCUUUCCUGCUUUCUCUUGUGGGCAUUUAAUGCUAUAAAUUUCCCUCUACACACUGCUUUGAAUGUGUCCCAGAGAUUCUGGUAUGUUGUGUCUUUGUUCUCUUUGGUUUCAAAGAACAUCUUUAUUUCUGCCUUCAUUUCGUCAUGUACCCAGUAGUCAUUCAGGAGCAGGUUGUUCAGUUUCCAUGUAGUUGAGUGGUUUUGAGUGAGUUUCUUAAUCCUGAGUUCUUGUUUGAUUGCACUGUGGUCUGAGAGACAGUUUGUUAUAAUUUUUGUUCUUUUACAUUUGCUGAGGAGAGCUUUACUUCCAAGUAUGUGGUCAAUUUUGGAAUAGGUGUGGUGUGGUGCUGAAAAGAAUGUAUAUUUUGUGGAUUUGGGGUGGAGAGUUCUGUAGAUGUCUAUUAGGUCUGCUUGGUGCAGAGCUGAGUUCAAUUCCUGGAUAUCCUUGUUAACUUUCUGUCUCGUUGAUCUGUCUAACUUUGGCAGUGGGGUGUCAAAGUCUGCCAUUAUUAUUGUGUGGGAGUCUAAGUCUCUUUGUAGGUCUCUAAGGACUUGCUUUAUGAAUCUGGGUGCUCCUGUAUUGCAUGCAUAUAUAUUUAGGGUAGUUAGCUCUUCUUGUUGAAUUGAUCCCUUUACCAUUAUGUAAUGGCCUUCUUUGUCUCUUUUGAUCUUUGUUGGUUUAAAGUCUGUUUUAUCAGAGACUAGGAUUGCAACCCCUGCCUUUUUUUGUUUUCCAUUUGCUUGGUAGAUCUUCCUCUCUCCUUUUAUUUUUGAGCCUAUGUGUGUCUCUGCAUGUGAGAUGGGUUUUCUGAAUACAGCGCACUGAUGGGUCUAGAAUCUUUAUCCAAUUUGCCAGUCUAUGUCUUUUAAUUGGAGCAUUUAGCCCGUUUACAUUUAAGGUUAACAUUGUUAUGUAUGAAUUUGAUCCUGUCAUUAUUAUGUUAGCUGGUUAUUUUGCUCGUCAGUUGAUGCAGUUUCCUCCUAGCCUCGAUGGUCUUUACAAUUUGGCAUGUUUUUGCAGUGGCUGGUACCAGUUGUUCCUUUCCAUGUUUAGUGCUUCCUUCAGGAGCUCUUUUAAGGCAGGCCUGGUGGUGACAAAAUCUCUCAGCAUUUGCUUGUGUGUAAAGUAUUUUAUUUCUCCUUCACUUAUGAAGCUUAGUUUGGCUGGAUAUGAAAUUCUGGGUUGAAAAUUCUUUUCUCUAAUAAUAUUGAAUAUUGGCCCCCACUAUCUUCUGGCUUUUAGAGUUUCUGCCAAGAGAUCAGCUGUUAGUCUGAUGGGCUUCCCUUUGUGGGUAACCCGACCUUUCUCUCUGGCUGCUCUUAACAUUUUUUCCUUCAUUUCAACUUUGGUGAAUCUGACAAUUAUGUGUCUUGGAGUUGCUCUUCUCAAGGAGUAUCUUUGUGGUGUUCUCUGUAUUUCCUGAAUCUGAAUGUUGGCCUGCCUUGCUAGAUUGGGGAAGUUCUCCUGGAUAAUAUCCUGCAGAGUGUUUUCCAACUUGGUUCCAUUCUCCCCGUCACUUUCAAGUACACCAGUCAGAUGUAGAUUUGGUCUUUUCACAUAGUCCCAUGUUUCUUGGAGGCUUUGUUCGUUUCUUUCUAUCCUUUUUUCUCUUAACUUCUCUUCUUGCUUCAUUUCAUUCAUUUCAUCUUCCAUCACUGAUACCCUUUCUUCCAGUUGAUCGAAGUGGCAACUGAGGCUUGUGUAUUCGUCACGUUGUUCUUGUGCCAUGGUUUUCAGCUCCAUCAGGUCCUUUAAUGACUUCUCUGCAUGGGUUAUUCUAGUUAGCCAUUCAUCUAAUCUUUUUUCAAUGUUUUUAACUUCUUUGCCAUGGGUUCGAACUUCCUCCUUUAGCUCAGAGUAGUUUGAUCGUCUGAAGCCUUCUUCUUUCAACUCGUCAAAGUCAUUCUCUGUCCAGCUUUGUUCCAUUGCUGGUGAGGAGCUGCAUUCCUUUGGAGGAGGAGAGGUGCUCUGAUUUUUAGAAUUUUCAGUUUUUCUGCUAUGUUUUUUCCCCAUCUUUGUGGUUUUGUCUACCUUUGGUCUUUGAUGAUGGUGACGUACAGAUGGGGUUUUAGUGUGGAUGUCCUUUCUGUUUGUUUUCCUUCUAACAGUCAGGACCCUCAGCUGCAGGUCUAUUGGAGUUUUCUGGAGGUCCACUCCAGACCCUUUUUGCCUGGGUAUCAGCAGCAGAGGCUGCAGAACAGCGGAUAUUAGUGAAAAGCAAAUGUUGCUGUCUGAUCGUUCCUGUGGAAGUUUUGUCUCAGAGGAGUACCCGGCCGUGUGAGGUGUCAGUCUGCCCCUACUCGGGGGUGCCUCCCAGUUAGGCUACUCAGGGGUCAGGGACCCACUUGAGGAGGCAGUCUGUCUGUUCUCAGAUCUCAAGCUGUGUGCUGGGAGAACCACUACUCUCUUCAAAGCUGUCAGACAGGGACAUUUAAGUCUGCAGAGGUUUCUGCUGCCUUUUGUUGGGCUAUGCCCUGCCCCCAGAGGUGGAGUCUACAGAGACAGGCAGGCCUUGAGCUGCAGUGGGCUCCACCCAGUUCGAGCUUCCUGGCUGCUUUGUUUACCUACAAUGGUGGGCUCCCCUCCCCCAGCCUUGCUGCUGCCUUGCAGUUUGAUCUCAGACUGCUGUGCUAGCAAUGAGCGAGGCUCCAUGGGCGUAGGACCCUCCGAGCCAGGUGGGAUACAAUCUUCUAGUUUGCUGUUUGCUAGGACCAUUGGAAAAGCACAGUAUUAGGGUGGGAGUGACCCGAUUUUCCAGGUGCUGUCUGUCACCCCUUUCCUUGGCUAGGAAAGGGAAUUCCCUGACCCCUUGCGCUUCCUGGGUGAGGUGAUGCCUUGCCCUGCUUCGGCUCAUGCUCAGUGCACUGCACCCACUGUCUUGCACCCACUGUCCGACAAUCCCCAGUGUGAUGAACCCGGUACCUCAGUUGGAAAUGCAGAAAUCAUUCAUCUUCUGAGUCACUCACGCUGGGAGCUGUAGACUGGAGCUGUUCCUAUUCGGCCAUCUACAUGUUCUUUCUUCCCUCAUCAUCACUUCUUUACUUCUUUUAUUUCACUUCUGGCUUUCUGUCCUCCCACGCUGAGGAAGACUGAUUUGGUGGACAUGUAUUUAUUCUGCUGAGUACCAGUUGAUGUGGAAGUAGUUGUUUUAUAGUCAACAUGUUUUUAUGACUAAUGAUCUGUCUUAUGACAGUUUCACCUAUAAGAGGAAAUAUACUUAUGUCUAGGUGGACUCCAAUGUGUCUGUUUACUGAUACUUAUUUAUUCAUUAUUUUCAAGUAAAAUGUAGAAGUGAAUAACUUAAGAGAAUAACUAUUUUUAUGAGAGAAAAAUACCCACUUUCUUUUUUAUUACUUUGUUCCUCUAGAGGUUCAUGAAUAAUAUAUUGAACAUGUGAGGAGUGAGGCCUGUCUAGCUCUUUUCCUAACAUCUUCCACUCCUGUGGCCUCUUAUUAGGUACCUUUCUCAGUGAAGAUAUACAAUAAGAAUUUUGCAUGCUUAUUGGGAAUUUAUCUGUGAAAAAUCACUCAAAUGUCAUUAAGUCUUUUCUGAUAAACCUUAAUCAUCCAACAACCAGAGUUUUUCUUAAAAUAGCUGUUGCUCUAGAAGAAUACCAUAGAAUGAAGUUGCUUCCUAGCAUGGCAGUCAAGGAUCCUGGUUCCAAGUAUGAGCUCUGAAGAAGAUAGACUAUGUUCACCGCUUACUAUAGCUGAGUGCCCUUGGACAAUUCAUUUAAACUGCCCCUAAUUUUCUUCCAUCAUCUGUAAAAUGAAUGUAAUAAUAGCUCUUAAUGAGUAUUAAAUUAGAUAAUAAGGGCACUGGCAUUUAUUAAGAACUUAAUAAAUGUUAGCUUUUGUUAUUUCACAUUUUUCCUUGAUCACUCCUACCAGGAAUAAAAUUCUGGGAGGGUAUAAGUAGGUAGUGAAGUGCUAACUGGUCUGGUUAAUUGUUAGAGUUCUGUUAAAAAAAAGUUAUUUGAAAAAAGUAUUUUGGAGCUAGGAUCUAAUUUAUUAAUAUAUCUGGAUUUUCUUUUUCAAUUUUGGUGUCCAUUAUUCACAUAAGUAAUUGUGGUUUUGCUAUAUUUUUUCCUCCUGAAAAAUUAUGGCUAUACAACUAACUUUAUUGUAUACUGAAUUUUGGAAUUUUUUAGGAUUUGAUGUUCUUACUGGGGAGAGGAUUUUGAAUUAUUUAACCACUUUCCCUUUGAGCUUCUUAUCCACAGAUGGAUCCACUUAGAAUAAAUGAGGACUACACCAACAUGAAAAGGGCUAAAAUAAUGACACUUUUCAUAAGAAACUAGUAAUAAUACUUGGUAGUUUUUUAAUACUUUUCUUCCACAUAGAUUUGGGUUAUCUUAGGCUAUACUGUAUUUGGUUGGAAGCUUAAUAAAUAACCACCACAGGACAUUUAUAUCUUUCAACAUCCAUUUUUUUCUUGGACCCAAGAUUACCUAUAUAGCACUUAAGUUAAACUUCUACUCUCUUUAUGUGCAUACUUAGACAUUGAAGCAUAGACCAUUUAUUCUUACAGGUCAAGACCCUGUAAAAAUUAAUGAGAUGUGUCAGAAUGGUGCCUUUGGGGAUGACAAAACUGGAGUGCAAUUCCAGAUGGAAGACAAAGCAUGUUCUGCCAGUGGGGGGCAUUACUGGCCUAGUGCAGUAGGAAAAGUUUUUCAGUCCUGGAGAUCCUCUGUUAUGGACUAUCCAUAAGGACAAACUCAGCAUAUUUUAAACUAUAAGCUGGGAUAGCUAAAAAUACAAGAUUAUGUUAAAAAUAUUUUCAGACCCCUUCUAUAUUGUUCCAAAUCUCUUUCUAAGUGGGCUCUGUUUUUCAGAGUAUCAUCUACAAAAUGUACAUAUAAAGAAGGAGUGAUUUGCUUUACCAUAAGAGUGUUUAUUCACUAGAAUAUUUUAUGUAGGAUUCUUUUAAAUCAAGACUCACUAACCCAAGUACUUAUAGGGGUCAGGUAGAAUAUAUAAGUAAGUAAAGGGGGCUGGAUGGAGAACUAGCUAGACAGUUCAAUCCACUUGCUAGAACUAGUCUCAUAUGUUCAUUCACCUAUCUCUAGCUGGUGUGGUAAAAAUAACAAUGGCCUCAGAGUUUACAGAUUUGAGUUUUGGGUUGAGCUCUUUCACUUAUUGGCUCUAUAACUUUGGACAUCAGUGCUUCAUCGACAUGAAGACAUGUUGAAAUACAUGCUCUCUAAGGUGACUUCCAGUUUGAGUGAUGGAAGUGUGUGGACACCAAUCACCUCAGCCCUCUACCCUACAGAUUUCUAAAUCAUAGAGGAAAAUCACAAGGAGCCAAAUGGAAAUAAAAUAUCGGCUUUAUUCAGAAGUCUUUGAUAGUGUCCAGAUAGAGGGCACUGAAGGGCUUUCGACUUCUCUCUCUGAAUGGAGACCUCAAGAACCAUUCCUUUAGACUUACUCCCUACUCCUGUGACUGCCCCAGAAAUAAAGCCAAAACAAGUUUUUGAUGAGGUGAGGAGGCCCUAUGUGAAAAGUGUAAGUGCAAAGUCUGUAAAACUUGAAUACAGACAGGUGGAAGAAAAAUACAGAAAAAAUAAAUUAUGCUGUACUUAGAGACGUGGUGGCUCACACCUGUAAUCCCAGCACUUUGGGAGGCCAAGGCGGGUGGAUCACGAGGUCAGGAGAUUGAGACUAUCCUGGCUAACACAGUAAAACCCUGUCUCUACUAAAAAUACAAAAAAAAAAAAAAAAAAAAAAAAAUUAGCUAGGCGUGGUGGCAGGCACUUGUAGUCCCAGCUACUCCAGAGGCUGAGGCAGGAGAAUGGCGUGAACCUGGGAGGCGGAGCUUGAGUGGGCCGAGAUCGCCCACUGCACUCCAGCCUGGGUGACAGAGCGAGACUCCAUCUCAAAAACGAAACCAAACAAACAAACAAGAAUGAUAUUUUCCUCCUAAUCUCACCCAGAAGAGAAACACCAACCACCCAGUGCAUGCUAAGCUCACACUGGCCUCACAAAGUAGACAUGAUGGGGCAAUACUUUCCAAAUCAAAUUGAAGUAUUUGACAUUAGCCCCACAUCAUUCACACACACUUAUACUAAUAAGGAUUUUUAGCCACAGAAAAUGAAUUUUUAGUCUAACUAGUUUAAGCACAAAGGAUUUAUUGAGUGUGAAGACAGCUUAAAGAAUUUUGGGGAAGAGUGAAACAACUUCCAGGUAUGAUUUCAAAAGUCCCUAGACUGCCCAGGGAGCUGAUUCCCCUGCUUGAUUAGGAAGUUGCAGCUGCCAACUCCAGAACCUUAUUACCUCUUAUAAUUUACCAUGAAGAAGUUACCAAAUCAGAGAGCUACUUCUAUAACUGUCAGCUCUAGAACAUACUUUCCUUUCCAUGGUUCUUGCUGGAAAAAUGAAUGCCUUGCACUCUGCCUCUCUCCCCAGGCAGGUCAGUGUGAACCAAAAUUUUGUGUCAGCACAUUUGAUAGGCAGAGGCCAGAUCUCAUCCAGAACCUACCUGCAAGGGUUCUGGGAAAUGUAGAUUUUAGUUUUCCAACACCCAAUGUUUUUAGACUGGAAGUUGAAUGAAUCACUUCAUCAUCCAGAAAGUCAUGUUUCCUAUCAGCCUUUUUCCUCACAAGGAUACAGGAAGCUUAACAUCACAAGCAGGGCAGGAGGAGCUGGUACUUGAUGUGUUUAGCAAAGCAAUAGUCAUAAAGAAUUAGAAGUUAUUUAAAAUUUUAGCAUUAGUCAGGCACAGUCCCAGCUACUUGGGAAGCUGAGGCAGGAGGAUUGCUUGAGCCCAGGAGUUCAGGGUUGUAGUACACUAUGAUCAUACCUGUGAGUAGCCAUUGCACUAUAGUCUGGACAACAUAGCAAGACCCAGUCUCCUAAAAGGGGGAAAAAAGGAGAAGAAACAGGGGAAGCAGCCAAAAUGGCCGAAUAGAAACAGCUCAAGUCUGUGGCUUCCACUGAAAAGAAUGAAAAUGGCAAGUGAACUCUGCAUCUUCAACUGAGGUACCCAUGUUCUCUCAUUGGGCCUGACUAGGCGGUUGGCACUAUCCAUGGAUCUCAUUCAUGAAAUGAAAAAUGAUAUAGAGGAUAGCAUCACUGAUCCCACAGAAAUACAAACAACCACCAGGGAAUACUAUAAAUACCUCUAUGCAAAUGAACUAGAAAAUCUAGAAGAAAUGGAUAAAUUCCUGGAUACAUACACCUUCCCAAGAUGGAACCAGGAAGAGGCUGAAUCCCUGAAUAGGUCAAUAACAAGUUCUGAAAUUGAGGCAGUAAUAAAUAGCCUACCAACAAAAAAAGCCCAGGACCAGACGGAUUUACAGCUGAAUUCUACCAGAGGUACAAGGAGGAGCUGAUACCCUUUCUUCUGAAACUAUUCCAAACAAUUGAAAAGGAAGGACUCCUCACUAACUCAUUUUAAGAGGCCAGCAUCAUCCUGAUACCAAAACCUGGCAGAGAUACAAGAACAACAACAAAAACUUCAGACCCAUUGUAGAAGGCAGAUAUAAUGGAAGGACAGGGAGAGAGGAGUGAGUCACAGAGAGGUAGAGGAAAGUAGAUGUCAGGAUCAUUUUUUUCCUCCACUGUUAGAACCAAACAGGAGAAAUCAUGGGAUUCAGCUUCCUAGCAGGUUCCUCUCUCACCCAAUAAACUCAAUGGGGCAGCAUGGAUAAGCUGAGGGACUGCUGGAGUACAGCUUUCCUAAGACAUUGCAUUUCUGUGUAUUGUGUGGUUGUGCAAACCGGAUUCCUGUGUGGCCCUGAGUGGAGAGGAUAUGAAAGGCAGAUAAGUUGAAUAUCAGCAGACACACUAACCAGAGUCACAAGGAGUGAGUCACCCUUCAGCAGAGCUGAGAGCUGACAACCCAGGCCUUGGAACUGGAUGGAAACUGUGGAGACAUUUAGAGGGAUGUGUAGUGUCAUGGAAAGCUGAGAUGAGGCUGAAUCAGAGAUGAGGCUGAACAGCUGGUUUCAAACCACUGGGCGGAGAAAAACCAGCUCUUCACCGGAGCCUCCCAUUAUCUGUGAAUUCCAGCAAGAUGAAUAGCAACUGAGAAGACAAGCAACAUUGCUGAAGAGACCAGGGGACAUAGAGGACACUGUAUGGAUAUGAGGACUUCUUUAUCCCUAAAGCCCUAAAGCUUUAGAUAGCAAUCUUGGUGCGAAACUGGGGUAGGAGGCUAGGAAUCUAAUCAACGAAGUGCUUUCUACCUAAAGAGAUUACACUUUAUUUUUAAAAAGUGCUUAAAAUAUCAUAAGGUUAUUGGAUUGAACUAAAUGUUAACUUCUUCCUGUUACUAACAGGCUUUAAGAAGAUGAUCCAGGCAGUUGUAACCCAAAUAAUGAUGUAGAUUUUCUUUGUACAUGUGGGUUUUAGAGUGAGUAACUUUGUGACACUGACAGAUAUCUCUUUUUCUGACAGAAACAUCUUCCCUAUCACUUCACUAGGAAGUAGAAGUAUUGCUUCCCUGACUUAAAGCAGGGAUGUUGCCAGAGUGGGAGAUGGGUCUACAUCCCCACACUUAGAAUCUGUGCAUUUAUUGAGAUAAGCUUUACUCUGCAUUGCAAAGGGUUAAACCAAAGAAAACACCACCACCACCACCACCACCACCACCACCAACAACAACAACAAUAAGCAAACCCUAGAAUACCUUUUUUACUAGUAGAGCAGAUGUCAGCAAACUACAGCCUGUGGGCCAAAUCUGUCUUGUCACCUAAAGUUUUAUUGGAACACAACCAUUCUCAUUCAUUUACAUAUUAUCUAUAUCUGCUUUGUCAAACUUAAGUAGUUGGAACAGAGAUUGUAUGUCCCACAAAGCCUAAAAUGUUUACUAUCUGGCCCUUUAUGGAAAAGACAAAGCUUGCCAAUGUCUUCCAUAAAGUAUAAAAAAUAAGUACAUGCUAGUGAAAUGCAUUUUAUACUAAAGGAACACAGAAUUGGAGGGGAAUCAUCAUGGGAUAGUGUUCACCAAAAAUGAUUUUCUAGAAGAGCAGGAUGCAUCUGGCUGGGCUUGUAAGAGAAGGCAGGAUGGUGUUCAUUUUUCCUUCAACAGGGGCUGGAUGAAAAGUGUCCCAAAACCAAGCCCUAAGAUGUCAUCAUGGCUUAGCUACUUUAUAGUUGAGUGGCAUGGGAAUGAAGUGACUGGGUAGUUACUUUAAUAAUAAGAUUGAAUAAUUGGCUAAUAGUUGUCAUGCUCUAAAGCAGACACAGCUGUCUCACAAAGUUGUUCUCACUCAUAGAACAUUCUUACCCACUCCCUCUUGGUCAUCUGCAGACAAGCAUGACGAGCUUGGGCCAAAGGUGAAGACCAUGGAGCCACAAGAUGGGUGGAGCCUAUGAUGCUAAAUCACUGCUUAGAGGAGAGGCUCCUGCUGAUAAAGAAUACUGAUUUUGGACUUCCUGUGAGAAAAAAGAAAACUUUUAAUAUGUGUGAGCCAUUGUAUACUUUUAGGUUUGUUAUGUCAAUUGAUACUAUUUUAAUGCCUGAAAUUGUUAUUGGAAGUGGAGUGCUGCAAAACAAAACCAAAAUAAACUAAACUAAAAUGUAUUUCAGCAGUGGGGAUGGCAAAAGAAUUGAUAUCAAGCCUGGAAAAUGAAGAUCCACAUUAUGUAGCUUCAAAACAUUUGGAAAAUCUAUUCCUUUCCAUAAUCUGAAAAUAAGACCCCAUCGAACCUACUGAGGCUAUAACUUGGAGUGAUGAGAAAUGCCAGAAUAAUAGUAUAUAUUAAGUUUUAGUUUUUAUGUUUAGUAUUGUAUUGUGAGAUAUAGAUGAAUUCAGGAGAAAAUUGGCAAAUCUCCAGUAUAAAUAAAGGGAAUAAAGAAUAUCUAGAAAUUUGAGGUCUUGAGAAAGCCAACUACAAGCGGCUACUGGGUUCCUAUCAAAUUCAAUUAUUAACCACAUGUCAGGCACUGGCUUGUGGCUGACUGUCAGGAUUCUAAUCCUAGCCCUACCACGCAUUGUUUGUGUGACAGUAGAUGUGUUAUUUGACUUUUCCAAUGGAGAGAGGUCAGAGGUGAAGUGGCCCUGAAGGUUAAAGCGGGUCUUUAAGAAGCUGAGACUAUGAGGAAGCAGAAACUAUCAGUGAGCAGGAAUACGAGGCAGAGAGAAAACCUGUGCUUUUGUGGUGAGGACUUCAGUGUGUGUGGUCUGGAGAAUGGAGCAGAUGAGCACUCGUGGGACAGGCAAAUCCCUUCAAUGGUAGAUAAGAACUUUGUGGACUUUCCCUGCUAAGGUUUUGAGAAAUGCCAUUGCUCUAGAACUCUAGUCUCUACAAGGCCUCAUGCUAGUACACUCUUGCCGAGUCUGUCCUGCAGACUCUGGCUGAGCAACAGGUGAAAGAAGUACACAGACACAGGUAUUUUGCCUGAGAGUGCGGCUAGGGGACUGCAUGGCCUAGCACUGCCAAGCACUGCCAACUAGAGUGCAGCCCCGAUAAGCCGGAGCUGUUUGUACUUAUUUAGUACAGCUUUAAUGACAAAGGCCUGAAGCCAACACAACCUGUGGAUAAUUAACAUUGUCCUCCCCGCUUGCAGGGAGCAGUCUUGCAUGCAGAUGAUCAAAGGUUGUUUUCCAGACAACAUAAGUAAAUAAACUUAUCUAGAUAAACUCCCUUACGUUUGCUUGCACCUACUUCUUGCCCUCUGCUUCAGGGUAAUAGAAUUAACUGCCUUCAGCUUUUAUUCUCUCCUGAAGCUUUGCAAAACCUCCGGGCCUUCCAAGAAGGUUUGCAUUUUUCCUUAUAACUUUUGCCACCACCCUGACCAAUCUCCUACACACUCUUCUUGUAUUCUAUGAGAUUUGCCAUUCCUCAUUUUUUCUUUUUAUUCUAAAAUAACUCCACUUCUUACUUAAGAUAAACUGAGUGAACCUAGCAAAAACAUCUAUGAUUAAAUAAGUAUUUAACUUUUAUGUAUCUAUAUUGGGAUGGAGAAUUUGGCUUUGGUAAUGGAAUAAAUUGUCAGGCAAACCUAUCAGCCUAGUCUGUAGAGAUAUUUUUGCAAAAUAAGAUGCUUGUGCUCAGGUAUUCAAUUGUAACUUGCUUCUUUCACUCCUCCCUAAUUGCUAACUUCUUUGCCUGUUAAAUUUGUGAUUAUAUUUUAACAAAAAAGUAAAUAGUGAAAUUAAAAACACAUAGUAAAGAAAAUUAUAUUAGUCAUAUGGGAAAUUUUCACUGUUUUUGAGUGAAGACAUGUCAAAGUGUCCCUAAAAAGAAAAAUCCUGCUCCACAAAGUAUCUAAUGAUCCUGUUAAAUCCACUAUUUUGUCCUCAUCAUUUUUUUUCUGAAAUUUGACCCCUUUAAUUUAUUUUGGGAUAGCAUUUGGUGUGGAAAGGUAGAAAAGUCAAUGAGAGCUUGUUAAAAAAAAAUUCCUUUGGGAGAGGGUGGUUGGUGCUGGGCCAACUCCCCUGUUCCUUACCAGCACCAGCCUUGAGUUGCAACUGCAGCAGCAGAAUGGUCGCCGGGAGUUUCAUGAGCAUUGACUUUUCCUACCUUCCCCUCUUCUGCCCUGGUAAAAUUAACUUUCUGUGCGUCCAGGUACUUCAGCUACAGCUUUUUAAUGUUAGCUGAAUCACCAAGGGUCUGAAAGGAAGAACAUUUAUUACGUACCCACUCGGUUCCAGAUGCUUUUAAAUAUGCUCUCUCAGCCAAUACACAUUGUUGUUAUCAUCUCUAUUUUACAGAUAAGGAAGUUUAGAAAGACUUAGUGGCUUGUGCAAGAUCAUCAGUUUUUCAAGUAUCAAGAUGUUCUGAUUCCAAAGCUCAUUUUUCUUCCACUUGCUCAUGUUACCUCUUGAGCAAAUUCUUUAGGAGGCAGGAACAUUAUUGGGAAAGUUACAGGAGGCAGUUCUUUCUAUAGCCUCAUGAUACACAGGAUGUAACAACUUACUCCACUAGACCAGAGUGUAUCCUAUCUGAAGCACAAAGACACUAUACAUGUAACUAGAAAUCUUAGAUAGCACGGAUUUUUAGUUCAGAAGGGGAAACAGGGAGGAGGGUUGCAAUCUCUUUCUUCUGUGCAUUUUGACUUCAUUUCAUUUCUCUUCAUGCUCCUUGGCAUGCUUUAUUCAAAAGAAGCUCCUAACCACAUUUGCCUGUAGUAUGCCUCAUAAUAGCUAGGGCCCCAGCAAGCCCGGAAUGCUCAGAGUUGAGGCAAAUGUGCUGAUGACAAUGUUCAUUUUGUAAGCAGCCACCAGAGCCUCAUCAGCCACACAUCAUCAGGUCUGCAUCAGUCCUGGCUUCAUAGCAAUUUAGCUGUGCCAGUUCCUCCUUGCUCUUCCUCCACUCCAAUAACUUACAAAAAUAAAAACAUUCUUCACAUUUAAAAUCGCAUUUUUAUAAUCAUGGAAAGAAGACAAAGGAACAGGGAUUUUUCCGUUUGGAAUAACUGGGGGACAUACUGGACCACAAGUGAGAAUUCUAACUUGAACUCUUCCAGUAGAACUCUUCUACCUUGCUCUAUACAAGGAAGUUGCUGAAUAGAUUAUUCAUUGGUGCCUCAGCUGAUUUUAUAAUUCUAUGACUAUGGGCUAGUGAGAGCCCAGAUAUCUCAGUCAUGGGCUAACAUCAUAAUGUGAAGUAGCACCACCAAAUGCACCAUGUUAUUCUUUGAAUAACUCAUUCAUUUGUUCACCAAAUACUUGCUGAAUGCCAGUUGCAUGCCAGGUACUGUUGUAGGCACUUGAAUUACAGGAGAAAGCAAGCUAGCCAACCUCCCUUCCCUCAUUGAGCUUUUUUUCCCUACCGGGGAGGGAGAAAAUAGACAAGUAGGGACAUACAAGGAAUAAUUUAUGGUAGUAAUGACUGUUCUGAAAGCUAUAACACUAGCAAUGUGAUAGAGAUGGGAAAUAGAUAGGGAGGAUAGGCUGACAAAGGGGUAUAGAGAUCUCACUGAAAUCUAAGGAGUAAGAUUUGACCUGAGACCUGAGUGUCAUGAAGGGGUCUUCUCUCUGGCCAGCAUCAUCUCCCACCUGGAUUGCUGUGACACCAUCUUCAUGGCCAGCCUGCCUCCAGUCUUCCCCACCUCCAACCCACCUCACUCACUGCUGUCAGAUUGUCUGCUAAAUUUCUAUGUGACGACAUCACAGCCUGACUUUAGCCUUUCCAGAAUUCUCCUGGACCUGCGGGAUAAUGUGAAAACCUUAUGGCAGAAUUUAUGUGAGCCUUUAUGAUCUGUCCUCUAGGUAUUUUUUAGCCUAAUUUUUAGUCAAUGGAGAUAAAGCAGACAUUCAGCCAAUCUUUGGCCAUGCCCUGAAUCUGGCUGUUUCUGGCUGGGUUGUGCCAUUACCUCUGCCUCAGCCCUCUAACCGUACUUGGCUCCUGCUGCAUUCCUACCCAUUCCUUAUCUUUUGAAAUCCCAGGUCAGACAGCCCCUCCCCCAUGAAUUCUUUUUGAAUCACCUCUUUCACCAUUAUCACCUGGCACUUCAGAUAUAAAUAUUUUCUCUCUGUCAAGUUCCUGUAGCCUAUUGUGCACAUUUCUGUGAUACCACAUUAUAUGACAUUGUGGUAAUUUGUUUGCAUGUGGGUCUUUUUCAAUAGAUUAUGAACUCUCCAAUAGGUAGGGGUUUAAAUACCAAUAUUCCUAGUGCUCUGCACAUUUGCUUGCAUAUAGUAAGGGUGCAAAUAACAUUCAUUUAAUGCAUUAAGAUAUAUUCUUCAUCCUAUGUGCUAAAGUCAAGGUGUUGGUAGAGAUGUAUGUGCAGUUAAGUUUGGUCUAAUUGUGCCAUGAUCCAUAUUGUGUAAUACUUUUAGGGGAAGAUACGAGGUAUGAACUUUUAGUAUAGGCAUAGAAUCUUGUAAUAUAGAUGCAGAACCAGGAAAUAAGGAGAGGGAAUGGAGAGAAUAGGAGCUUGAAGGGGCAGGAAAAAAAAAUGAAAUUUCUGUAGAAAGUAACACUUUUUUCUGUUCUUCUGACCACCUCAAAUAUUUUCAAAAGUGAGAAAUACGAUUAUUAUUAUUAUCAUGAUUAUUUUUUAGACUUUUGCUGUGUUGCCCAGGCUGGAAUGCAGUGGUGCAAUCUUGGCUCACUGCAACCUCCGUCUCCUGGAUUCAAGUGAUUCUCCUGCCUCAGCCUCCCAAGUAGCUGGGAUUACAGGCACACACCACCAUGCCCAGCUAACUUUUGCAUUUUCAUUACAGAUGGGGUGUCACCAUGUUGGCCAGGCUGGUCUUGAACUCUUGACCUCAAGUGAUCUGCCCACCUCGGCCUCCCAAAGUUCUGGGAUUACAGGCAUGAACCACGGCACCCAGUCUAUCUUUUUGUUUUCUAUUUUAAAUUGUGUAAAUUGUAUAAUUAAUAUAUAAAUGCAUUCCAAUUAUACAACUCAAGCACUAUUCAAGAGAGCUAAAGUCCUCUGUGAUAUGCUGAAUAAUGGCCUCCCUAAAGAUGUUCAUAUCCUAAUCCCUGGGUCUUGUGGAUGUUACUUUACUUGAUAAAGGGAGUUAAAGAUUUUGAGAUGAAGAAAUACUGUUGGAUUAUACAGGCAGGUUCAAGGUAAUGACAAGUGUCCUUCUGAAAAGAGGCAGGAGGAUCUAAGUCAGAAGUGGAAGUUGUGACCAUGGAAGCAGGUGGUGGGAGUGAAGCAAGGAAGGGGCUGCAAGGUAGCCUCUAGAAGCUGAAAAAGGCAAAGAAAUGGAUUCUGCCUUAGAGCCCCAGAAAGAAUCAUCUCUGCCAACACCAUGACUUUAGCUCAGUGAGACUGAUUUUGGAUUUUGGAUUUCUAUCCUCUAGAAGUGUAAGAUAAUCAAUUCAUGUUUUGUUUUGAUUUUUCAUUUUCAACUUUUAUUUUAGAAUCAGUGGGUAUCACAUGGGUGCAGGUUUGUUACAUGAAUGUAUUGUGUGAUUCUCAGGUUUGGGAUAUGAUUGAACCCACCUACAUAGUGAGCAUAGUACCCAAUAGGUAGUUUUUCUGCACUCACCCCCUUACCUGUCUCCCCUUCUAGUAGUCCCCAGUAUCUAUUGGUCUUGUCUUAAUGUCCAUGUUACCCAAUAUUUAGCUUCCACUUAUAAGUGAGAACAUGCAGUAUUUCAUUUUCUGUUUCUGCAUUAGUUUGCUUAGGAUUAUGGCCUCCAGCGGCACCUGCGUUGCUGCAAAGGACAUGAUUUCAUUCUUUUUUAUGGCUGCGUAGUAUUCCAAAUUCAUUUUUUUUUUAAAGCCACUAAGUUUGUGGCAAAUUACAACAGUGGCAAUAGGAAACUAAUAUAGUCUCUCAAUUUCACUCCCUCUACCAAAUAUAACCCAAAAUUAUUAAUGUGGUGUGUAUCCUUCCAGGCUUUUAAAAAUAUAUGUAUCAAUAUAUAUAACUGUGCAUGUGUAAAUAGUUUGGUUUUUGAAUGAUUUUUUAAAAAAAUUUUGCUGCAUAUGUAUUCUGUAAUUUUCUUUUUCACUUACCACUGUUUCUUGGGUAUUUUUAAAAUCAGUAUAUUAUAACCUAUUUCAUUCCUUUCAACUACAUUUUGAUUCUUCCAUUCUAUGGAUCUUCCAUAGUUUAUAUUAUAUUUCAGUAAUUAUUUGAUAUAAUUACUGAAAUUAUAAUAAAUUGUUGAGAUUUACCUUUCUGGUUGAAAAGCAUAGUCAGGGUUUUGUUCAGGAUAUUAAAUAAAAACCCAAAUUUAACUGUACAUGAUCAUCAUUGGAAAUACUAUAUUUCUCUCAAAGGAAUGGUUACAUCUCAAUGUGCCUUGGAGAAAGCAAUGUUAACAAAUCCUCCCUGAUCCAAGAUUUUCAUUUAUGAUUUUUUUUUUAAAUCUUGAAGUUUUAUGAACAACUGUGUAUUUCAUUCGCAGAUAGAUUUAUAUAUAGCUUUAACAGAUUAAAAAUAAUAGUAAAAAAAAAUCCCACCCUACAAAACAGUCUUUUUUUGAGGCAGACUUGUCAGAGCAGGUUGCAACACAUAAUGAGAUGUCAUAGACUGGUGAGAUAUGCAAAGCAGGUUCAAAAAAACUGUCAAUACUGCAUAGUGACUUUAAUACUGAAGAUAGUAAAUCUGGGGAAAAAGAAAUCCAUUGGCUGCCAUUCUAUUUAAAUGACUGGAAAUAUGUAGUUAUCAAAGCUCUGAUAAAUGUUCCCUGUAGGUCAAGUUCUUUCUUUUAAAAAAAGGACUACGGUUUUAUAGAAUCGUUUUGGAAACUGAAUGCACUUUGCUACCCGAGCCCUACUCAAAGCACUUGCUGUCAAUCAGUGGAAAAGAUUUGGCCACCACCUUUGUGUUAAACAUAAAUGUAGUCGAAAUGUUUAAUGGAUUAAAACGGUGCUGUUUAAUUUGAAAUGGAAUUUCCCACCAUCCUAGCUUAGGUAGUUAGGAUUCUGUAAGUUUGCUUUUCAUUCCAGCCUGGUUUAUAGACACAAUAAAGAAGAGGCAAGCAAUGGGUUUAGAAUGCAAGUGUGUCAAAUUGAGGAGACAGGCCUCCUUUUGGUAGAAGGAGAGGGGGAAAAUCACCCCAUUAACUGCAACUUGUUAAAAUUUACCAAGUCUCUAUAGUUUAUUAGCCCUUUUUUCCCUCUUCACACCAACAGAGUAGGUAAAAGAUAAGCAGCAACAAGGAGAGACAUUAUAUGCAGAGGUGAACACUGAUAUGACAGAGUCUUCUCUUAAUAACAAACAGUGUUAGCUCUCUAGGAGGUAGACAGUAUGAAGUGCAACAGAAACUGUAAUUAUGCUCUCAGCAGGGAACCUAUAUUUAGAGUGACAGUAAGAGUGUCUCUAAAAACCUUCUAGGUUAAGGCUGCUAGUCUUAAUUACAUGUAUUAGGAGUUUGUGUCUUUACUUUUUCCCUUUUAAAAUUCAAAGAAGAAACCUAAUUACAACUUGGACCCUAGUAAAUUGGGCCACAUUUAAACAAUGAACAUUUGGCAAUCUCAUCAUGCAUCAUGACGCAUCUGACUGGUACAGCUGCUAUGGAAGCCAAACUGGCUCCCCCAAAUAAUUUGUUUUUGCUGCCUCCAUGACAGAGGAACAACAAACAAAUGCUAAACAAGGGAAAUAAUGAAAUUAUGCUUUUUUUCAGUCAAUGACACCCAAACCUUCUGGAGGUGGGGAUCAUUCCUUGGGUAGACUCUUACAUACAGAAUUACAGGUUGUUCAUAUGUUGUUAACAUGUAUUUCAGCUAGAUGAUGGUUGAAUAAAUCUUCUUGGUUUGAUUUUUGCUGCUAUUUUGGUCCUAGAUGUAACAAUAGCUUACAACUGCUUCUAGUUGACAUUAAUGGAAGUGUAUGAAGCCCAAAAUUUUAGGUUUUGCCUGGAGUGCAGCAGAAUGUGUUAUAGCUGAACAACAUGUUUCAGAGUUAUAAGGACCAGUCCUGGGCAUUCAUUAUAAAGAUGGCUCCUGAACAUGGAGCUGACUACAUUUGACUUUUCCAUGUAUGUCUUAACCUUCACUUGGUAUAUUCCAUACUAGCUUCUUAUGCUUGUGUACAAUGUGCACUGGACUUCAAGAAGGAAGAGCUCAACCAUUCUGUUAGGCUUAGAUUAUAAUAAUAUGGAUAAGUGUAUGAAUAAGGGGGAUUAUGAUGCCCUCUUAGUGGGGUCAGUUAUCAUUAAGGUGACACUUUGUAAUUUUGCUAAGCACUCAACAAAUAUGUUCAUUACUAAUUUCUCAUUGCACAUAUGUAGAUUAAAAAAGCUGAGUAUUACAAAGUUGUGGGAUAAACUGAAAAAAAUUAAUUUGUUGAGUUUUAAUAGGCAAAAGUUAUGCUGAUAUGACUGAGCUAAUGAAUCAAGCUGUAUAAAAGUGAAUUUAAUUUAUUUUGAUACUAUUCUUUUCUAUGGCUCUAUUUCUGGAAGUUUGAUGGGUUCUAUGACUCAUGUGAUUUUAAGAUAGUCUGCACAAAAUUAUGAUGACUAAAACAUUUUCUUCUCUUUGGAAUUUAUAUAUAGCUAAAUUGAAUUUCUAUUAUUUGCUUUCAAAUAACUAUCAAAGUAAAAUAAUAGUAGUUCUGAAAGGAUUUAAAUAAAUGCUGAAAAUUUGGAAACCAUUUGCAUAUUUAUUGGUGCCCCCAUUGAAGUUUUAUCUUGGGUAGCCCAACUUUCAAUUUUACUGAAAUACUAAUUUAGUCUUCAUUAUUGUUGGCUUGAGGAAAGUAAUCACUGGUUCUAAAGUUAAUAAUAGUUUUAUAGUAGAGUCUUGUGGAAUUUUACAGUGAUAGUGAUCUGUAGUCUAAAUAAUAGCAUUUUUUCUAAUUAAGCAGCAAUUGAACAAACAUUAAAAAUCAAGGAUGAACUAUUCAUUUAUUUUGAUAUGUUUAGUUCAGUUUAGAUUAUACUUCAUAGAGAAAUAACACUUUAUUUCUCUGUUGAAUAAUUUAUAAAAGUAAUGAGUAACAUGAAUCACUGGGACAGUUUUCUAUAUUUCAUCAAAAUUGUUAGUUAAAAAAUGGAGCAAGGUUUACACAGGCCACUUGAAACAUUAUUGGAUGUUACUAAGAAUAAGCAUUAGGUAGUGAGCACAAUAAUCUUUCAUAUAAUCCGUCCCUAAAGUGUGAUCAGUUCAAGCAAGAAGUUAGUGAAUAUUAUUAUUAAAAGAUGACCAGUUGCCAUAAUAGUAGAAAUGGUGUCAAAAAUACAAGACAACAGGGUCCCAUUGAAUUAAGAAUGACUUUUAAAAACAUCACCAAAAAUAGAUUCUUUGAGCAUAUUUUAGCCACAUAAAGUAGUAAUUAUCUUAAAUGUUCCAAAAUUGAGCCAUGUAAUAUUGAAAGUGAACCCACAGAUCUUUAUAGCAGCUCUUCCCCUUUUUAUAGAAAGCAAAAUAGUAGAAAAGAUAAUCACUGGAAAACCUAAAUAAAUAAUUUUCAUAGUAGUAUCAAGGAGGUCUUAGAACUGACAUUCAAUGCAUAUGUUUCCCACUCCCUAUGUAUGUCCAUUAUUGAAGAUGGUGAAUGACUAGCCUUUCUAUGGAAUCUGAAAAUAUGUUACCAUAUGCUUCCACGCCAAAGGAAAACCUGAAUGACCAUCUCAUCAAUUUCACACCCUACAAGGAGAUUCACGUAAGUUAGUUAAUACCAGUGAGAUAGUACCCAAUUUUAAAUUUUCUCUAGCAAAGCUCUGCCUUCUGUAACCCCACUUUGAAUGGGUUUAGCUAAUCUCACAGUCUGGAAAAUCUUCAUAAAUAACAUCCAUUUAAGUCAGACCCAUUUUUUGGUUCUGUCCUCCACAGAAAUAAAUGACAAUUGAUUUAAGCAUGUUCACCUGUGAUUCUUGGCUUUCUUUUGACCAUUUCAACAUCUAUAUUCAUUUAGGAGAUUUUGUUUUACUCCCUCUGUUUUUUCCUUUCCCUUUCUAUCAAAAGCAUUAAAUGUCAUUCUGGCCUUUUAUUUUUCUUUAAGUUAAACUCAUUAAUCUUAGGUGAGAUUUGAGAAUAUUAGGAUAUUAGGAAAGUGUUUGAGAUAAAGUGAGUGUUUGAGAUGAAUUUAGACCUUCUAUGAUGUUUCACUGUUUCACACUUGAGCUUGGAAAUGAUUCUUUUAUGUGUAGUAAUACUUUGAAUUCUUAAAAGUUGUCAGUUAUACCUUAUAAUUUACCAAUUUCUUAGUCAUAUACAUUUGUUCUUUCCCAAUAUUUUCCACAACUGCGUAAUACUACAGCUGACCCUUGAACAACUCUAGGGACACCAACCCCAGUGCAGUGGAAAAUCCAUGCAUAACUUUUGACUCUCCAAGAACAUUAACUACUAAUAGACUGCUGUUGAAUGGAAGCCUUACCAAUAACAUAAGCAGUUAAUUAACACAUAGUUUAUAUGUUAUAUGUAUUACAUACUGUAGUCUUAUAAUAGCAUAAGAAGGAGAGAAGAAAAUGUUAAGAAAAUCAUAAGGAAGAGAAAAUAUAUUUGCUAUUUAUUAAGUGGAAGUAGAUCAUCAUAAAGGUCUUCAUCCUUGUUAUCUUCAUGUUGAGUAGGCUGAGGAGGAGGAAGAAAAGGGGCUGGUCUCGCUGUCUCAGGGGUGCAGAGCCAGAAUAAAAUCUAUAUGUAAGUAAAUCUGUGCCAUUUAAACCCAUGUUGUUCAAGAGUCAACUGGUCUACAUAUUAUAAUUGGAAUAUAUAUAUUAUUAAUAUGAAUAAAAAUAGAGUGAUAUUUAUCUCUAAAGACCUGUCGGACUAAAUGUAUUUGUAGAUUCAUUGAUUCAAGUGAUAAAUGUAAGAAUAGUGAUCUUUAAUAUAUAAGAAAAUUAUAUUUGACAGCAGUAAAUACUCAGCAUAAUGUUAUUUCAUUUAUUUAUUUUUACUCAGUUUUAGAAUCUAAAUGACACCAAAAAAUUUAUUCUUAAAAUGUUGUAAUUAAUCUAGUUGAGGAAAAAUUUUUUUGAUGUCAAAUAAGGAAGUCAAACUUUUAAAAAUGAUUGUUGUUAUACUGUGUUUCACAAUUAAUAUAAUUUUUUUUAGCAUAACAGAAGUUUAACACUAGCAUAAAAUGGAGUUGUUUAGACUGGUACUUUGGUUUAGAAUGGUAGGUAAUACAGUGCUGUUCUCAUUUUACUAUAAGAAAGGGUACCUAAUGUUUUAUCUGUGACCCCUGAUACCAUUGCUUUAAAAAGAUUCAGUCCAUUUAAUUUGUUAAUUUGUUGAAGACCAGGUCAUAGCUGCUCAUUCAUUUGAGUCUUACCAUGUAUCUCAAGUGAUCAAUUCAAUUUGCAUGGAAAAGACAAAGGGCAGAGAAGGGUUGUGAAAAUUCCCACGAAAGAAGACUGGUGAAGCCAGAAUUAUAAUUUAUCCUGAUUUAGCUCAGUCUCUUUCAGUAUGGGAAUAUUAAUGCUCCUUUUCUCUGUUCACCCCCAAAUUAUGUUUUAAGCAUAAGUCCAAAUCUAGAUUUAGAAUAAUUUCUUAGUUUUAAAGAGCAGGUCUGUGUUUUCCAUCUCAGACAUUAUAUUCAUAAGAAAUCUGGGGCAAUACCACUUGAAAAUAGGAAUUUCUUAACUCCAAAAUUUAUGAGACUUCUGUCUAUUAGAAGAAAAAUAUGGAAUUUUCUUUCCUUAAGACAUGUUUUUACGGGGACAGCCUGUUUGCCAUUGCUGCUUAAAACUGAUCCCCAAAGAGAAAAUCCUCAUGAAUCAUUGGAUUGCUUGCCUUGGAGCAAGGCCAGGAGCAGUAAGUUUUCAAGAUAAACAGUGCUCAGGCUGAAAGAAUGGCACAGAUGAUUUCUCAGGUGGAGUGUUUCCACUUCCCUUCUGGCAUGUACUGUAUUUCAUAGUGCCUUACAGAUAAGGCUUGAGGGGAAUCCAGUAUGAAAUAAGUUUAUUUCAUAAUACUUAUUUCAUGGCAGUUUUAUCAAACUAUAUCUUGAAUAGCCCAAAGAACAUGGUUCUAAAUUUAUUGGCACUUACGGAUUGAAACCUAUUUUCAUCACAUUUUAACCAGGGACCCUGAUACCUGUUUUGUUCAGUGUUGUAUCCUGACUCCUGGCAUAGCAUCUUGCCCAGACCAGGUGCUCAAUGAACAUUGACUAAGUACAAGUUGAAUGAAUAAAUUCAGGUUCACCUCAAUUGAAAUUUGAUUAAUAAACUCUAGGAUGAUGUAAAGGUAGCCAAGUCAUACCAGACUGAACAUUUGGUCUUCAUAAUUGGCCAUGUUUAUGUCUUCUGAAAAACCAUACAAUGCCAUUUGCUCAUUUUUGUUCAUUCACUCAUUCAGUCAUACAAAAGAUAUCUAUUAACUAUUUUGCCCAUGAUUGGCAUUUCUUAGGAGUUAAGAUACAGCAAUAAGAUAGACUAGGCCUCUGAGCUAUAUCAGAAUGCAUGAGGCACUUGCCCUGCCUUGCUUGGUCUUGCCAUUCUAUAUUUGGCUUGAGGCAAGCACAAAAAUAUUUACAAAAUAAAGUGAAUAAUGUGCAGACUAACAUGGUCAGAGUGGGAAGAUAUGACACAUUGCUAAGGGAUAAAAAAGCCUUCACAGAGAUAGCUAGGGCUCAGGGAUAGGUAGGCAUUCAGAAGGUAAAGUUGGUGACACAGAGUUUCCUAAUAUUGCAAGAAUUGUCUGUGUGUGUGUGUAUUUGCACACUUGACUAGAGAGAAGAGGAAAUGGGGCAAAAAAAAGAGACACAUGGUCCAAGAGAAAUUAAAAAGAAAUUUUUUUUUUUUACCAUGUUUGCACUCUACUACUCUAUUCUAUCUACUGAGAUAGGAGCCCCGUGGGGUGAAUAAUUUCAUCUUUGCUUUGUACAUUGCCUUUCAUCAGUACACACUCAUGAUCAGGUUUCUGGAACUUAAUGGCAAACAUGUUCUGAUUGAGAGUAGAGCUAACUGGUAUAAUGGUACAUUGUCUGAGAGACCAAAGUUAAGGGCAUUUAGUUGUUUCUGCACUCUGAUAUUACCAAAAUCAACCAUUAAUCAGAACCUCAUUCAGUUUCUGUAAGUAAGAAUGUUACUCCUGGAUGUUAUUUAUGAACCUUAUGUCUUAGAGCACAAAAGUAUUUAAAACAUAGAAAUUUAUAGAAGGUAAUUUUGUGAUUCUAAAGAGUUAAUGCAGUACCAAGCAAGCAUCUUGCAUCACCUGAGCUUUCAUAUGAAAGUAAAAUUGAUUUCUCCACUUAAUUUCUUUCAGAUCAAUUUUACUAAUAUGUAUUUAUUGGUCAUUUGUUUUAGGAAUUUUGUUGACAUUUUCUUUCUUAUUCAAAACUAUUGCUUAUUUUAGAGUUCAAAUAUUCUCCCAAUAUUCAGGAAACUAUCUGUAAAAUGAGGUGAUCUAGAUCGGGCUUUUUAAAAGGGAUGAUGAGUGGACUUGGUGCAGUUCAUAUAUCCUCUGGAAUUUUAUGAAGCCUUGUGUACACAUAGUUGAUUCUCAGUAUUUGCAAAUUAUGUAUAUGCAAAUUUGCCUACAUGUCAAAAUUUGUGGGUAAUGCCCAAAUCAAUACUCACAGCAAUUUUGCAGGCCUUUAUAGACAUGUAAUGAGCAGUGAAAAAUUUGAGUUGCCCGACAUACACCUUCCCAGCUGAGAUUAAACCAGGCAGUGCUCUACUGUACACAAGUGUGCUUUCACAGUCCCUUUACUGACAUAUUUUUCACAUGUUUGUACUUUUUAUUAGUGAUUCCACUGUUUGAAAUGAACCCAAAUGUGUGUUAAAGUCUUGUCCAGUGUUCCUAACCACAAAAAAUAUUGCGCUAUAUCAUAUAGAGAAAAUGUGUGUGUCAUGAAAGCUUUGUUCCAGUAUGAGUUACAGGGCUGUUGGCCAUGAGUUCUAUGUUAAUGAGUCAACAAUGUAUAUUAAAUAAGGUAUCUAUAAACAGAAACACACAUAAAACAAGGUUAUAUACUGCAUUGAUGAAAAUGUGACCAGUGGCUCACAGGAACUUAACCCUGUAUUUCCCCUAGGAGCAGAGGUUCUGCGUCAUCUGCCCCAGUGUUCAUGGUGACUUUAAAGAACAUAACUACCAUGAAUAACCGGAAUUGAAAGUAUACGUUUUUCUGGGAUAAGGGGGCAUAAUAUGCAUCAGAUUCUUGGUGGGGACUUCAGUUCUGCCAAGGUUUAAGAAAUCUUGUUUAUUGGUAAAAGUUGUUUCCACACUAACAUUCUUAAACUCCUAGGCCCACAACAUAGAAACUGGGGCUAGUGUGCUGGCAUUGAAGUGUUAAAGAGAGAAAGCAACACAGAUAACUGAAAAAUGGGGAUUCACAUCUUUAACUUGCCAUUUACUGAGCCAUCUCUUCAUUACUGCCUUUGCAGUUAGAGCUAGUUUGAAUCCUGUUUUUCAGUUUACUAGCUAUGUGAUCUUGGGAAAACGUUCUCUUUUUUUCUUUUUCAAUUAUAAUUUUAACUUUCAUUUUAGAUUUAGUAGUUACAUGUGCAGAUUUGUUACACAGGUUUAUUGCGUGACACAAAAUUUGGGAUAUGAAUGAUCCUGUCACUCAUGUAGUGAGAAUAAUACACAAUAGGUAGUUUUUCAGCUCCUGUCCCCUUUCCCUCUCCCCCGUCUGGUAGUCCCUAGGGUCUAUUGUUCCAUCUUCUUGUCCAUGUGUACCCAAUAUUUAACUCCCACUUAUAGGUGAACACAUGCAGUAUUUGGUUUUCUGUUCCUGCGUUACUUUGCUAAGGAUAGUGGCCUCUAGCUGCGUCUGUGUUGCUGCAAAGGACACGCUUUUGUUCUUUUUUAUGGCUGUAUAGUAUUCCAUGGUAUAUAUGUACCACAUUUUUCUUAUCCAAUCUACCAUUGAUGGGCACCUAGGUUGAUUCCAUGUCUUUACUAUUGUGAAUAGUGCUGCAAUGAACAUAUGAAAGCAUGUGUCUGUUUGGUAGAAUGAUUUGUUUUCCUUUGGGUAUAUAAGCCCAAUAUGGGUUUCCUUUGGGUAUAUACCCCAUAAUGGGAUUACUGGGUUGAAUGAUAGUUUCAUUUUAUAUUCUUUGAGAAAUCUCCAAACUACUUUCCGCAGUGGAUGAACUAAUUUGUAUUACCACCAACAGUGUAUAAGCAUUCCCUUUUCUCUGCAGCCUUGCCACUGUUGUUUUUAUUUUUUGACUUUUUAGCAAUAGCCAUUCUGACUGGCAUGAGAUGGUAUAUCAUUGUGGUUUUGAUUUUGGGAAAAAUUCCUAACCUCUCUAAGUUUCAAUUUUUUUUUUAUAUGUACAAAGGCAUACAAUAAUACCUAAGAGAAUUAUUUUAAAAAUUAAAUUAGAUCGUUCAUUUAAAGCACCAUGUAAAGUAUGUGGGACUAGCCAAAACCGUUUCUAUAAAUGUUAUUGUAGUAGACGCUUGAUAGAUAACUGUUAAUUCCCUUCUUUUUCUCUUUCCCACUUAGAAAUAGUAUAAGACCCAUUUUCCCAGAUGAAUUAGUAAGUGCACUUUGGCAUUGCCUCUUUCCUAACAAUAACUAGUGGAGAAAGCAGCACAGGCUCCCAGGGUCUCUGGUUUUCUUCCUCCUGAUCCCUCUGGUCUGUGCUCUGUGGCAGGGAAGGAUAAUUGGAGUGCUGUGGCACUGGUGGGGAGCAGUGUCCUGUCUCUUGGUUACAAGGGGAAUCACCUGUCUCGAACUCUGGACCGAGGAUGAAGGGCUCAUGCAUCAGCACUGUCCCAGGUGCUUGUCUCCCGAAGGGAAGAUCAGGUUGACUCCAGCCAUUCAGAAGCCUGUGAAUGACAUCUAAGUGCCCGCUUCAUAUCCACCUCAAGGGGACUCUUAGGAUUUCACUUGUCUAAUUUGAAAACCUGAAACCCUAUUUUCCUCAAGAAUUUUAGACUAAUCAUUUUCCUUAGCCUCUCAGAAUUCCCCUGACUUACCUUAAAUAUGUAAAAUAACGUAAGUGCAAUGACACAUUAUUGGAGAAUGAGGCAUUCUACAUUAAUGGAUUUUCCAGGUGAAAUUGGCCCCUUGCUGUGUUUUACUUUAAUAAUUUCAUAGAAUUGGCCAUAAGUUGUAUUAGAUGUCCUUUUGAGUUCUUAGAUGUGUUUAUAGAGGGUGGAUAAUUUAAACUUUUCUUAAUAACUAUGAAUCAACUGCUGUGCUAUGUUGUAGAACACAGCAACUCCCUCAGAGCCUGCUAACACAAGUAGAUUAAUUGACUCCAUAUAUUAAUAGUCCCAGUUUUGUUGCUUUUCAUUUCUUGUUGUCCUUGUCAUUGGAUUUUUUUUCUAGAUGACAUAAGUAUGUGAGGAAUGCCAUUGUAGCUCACAUUGUAGACUGCAUUAAAGGAUAAACACAACUAAUUUCUAAUUAUUUGCAUAACAAUACAGAUGCAACCAUUUGUGUACAUAUUUGUUUAAUAAUAUAUUGACAUUAUUCACCAGUUAUAAAUAUGAAUUGUGGCAUUAUAGUAGUACAUUUUAUGUUUAUAUUGAAGAUAUUAAUAUAAAACAUAUUUGAAUGGACUAAUAUAUAUACAAACUUCUGUAAAUAUUUUUCUCUCCCUUCUGUGAAUUCUUGCUCUAGAUGAGUCAAUGUAAUAGAACUAUUUUUGGGGGGGGGGCCCCAGGAUAAACUCCAAAAUAACCUCACAUUACUAAGAAUUCAAUGUUUUAGUUACAGUUAUGCUUUGUUUCAAUGUAGUGUGUAUACAUCAAUUCCUGUAUAGUUCUAGGCUCUCUGAAGUUAACAUUUAGGCAUCACUGUUUCCUGUCUAGAGGUGGCAUUUUAUCCAUGGACUCAUAGGAUAACCUCAACUCCUUUCAACUCUGGCAAAAAUAAUCUAUUGUUUACAGUAUAAUCUCACUCUCACUUAAAAAACAAACAGAAUGUAAAUAAACAACAUCAGGCUUUACUCUUCAGUGUCCCUGUUUUGCCCUGUAUGGAAAUAACCCAAACCAAAGCCUCUGUGUCUAUUUAUUUACUUUGGUGCUAGUUGAGAUGGUUAGUGAAGUGGGUCAUACAGUCAGCCUCUCAGUUUCUCUAACGCUACCACCAAAAGUGGCCAUCUCUGCCUACUUUGAAAACGACACAUUCAGUAAAAUAGAGACAAAGAAAUGUAGUAGCUAUGAAAUAAAAUGUCUUUCACAGAGAGACAGCAAAUGUGAGAGAAGGUGCAUUUAAUGUAAAAAACACAACUGGGGUGCCAUUCUUUUUCAAAGCACCCUAAGUGGAGAGUGCAAAUGUAAUGCAUGAUAAUGAAGGUGCCCAAUUUUGGAAAGUGGUUUUUAAAAUGCUGCUGCAGAAUGCUAUCCAGAGUCUCUUAGGAAAAAGCAAAAUCUCAUCAGGGACCUUUUCAAGCAUCAUUUUCUCCUGUUUUAAAUGAUCUCACGUGAACUUGCUGUUAGUCGACUUGGCACAGUUUCAAUUAUUCAUUAUUUUUGACCUCUUGCAAAAGGAACAAAGGGUUUGUUAUUAGUGAUUUGCCAGUUGGUUGCAAGACUUAAUCUAGGUUCUUAUGGAGCUCUUUGCCUCAUGUUUAUUUUGUUGUAUACAGUUGUAUGAUCUAAGGGAUUUCAUAGCCCCUCGAUCCUCAUUUUAGAAAAUUCUUCUCAAGUGAUUAGUGUGGAAGAAACUAUAGUCUUUGGGCACCAGGCCUCUGCUCAUAAUGAAGUUUUGCUGAAAUCUUUUCUCCUAGCAUGAGAGAGUUUAGUUUGAGAUAAAGAAGUGUAUUCUCUUUAUUUGUGCAAAGAUUCCUUUCUUCCAUGAGGUGAAAAUGCAAAUUUUCACGUGCUUCUUUCUUGAAAUUUCAUUUUUAUUAUAUAUAUUUAAGGUAUACAAUAAGAUGUUUUGAUAAUACAUAUACUUACUUAAAUAAUUAACUACAGUCAAGGAAAUCUUAACAUAUGUGUCACAUCAUAUAGUUACCUUUUGUGUUUUCAUGUUAAGAGCACUUAAAAUCUACUCUCUUAGCAAAUUUUCAAUAUACAGUAUAUUAUUAAUUAUAAUCCCCAUGCUCUAUAUAAUAUCUCUAGACUAUAUCUCUCUAAGUGUAGGUUUGUAUUCUUUGGUACAUCUCACUAUCCCCACUUCUGUUCCACUACUGGUAACCACCAUUCUACUUUGCUUCUAUGACUUCAACUUAUUUUAGAUUCCAUAUACAAUAAUGAAAUAUUUUUCUUUCUGUGUCUGGCUUAUUUUACUUAGCAUAAUGCCCUCAAGGGUCAUCCAUAUUUUCACAAAUGGCAGCAUCUCCUUCUUUGCUAAUGCUGAAUUGUGCCCCAUUGUGUAUAUGUACUACAAUUUCUUUAUCCAUUCACCUGUUGAUGGACACACGUUGAUUCCAUACCUUGGCUAUUGGGAAUAAUAUUGCAAUGAACAUGACAACACAGAUAUCUCAAUCAGGUGCUAAUUUUAUUUCCUUUGGGUAUAAACCCACCAGAGAAAUUAGUGGGUCAUAUGGUAGUUCUAUUUUUUUUUGAGGAAGUUCCAUACUGUUUUCCAUAAUGGCAGUACCAAUUUGCAUUUCCCCCAACAGCGUACAAGGGUUCCCCUUUCCCCACACCCUCGCCAACUUUAUUAGCUCCUGUCUUUUGGAUAACACUCAUCUUAACAGGCAUGAGGUAAUAACUCCUUGUCAUUUAUUUCCAUUUCCCUGAUAUUAGUGAUGCUGAGUACAUUUUCAUAUACUUUGUAUAUGAAAUGUGUAUCUUUGGAAAAAUGUCUACUCAUGUUCUUUGCCCAUAUCAAAAUCAGGUUAUUUUGUUUUGGUUUUUGCUAUUGAGUUGUGAGUUGGGAAAAGUGGAUAUUCACAUGCAAAAUAAUGAAACUGGUCCUUUAUCUUCCACAAUACAAAAAUUAACUCAAAUGGAUUAAAGACCUAAAUGUAGGAUCUGAAACUGCAAAACUCCUACAAGACAGCAAGAGAAAAGCUUACUGAUAUUGGCUGUAGCAAUGAUUUUUUGGAUAUCACACCAAAAGCUAAAUAAAAAGAAACAAGAAACAAGUGGGAAUCCAUCAAACUAAAAAGCAUCUAUAAACAAAGGAAACAACUAACAAAAUCAGAAGGGAGCCUGCAGAUUGGGGGAAAAUAUUUGUAAACCAUAUAGCUGAUAAGGAGUUAAUAUUGCAUACUUUUAAGUGUACAAAUAAGAAUGUCUUAUUAUUUGGGUCAUAUGUCGCCUACUGCAUUGUCUGCAAUGCUGUGUAAUAUACGUAAUAUAUGGUUUAUGCUAUGUUAUUACUUUUAUAAAGUACAAAAAUUUCCAGCUAAAGAAUUUUGGACUUGGAGGGCAAGUAGAAUACAGAAAGUCACAUAGGAGAUAAAAGCUGCUACAUGGGUACACAGGAGGAAGAAAUCUGAUUCAUGAGACAACAGCCCAGGCUCCAUGGGGGAAAAAAAGUUCUAUUGGGAAAAGGAUGAGUAUUGUUUUACAUGCAGGAAUCAUAAGGGACUGUAGGGUGAGGUUUGCUAUGUUUUCAAUGUUUACAUUCCCCCAAAAUUCAUAUGUUGAAACUUAACCCCCAAUGUGAUAGUGUUAAGAAGUGGGACUUUUAGGAGGUGAUUAGGUCACCUAAUGGGAUUAGUGCCCCUUCUAAAAGAGGCUUGAAGGAUCCUGUUUGUGCAGACACACAGAAGAUGCCAUUAAGAGAAACAGGCCCUCACCAGACCCUGAAUCUGCUGGUGCCUUGAUUUUGGACUUUGCAGCCUUCUGAACUGUGAGAAAUAAAUUUCUGUUGUUUAUAAAUUCUGCAGUCUAAGGUAUUUUGUUAUGGCAGCUUGAAUAGACCAAGGCAGAGUUUAUAGUCAGCAUAAAGAGUAUGAGUAAAGAAGCAGAGUAAAAAUGGCACACAUUUCUGUAGGAGAAAUCAGAAGCAACCUAACUAGAGAGUGUCCUAAAAAGAUUUUAACUGAUCUCUUUGGUAAUAACACAUAUUGCUGUGGUUGAUGUGAUGGUGGGUGUUGAGGGCUGUGAAGAACUGUUUGAUAGCACCGUGUUGCCCUGAUUGAGUCUUACAAUGAUGAUGCAGUGGCUGUGAUCCUAAUGGACUGUCGCAGUCAUGCUACAGCUGUAUUUCAUGGUAACAUGCUAGUUGUGAUUGUUCUUGGUCAUUUGUCUGAUGUAUAAUGGCUCCUUUGAAAUACUAAAUUAUGAUUAUGCAUAUAUGUAUUUACACAUGAUUUAUAAUUGAAGGAAAUUUGAUAGGCUACAUACAGAAUAUUUUGGGUCUGAAUCAAAUCUUUCUUUUAAAUUUUGUACUUUUGGAGUUCAAAUUUCUUUAUCUAGAAGUAUUAUUUCAGAGCAGAUUUGGAAUAAAUAGUGUUCUACUGUAAUAUAGCACAGGCUGAAUUCAAAGAGAAAGCACAUAAAAACCCCAAGAAAUUAUAGUGUUCGGGUGUCUAAAAAGUUAGUAUUUGUAGGGAAAUAUAGUAGGUAUGUGGGUAUGAGGAUCAGAUUAAAUCUGCCACAGUGCAACACACACACACACGCACACACACACAUACACACACACACACAGAGUAACUUCAGAAAGGGAAAGCUAUACAAGAAUACACUGGAAAUAGCACAUAUUAUCUUUCAGCCAUUUUUUCCUUUGGACCUGAAUGUUUUUCAAAACUAGCUUGUAGAGUGCAAUGGGUUUCACAGAGAAUUCAAACAACCCAGCAUUUUUCAGGAUACAAUCUGAGUUCAAUUGAUCUGCCUCUUUCUUUUCUGGACAGGGCAGGGUGGUGAAGAACGUGGGAGGGUUGGAAGGAUUGGUUUGUCUCUAUCUCAUAAGGAAUAUCCUUUUUGGGCACUUCAUGUCAGUCCCCAUCCAGCUCUUUCCAGCCCUCUGGCUUUGGGCAAGUUAAUGAAAUUUUCUACAACUUGAUAUUCUCAUCUGCAAAAUGGAGAUAAAAUGCCUGUGUGGCAGGUUUGUGAUAAUGUAUGGAAAGCAUGUAACUCAGUGUCUAGCACAUAUUACAUGCUCACUGCUGGCCAGUGUUGCACACCCUCUAUGAGCAAGGCACUUUGACUCAUGCUUCUCAUGUAAUCCUCACAAUAAUCCUGUGAGUAUUAUUAUGAUUCUUAAUUUACAGAUAAAAAUCUUGAAACCCAAGGGAGUAAAGUGAUUUAAACAAGGUUAAGCCAACUCAAGAAUAAAAGCCAGGAGUUUAACUUUGACCUUGCAAUGCCAAGCCUCCAACAUGCGGCUGCAUUAAGUUCAAUCCCUCCCUGUUUUUUCUCUAUCUCCCCCUUUCCUCUUCUCUGCAGUUCUACCUUCUUCAAUCUCUUUGGAGAUUUUUUUUAUACUUUAAGUUCCGGGGUACAUGUGAAGAAUGUGCAGUUUUGUUACAUAGGUAUACACAUGCCAUGGUGGUUUGCUGCACCCAUCAACCUGUCACCUACAUUAGGUAUUUCUUCUAAUGUUAUCCCUCCUCUAGCCCCCAACCCUGCAACAGGCCGCAGUAUGUUAUGUUCCCCUCCCUAUGUCCAUGUGUUCUUAUUGUUCAACUCCCACUUAUGAAUGAGAACAUGUGGUGUUUGGUUUUCUGUUCUUGUGAGAGUUUGUUGAGAAUGAUGGUCUCCAGCUUCAUCCAUGUCCCUGCAAAGGACAUGAACUCAUCCAUUUUUAUGGCUGCAUAGUAUUCCAUGGUAUAUAUGUGCCACAUUUUCUUUAUCCAGUCUAUUAGUGAUGGGCAUUUGGGUUGGUUCCAAGUCUUUGCUACUGUGAAUAGUGCCACAAUAAACAUAUGUGUACAUGUGUCUUUAUAGUAGAAUGAUUUAUAAUCCUUUGGGUAUAUACCCAGUAAUGGGAUUGCUGGGUCAAAUGGUAUUUCUGGUUCUAGAUCCUUGAGGAAUCGACACACUGUCUUCCCCAAUGGUUGAACUAAUUUACACUCCCACCAACAGUGUAAAAGCAUUCCUAUUUAUGCACAUCCUCUCCAGCAUCUGUUGUUUCCUGACUUUUUAAUGAUCACCAUUCUAACUGGCAUGAGAUGGUAUCUUAUUGUGGUUUUGAUUUGCAUUUCUCUAAUGACCAGAGAUGAUGAGCUUUUUUUCAUGUUUGUUAGCUGCAUAAGUGUCUUCUUUUGAGAAGUGUCUGUUCAUAUCCUUUGCCCACUUUUUGAUGGGGUUGUUUUUUUCUUGUAAACUUGUUUAAGUUCUUUGUAGCCCUUUGUCAGAUGGAUAGAUUGCAAAAUUUUUCUACCAUUAUUUAGGUUGCCUGUUCUUUCUGAUGAUAGUUUCUUUAGUUGUGCAGAAGCUCUUUAGUUUAAUUAGGUCCCAUUUGCCAAUUUUGGCUUUUGUUGCCAUUGCUUUUGGUGUUUUAGACAUGAAGUCUUUGUCCAUGCCUAUGUUCUGAAUGGUAUCACCUAGGUUUUCUUCUAGGAUCUUCAUGGUCCUAUGUCUUAUGUUUAAGUCUUUGAUUCGUCUUGAGUUGAUUUUUGUAUAAGGUGUAAGGAAGUGGUCCAGUUUCAGUUUUCUGCAUGUGGCUAGCCAGUUUUCCAAGCACCAUUUAUUAAAUAGGGAAUCUUUUCCCCAUUGCUUGUUUAUGUCAGGUUUGUCAAAUAUCAGAUGGUUGUAGAUGUAUGCUGUUAUUUCUGAGGCCUCUGCUCUGUUCCAUUGUUGUAUACAUCUGGUAGCAGUACAAUGCUGUUUUGGUUACUGUAGCCUUGUAGUAUAGUUUGAAGUCAGGUAGUGAGGUGCCUCGAGCUUUGUUCUUCUUGCCCAGGAUUGUCUUUGCUAUGCAGGCUCUUUUUUGGUUCCAUAUGAAGUUUAAAGUAGUUUUUUCCAGUUCUGUGAAGAAAGUCAGUGGUAGCUUGAUGGGGAUAGCAUUGAAUCUAUAAAUUACUUUGGGCAGUAUGGCCAUUUUCAUGAUAUUGAUUCUUCCUAUCCAUGAGCAUGGAAUGUUCUUCCAUUUGUUUGUGUCCUUGAGCAGUGGUUUGUAGUUUUCUUGAGCAGAAGUUUGUAGUUCUCCUUGGAGAGGUCCUUCACAUCCCUUGUAAGUUGUAUUUCUAGGUAUUUUAUUCUCUUUGUAGCAAUUGUGAAUGGGAUUUCACUGAUGAUUUGGCUCUCUGUUUGUCUAUUAUUGGUGUAUAGGAAUGCUUGUGAUUUUUGCACAUUGAUUUUGUAUCCUGAGACUUUGCUGAAGUUGCUUAUCAGCUUAAGGAGAUUUUGGGCUGAGAUGAUGGGGUUUUCUAAAUAUACAAUCAUGUAAUCUGCAAACAGAGACAAUUUGACUUUCUCUAUGUUGAAUAGGGGUGGUGAGAGAGGGCAUCCUAGUCUUGUGCCAGUUUUCAAAGGGAAUGCUUCCAGUUUUUUCCCAUUCAGUAUGAUAUUGGCUGUGGCUUUGUCAUAAAUAGCUCUUAUUAUUUUGAGAUAUGUUCCAUUGAUACCUAGUUUAUUGAGAGUUUUUAGCAUGAAGCGGUGUUGAAUUUUAUCGGAGGCCUUUUCUGCAUCUAUUGAGAUAAUCAUGUGGUUUUUGUCACUGGUUCUGUUUAUGCGAUGGAUUACGUUUAUUGAUUUGCGUAUGUUGAACCAGCCUUGCAUCCCAGGGAUGAAGCAGACUUGAUCGUGAUGGAUAAGCUUUUUGACGUGCUGCUGUAUUCGGUUUGCCAGUAUUUUAUUGAGGAUUUUCGCAUCAAUGUUCAUCAGGGAUAUUGGCCUGAAAUUUUCUUUUUUUGUUGUGUCUCUGCCAGGUUUUGGUAUCAGGAUGAUGCUGGCCUCAUAAAUUGAGUUAGGGAGGAUUCCUUCUUUUUCUGUUGUUUGGAAUAGUUUUAGAAGGAAUGGUACUGGCUCCUCUUUGUACCUCUGAUAGAAUUCAGCUCUGAAGCCACCUGGUCCUGGACUAUUUUUGGUUGGUAGGCUAUUAAUUACUGCCUCAAUUUCAGAACUUGGUUUAUUCAGGGAUUCAGCCUCUUCCUGGUUUAGACUUGGGAGGGUGUAUAUGUCCAGGAAUUUAUCGAUUUCUUCUAGAUUUUCUAGUUUAUUUGUAUAGAGGUACUUAUAGUAUUCUCUGAUGGUAGUUUGUAUUUCUGUGGGAUCAGUGAUGCUAUCCUCUGUAUCAUUUUUCAUUGCAUCUAUUUGAUUCUUCUCUCUUUUCUUCUUUAUUAGUCUGGCUAGUGGUCUAUUUAUUUGCUGAUCUUUUCAAAAAUGCAGCUCCUGGAUUCAUUGAUUUUUUUCAAGGAUUUUUCAUGUCUCUAUCUCUUUGGAUAAUUUUUUAAAGAGUUAAAAAUCAUGGCUUAUCAAAUCAAAUGGAAUGAAACAAUUUUUUCAUUCUAGUACAUUAAAACAAAUAUGACAUCAUUAUAUCUCAUAAUGCCACUAAUUUCCAUUGUUUUAUAGUUUAAAAAUGCAUGCUCAAGUAAUACAUAUUAAUUGCAGACAUUAGGAAAUAUAAAUAAGCAUAAAUUGCAUGAAUACCAAAUACACAGACAAUCACAGGCAGCAUUAUAUUGUAUAUUCUACAAUUCCUAGCUAUCCAUAUAAAUUUUUUUCUCUUAUAACACUAUCAUAUUAUAAUUAGGUUUAUAAUGUGCCUUUAUCAGUUAACAAUCAUUCAAAAAUAUCUUUCCAAGUUGGCACAUGUGCAUCUAGAUAAUUAUUUCUAUUGGCUACAUAACAUUCCAUUAUAUAGAAGCAUUUGAUUAAAAUAGCUUUUAUUAUUGGACACUUAUGCUGUUUUUAAUUUUUUGCUUUUGUAAACUAUAUACUCUUGCAUAUAUAUCUAUAUAUCUAUAUAUAUCUAUAUCUAUCUAUCUAUAUCUAUAUAUCGAUAUCUAUCUAUCUAUCUAUCUAUAUAUAUAUAUAUAUCUCCUUAGGAUGAUUCCCUAGAAGUGGAAAUUAUGGGUUGGUGUUUACACACUUCUCUGGCUUUAAAUAUAUAUCACCAAAUUGCUUUCAUUUUAAGAAAGAACCAACUUAUACUCCCUCUAGUAAUGUAUGAGAAUGCCCAUUUUCACACUCCCACACUAAUGAUUAUCAUUCCUUUUAAUCUUUGAGAACUCCAUUAGACACAAAAAAAGUAACUUUAUUGCUUUUCUUUGCAUUCCUAUGUCUAUCCAUUCUAUAAAAUAAUCACAUUUCUCAGACUACUAUCUAAACAAAAUGUAAACUUCCUUAGGUCAAAGACAAAAUCUCAAAAUAAUGAAAUAUUUAUAUCUGCCAUCCUUCUAAAAUAGAAUAAACCCCCAAAGAGGCAUUUGAGACACUACAUGGCAGAAAACCAUGGAUUUAACAGCCUUAUUAAGAACAUCCUUGAAUUUUGUUUUUAAACCUCGAGCUCAUUGUUCUCAGAACUCCUCUGCUGGGGAAACCUUGUCUUGACUGUUUGAGGGCAACACUUUUACAGGCAGAAUCUCAAUCUCAAAACAGAGGAGAGGAGAAGGUUAAGACAUCUAAGCCUGGCAUCUCCUGAUUUUUGUGUUCUAGCCUGGACUGAUGGGAUCCAAGCAGCACUAAGAAGAUAGUAACCUUUAGGGUAUGUUAAUUCCUUAAACAACUAUCCUCAAUUUGGAAACUCAGCAAGACCAAGCUAUGUUUGGCUGCACAUGGUUUUCUACUUAAUUUAACUGUCCCUCUGUAUUAUUUAAACCAACAUAAGUUUUUAAAUUUCAUGUCAAAAAUUAACUUAUACUUGAAUCAACAGAAGUUUAUUUAUUAAGAAGCAUGUGCUGUUUAAAGAGACUUCCUUAAAAUAGCAAGUUUUAUUUAACUAAAUGUUAGGAAAUGGAGAGAAUCUACUCAAAUCUGUGAUUAUAGCCUGGGCUCUCACAUUAUCUAAGAACCUUCCUUGGCUAAACAUUUUAAUGAUUGGUCAAACCUGGUUCAAGAGAAAGGUACUGCUGUGUUAUUACAAGGAAACUUUAAUGACAGAGUUGCCAUUGGGAAAGUCACAAAAUCCACAUGAAAUCUCACUUUAUGCACUGAUCACAAGGCACUUGAUCUUGGCAUUCAAUGGUGUUUCGCAUAAUUUAAAAGUUGAUAGCAAAGUGAAAUUUGUUCAACAACCUUUGUCACCAUGCCCUGGAAAUGAGACGGAUUAACUCUUUGAUAUCCACUCAAAAAGAACCAGAAUGUGAGUGAGAUGGUAGACAGUGGUUUGUUUUCGUUUUUCAUAUAUGAAAAAAGGCAGUUCUUCCAAUUACUCCCAACGUGAAUAUUCAAAUGAACUGGAUGAACGUUACAAUAUGUACACUGUAAGACGGUAAAGGAUUAUAAAACACUUAGGAUUUAUGAAAAAACAAAAUAUUGUAAUAUAGGGUGAUACCUCAGAUUCCUUGAAGAAAGUGAGAAAGGAAUGGAAGGAAGAAUGUGAGCUAUCACUUAUAUGGCAUAUCUAAUCAUGCAAUUCUUAUGUGCCAGACACUGUUUUAAGUGUUUUUUAUGCAUUCUUUCAACCCUCCAAACAGCCUCAUGAGGUAGUUAUUUUAUUUUGCAGAAGAUAAUGUUCAGAUACAGAGAGGUUAAAUAACUUACUAAAGAUUUCCCAGCUGGUAAGUGGCAGAGCUAUAAUAUGAGUUUUCUUUUGAUUUAAGAUAGGACAUCUAGAUGCCCAGGUUAAAACAGUACUGCCAAGCAUGCCCACAAGGAAAUAUACAACAUCACCAGGGAGUUUUAUAGUGGGCCUUUGAGGAAGGUGGUAUGUUUGCAAAUAUCACAAAAUUAAAUAUACCCUUAAGAACUAAUGUGACAGCUUGGCAUUGGAGUAGAAACUGCACUCGUUUCAGAAAACGGGUUUCUAAGAUCCAGUCUACCACUAAAUAUCUGUGGAAUCUGAGUCAAAACAUGUCAUUUUCUGGGGCUCAGUUUCCUCUACCUUAAAACAAAACAGAUGGAUGACAUACUCAAAAAGACAUUCUACAAUUCUUUGAUAAGACAAACAUCUACACCGUAGUCUGGUGGGCAGAUCUUUCUGUCAAGAAAGACCUCACAGAGGGCACAGUGGUAGGGUUGUCUGACAUGAAAUGGAUUCAGUACAAAAUGACUUGCUCAUAUUCUGAGAUACUUCUACAUCUCUGUGUUCUGUAGAUUCCUCAUCUGGGAGACAAGCUAAAACAGAAAGCAAAGUGGCAUUUGUGGGUUCGGGAUACUGUGGAGCAAACCCUUCUUGUUUCUCUUAGAGAUAAGCUUCAGUGAUAAGGGAGAGGGUAUUGAUACCAGCAACAGAAAACCUAUUCCUAAAUGAAAUUCAAAUCAAAUGAUUCCACCCUUCCGAGAAUUCUCCAACAGUGGCUUUUCCAGCAGCAGGAAUCUGCAAACAGAGUCCAGCAGUUAAUUUCAGUCUCCCAGCUUUGCCCAUAUAACUGUUCCAAUCUUAGAUUUACAAAGCCAUUUCUGAUGAAGACAAUAAAAGCCUCCUUUCCUUCCUGUGUUGCCUUGUGCUCUGAUACUUUAUCAAAGCACAUAGACAGUGGGUUGUUCUUAACCACAUAUAAAGCACAGCAGCCUCACAAAUCAUGUUUUACUAUUGCACUAUGGAAACACCAAGGUUAAAAGGUAAGUCUGUGGCAUAACCAUAUUGAUUAAUUGAUGUAAGAAAGGUCAGGCUAAUCUUUAUCUUGCUUGAAAGACUACUUCUACAUGGCAGGUGUGUUCCUGUGUGAAAAGAUAAAAAAGAAAAUAUGGAGCCCCAAUGCAAAGAAAAUGGGGGAAAUCUUAUCAAACAUCACUCAGAAGAAGGUUAGUGUAAAGAGUCCUCAUGCAAAGAAAAUAGAGAAAUCUUGUUAAACAAUCUGUCAGAAAGGCAAAGCACUAACAUGGGGCCUGGAAGGUGGAUGCUAUUUAGAUUUCCCUUUAUUUUUAGUAGGCUUUGUAGGAAACACCUUCACCAGUGAAAGAAUCACAGAAGUACCAGGGCAAAGGUAGUGACUUUAGAUAAUAGUCUCACCCUCUUCCGUGUUCCUUGAGAACAGAAAAAGAGAGCUUCACACCUCUCUUCCCAACAAGACUGGAAUCUGUUGAACUAGCAAAACUAGCUUCUCUGACCAAUUCCUGCCUAGGUGAAAAGCAGACAUAACACUGCCUUUCAUAACAUGGCUUCUGUAUCCCCAGGGUGUUGAGGAACGAGGGAUUUAUCCCUAGCACACAUGGAGAUGCACAUAUAUCUAAGAAUGGCUUGUCCAGCUUCAUUUCUGGCCUGAAAGAGAUAAAGAGAUAACAAGGUUUGACAGCUGAAAUUUAGAACCCUGAGAACACAGAAAGAUACAAGUGCAAGUAAGGAAGGACUAAAGGCUAAAUAUGUGUAAGUGUGGAGAGAGAAAAAUGAUCUAGGGACCACAAAGACACAAUGCUAAUCCUGAAAUACACUGCUGUUGAAUGAGAAGAAGGGACUAGGCUGGCACAGGGAGGGGCCUAGAAGGGUGGGUGGAAGCGGGAGUGCAUGUUGGAAAUUUUUUCUCAUUAAGGUUGUAUUAGUCAGGGUUGUCCGGAGAGACAGAACCAAUAGGAAAUAUAUAUACGUGUGCAUAUAGAUGUGCGCGCACACACACACACACACACACACACACACACAUACAGCAGAGGGGAUUUAUUAGGGGCAAUGGUUCAGGUGAGUAUGAGAAGUCCUGUGACAGACUGACUGCAAGCUGGAGACCCUGGGAUGCCCAUAGCAUGGUUCAGUCAAAGUCCAAAGGAUUCAGACCCAAAGAAGCCAAUGGUGUAACUCAGUCCAAGGAUGAAGGCCUGGGAACCUGGGGGAGAGGGUGACUGCUGGUGCAAGUCCCAGAAUCCAAAAGCCAGCCAGCCUGGAGAUUUGAUAUCCAAGGUCAGGAGAAGGAGGGUGCCCCAGUGUCAGGAGAAAGAGGUGAAUUUGCCUUUCCUCUGCCUUUUUGUUCUAUCUGGGCCCCUAGCCAAUUGAAUGGUGCUCACCCACAUUGGGGAUGGAUCUUCCCCACUCAGUCCACCAACUCGUAACACCAAUCUCUUUGGGAAACACCUUCACAGACACAUCCAGAAAUAACACCUUACCAGCUCUCUAGGUAUCCCUUAAUCCCAUCAAGUGGACACCUAAAGUUAACCAUCACAAUGUUCAUACCUGAAAAAGACCUGUAGUAAGUGUCUGAUACUAGAUGGACUAGACUAUAAUGUAGUCAACAAGCAUGCCUCAGAGGCUUACUACAAUAAAAGUUUAUUUUUGGCUCAUGCAAAGUCCAAUGCAGUUGGGUGUCACUUCUUCAUCUUAUACCUCUGGCAUUUAGAACAUGUGGCCUUACCACAGCUAUGAGGAGAUGCCUGGAAGGUUUCAUGAGAUACCUUGAAGGACAGAUCUGGAAGUGGGUUGCGUCAUGUUUCUUACAUCAUGCUGGUCUGGGUGUAGUCACACGGCCCUCAACCAACUGCUAGUGGAGACAGGGAAAUAGCCCAUAAAAAGGUGAUUUGUCUAGCUUUGUCUUAGAACACCAGAGAUUUAAGUUUUCCUAAAGAAAAAAAAUUCACUAUUUUUUUCUGCACUAUUAAAUAUCAGAAGGAGUUACCAGAGGAUGUUUGGAAACUUCACUACUAUUUUAGACACUAGAGAUAGGAGACAGGACUCAUCUUUCUUUAAGUUCUACUUUUUAUAUACAAUGUUAUGCUUUUAUUACUGUGUAGGUUUUAUAGGGAAAACAUGAAAAGUAAGCUAGCUAUUUGAAAUUAUGUUCUUAUUAAACUGAGCUUAAUUAUCCUUUUAUUCACUGAUCAUGGCUACUACUUACAAGUAGGUCGUAGGCAAGGAAAUUUUUAUAUUAGGGAAGUGAAAAAAGAAAGGGUGGAAUAGGAGAUUAAAUGUAUUUUAUUCACAAAUUUACCCAUUUUGUGGCAUAAGAGCAACAUGAUUAAUAAUAAAUACUUAAGGACAUAAAUCAUAAUACACUACUAAUCCAUAUGUAAAAUAUAAAGUCUAACCUUAACAUUAUAGUCAUUGAGAUUCUGAUAGGUUCUGUGAGACACAUUUUGCAUUUAUGUGUCAUUUGCUUCAAUAUAUGUUAAUAGAUGAUAAUUAUAUGCUUUUCAUUUGGACAGCCCUUAUCCAAAAACGAUUUAAUAUUCGCAUGUCUAAUGGGUUGCACAUGGCUAUUGAUCAUUUGGAUCAGAAUUCAAUGUAAACUGCUGCUGGUUAGAUUGGGAAUUGUAAUCAUGGUAAAAAAUAAAUUACAAGGUCUCUGAAGAUCAGUUCUGUUUUCAGAGUAGAUGUGCUUUUAGAUAUGAAACACCAAAUAGCGAGGUUAGAGGAAAUCUCUGGUGGUAUCAUUCCAUGGGCUUUCUGAGAAAUACAUCCACAGAUCAUCUGUAACCCCUCCACCAUUAUACCAGCAAUAUGAAAUUUAUAGGGAAUGGUAUUUUACUAUAUAAAGAUAGUGACAAACACCAGUAAGUUAUUUGUGAAUUAUAACUAUAGGCAAAAAGGGAGGCAUAAUUUGUAAAUAUAAAUUUUGGUGUAAUAAAAUGUUGUACUCUUAAAAUUAUGUGAUUUUAAAUAUAGAGAGAUUUUGUUUGGAUUAGAAGACAUCUAAGUGAAUAUUAAUUUAGAUAAAGUAGACCUCUAGUGGCUUCAAUAGUAAAAGGAUUUUAUCUUUGCUUUGAAAAUUAUUUUCAGUCUAAUUACAGAAGAAAUACAUUUCUCAUUUAGAAAACUUGGAAAAUUUAGAAAACUCUAUUCAAGACCACAAAGGAUACUCACCAUCCAACAGCCCCGAUAUAUUACUAUUAAUGUCUUAAGAUAUCUAGUUCAGGUCCUUCCCUUUGAAUUUUUUUGGUCAUGAGAUAUUUUAAAUAAAUAGAAACAGAAAAACAAUAUAUGAAAACCAUACACAUCUACCAUCUAGAUUUAAAUGUUAACUUUUUGCUAUAUUUACUUCUGACCUCUCUUAUUCACAAAUAAGUAGAUUACAGAUAUAAAUACUCUGCUUCUUUUUCCUCCCUCCUUUUUCUGGAAUUAACUGCUGUGAAAUUUCUGUUUUGUGAUUUUACUGUGUAUUAUCUAUAAACAAUAUAUAGUACUGUUUUCAUGUUUGAAAAGUAAAUGUUAUCAUCAUCACCUUCUUUGACAUUGUGAUUAUAAUGGUGAACACAUUAAGUACCUGCUGUCUUUCAGGCAGUGUUCUAAAGAAUAUUACACAUAUUACCCUUAGAAAGUGGGUGCUAAUAUUAUCAUCAUUUUAUAGACAAGAAAACUGAGUACAGAGAGGGUAAUUAACUUACAUAGGGUCUUACCACUUUCUCUUUUUUUCCCACUUACUCUUUUAUUUAUCCAUAAUGAUAUGUAUGACUCUCAUUCAUUCAAUUUAACUGUUGUAUAGUAUUCCAGCAUAUGAAUGUCAUAGUUUAUCUGUUCCCCUAUUGACAGAACUUUAAAUGUCCUUUAUGUAUUUCCUCGUGCCUAUUGGUGGGAGUUUCUUUAGAGUGGUUACAUAGAAGUUGAAUUACUGAGUUAAAAAUAAUGUACAUUUUAUAUUCUGUAUGAUAUGGAAAAAAUAUAUAUGAAUAUUACAGCUCUCAUUGCUUUUCUAAACUUUCUUAUAAAUUCUAAUUAUCUGUAUUUUCUUCCUUUGCUGAUAUAUUUUCUGUGACAGUUUAGUGACCAUUUUUUUCCUUUCAUUCUUUACAUAUUUCAUUUCUUUUUUUUUUUUUCUCACUGCAUAGGCAAGGACACCCAGUUCAAUAUGGAGGAGGAAUGGUGACAGAGAGAAUACUUGUCUAUUUCAUGAUUAAAAAAAGAAUGCUUUGUAAGCGUGCAUGGUAUAAGUGUGCAUAGUAGUUGGCUUUCAAGAGCCAAGAAAGAAGGCAAUGAAGGACUAUACCUACAACUGGCCUGGGGACACUUUCACUUUAUUCUGUUGGUCACAGAGUCCAUCCAGAUGAAAGGGGCCAAAAAUAAACUCCAUUUACUGAUGGGGGAGUGGGCCCUUGAUGGGGAGGCCAUAUUGCAGAAUAACACAUGGGUUGUUAUUAAGUGUGCAUUAUUAAGUGUCUGUAUUUGUUGUACGUAUGCAGUGAGUACCCCUUAUCAGAUUGAGAGUGCUUCUUCUAGUACUAUUUUGCUAAGAAAUUUGUUAAAUCUUAUUUAAUGCUUUUCUUCACCCUUGAUAGAAUUACAUUGUUUUUCUUUUCUAACCUGCGAAUGUGGAGCAUUACAUAGCACAAUGUCUAAAGUUUAACAAUCCAUGUAUUUCUGUGGCACCACAUAUUUAGUCAUGAUAUUUUAUUUUUUGACAGUGCUGGUAUUGUUUUCUAAUAUUCUAUUCAGGUUUUUUACAUCCAUAUUCAAAACUGAGGUUUGUCUAUAAUUCUUCUUUCUUGAAUUAUCUUAUAAAUUAUUGAUAUGAAAGCUUUUAGCUUUAUGGAGCGAGUUGGAAACUUUAUUUUUUUCUACACUUUUGAAAUAGUUUCUGAGAUUUUGGUAGAACUUGCCUGUCAAACUACUGGGGCAAGAUCUAGGGGGGCCUACUAGUGGAAAUUUUCAAUUAUUGCUCUGUUUUUUAAGUGGUUAUAAGGCUAUUAAGUUUUUCUACUUAUUAUCAAGUCAUCAGUAGUAAGUUACAGUUUCCUAGUUAUUUUUCUAUUUUGUCUGAGUUUUCUAAUUUAUUGGCAGAAAAGUUUUCACAGUACUUCUUUUGCAAAUUUUAAGAAUCAUUACUCUAUCUGUGACUGUACUGCACAUUUUAUUCCUGACAUUGAUGUGUAUUUUCCCUUUUAUUUUUAAUCAGUCUUGCCAAAGGAUUGCCUAUUUUAUUAUUCUUAGAUAUGGCAACUCAUUAAGAACAAAUUGUAUGAUGAAAAACUCUUCACACAUGGCAGGUUAAGGCUCUACUUUAUCCCCCAAAAGAGUUAUAGCCUUCUUCAUAGUCAUUCACAUUCUUGAGUAAGUUCACAAACCCAGAGCCCCUAGAACGGAGGAGAGACUUGAUACUGUGAACAUCAUAAAUAGUGUCACAGACUGCAUUUCCCAAAAAUGGCUGCCCUCCAAUGGCUCCCAACCCAUGUGUUAUUCUGCAAUCUGACCUCCCCAUCAAGGGCCCACUCCCCCAUCAGUAAGUGGGUUUAUUUUUGGCCCCUUUCAUCUGGGUGGACUCUGUGCCAAUAGAAUAAAGUGAAAGUGUCCCCAGGUCAGUUCUAGGUAUAGUCCUUCAUCGACCUGUUUCUUGCCUCUUGAAAGCCAACAAUGGUAUAAGAAAUGUGACUACUCUGAGACCACCAUGUUAUGAAAAACCAAGCAACACAAAGAAAGAAAGGUCAGGGAGUAUGGCGGUGCCAGGCCUGUAAAUAGAAAGCCAUGUUGAAUGUCCAACCCAGUUAAGCUUUCAGUUGAGUCCAGUCCAAGUUCUAUGUGACUGUUAUUCAUGAGAGACUCUUAAGAAAGACCUUACCCACCGGCACCCAUUCCAACUAUAGAAAUAUAAGAGAAAAUAAUUUAUUUGGCUCUUUUAAGCCUCUAAAUUUUGGAAUUGUUUGUUACACAGCCAUAGAUACCUAGACCAAGUAGACACCAUAAACCCUUCCCCCACCCUUAACCUUCUCCCUAAGAAAACUCUUGUCUUUAACAUAAUGCAUAGUAUGACUUAUGCAUAACAUACGCAUUAGAUAAAUAUGAAUAAGAGAGACAUGCAUAUUAUUAAGAGAUUGUUGGAUGCCAGCUCUGAGGUAACACUAUUCCCUAAAGGACCCAAAAUGCCACUGUGGUUCCAUUUGGAUACCAGGUGAUAGAUGUAGUAUUGACUCAAGUUCACGUAACAGUGAGCUUAUGUUCUGAAAAUUAUCUGAAAUUAUCCUAAAGAUACUCAGUGUUUUUUUUUUUUUUUUUUUUUUUUUUUUUGCAUCAUAAGCCAAUGUAAGUUGUUUAAAGCUGAUAAAGUGGUAAAUAUAAAAACGUUACAUAAUACUACAAAAGUGAAUUAUUUCAAGGUAUAAGGAAUGUAGUAACAAGAUCAAAAAGAAAAGAAGGCAACUGCAAGGAAAUAAAAUAACAGGAGUUUUUAAAAUCAUUUACAACAGGAAAUAAAUGUUGAUUGAGGAAAUAAAAGACUAAGAUAGUAUAUGUCAUUAGAUUAAUACUUAUAUAGGGCUUGCUAGGUACAAGGCUCUGUUAUAAGUGGUUUACAAAUAUUAACUCAUUUAAUCUUCAGAACAAUCCUUUUAUGUAGGUAUUUUUAUUUAUCCUCAUUUUAUAGAUAAGGAAACUGACCCAGAGAGAGGUUAAAUAUAAUUAGCCAAAGCCACCAGCAAGGAUGCAAAUAGUUAUAAUGAUAGCCAUUACAAGAAGCUGAAACAAGACUACAAACCUCUCAAGCCAGGUUCUUGCUUUCAGAUUAGGCCUAUGCCAUAAUGUUGGCAGGCAGACAACUUCUUCUGGAGUCUCCUGAGGCUGGAUGUUCUUCAUUCUUAUUCUUUCCUUCAUGAUAACUUGGAGCUAGCAUCCCAGACAUACUGCACAGAUUUCUGUCCAUUUCUUUUCUUUCUUUCUUUUUUCUUUUUGAGAUGGAGUCUCACUCUGUCGCCCAGGCUGUUAUGCAGUGGCAUGAUCUCAUCUCAUUGCAACCUCUGCCUCCCAGGUUCAAGCGAUUCUCCUGCCUCAGCCCCUCAAGUAGCUGGGAUUAAAAUCACGUGCCACCAUGCCUGGCUAAUUUUUGUAUUUUUAGUAGAGAUGGGGUUUCACCAUGUUGGCCAGGCUGGUCUUGAACUCCUGACCUCAGGUGAUCCAACCAUCUCGGCCUCCUAAAGUGUUGGGAUUACAGGCACGAGCUACCGCACCCGGACAUCCAUUUCUUUUCAAAGAAGGAUGUUUCUCUCUAUGCAUUUUCAGACUACCCCAUGUUGUGAGAUGGAUAAUUAUUUAGGAAUGAAGAGUGGGAGUAUUGAUGUCCACUUUGAGGAAGGAGACUACAAGAAUAAUUUAUUUGGUAAGUGGGCUAUAAACACAAAGCAGAUUUAAAAAUAGGCAAAAGAGGUGAAUAGACAUUUUUCAAAAGAAGACAUACAAAUGGGAAACACUCAUAUGAAAAGGUGCUCAACAUUAUUGAUUAUCAGAGAAAUGCAAAUCAAAACUAUAAUGAGAUAUAAUCUCACCCCAGUGAAAAUGGCUUAUAUCCAAAAGACAAUUAAGAACAAAUGCUGGUGAGGAUGUGGAGAAACAAACGCUUGUGCACUGUUGGUGAGAAUAUAAACUAGUACAACCACUAUGGAGAACAGUUUGAAGCUUCCUCAAAAAACUAAGAAUAGAGCUAUCAUAUGAUCCAGCAAUUCCACUACUGGUAUAUACCCCAAAGAAAACAGUAUAUCAAAGAGAUAUCUGUACUUCCAUGUUUGUUGCGGUGCUAUUCACAAUAGCCAAGAUUUGGAAACAACCUAAGUGUCCAUCAACAGAUGUAUGAAUAAAGAAAAUGUGGUACAUAUACACAAUGGAGUACUACUCAGCCAUGAAAAAGAAUGAGAUCCAGUCAUUUGCAACAAUAUGAAUUGAACCGGAGGUCAUUAUGUUAAGUGAAAUAAGCCAGGCGCAGAAAGACAAACAUUGUAUGUUCUCACUUAUUUCUAAGAUCUACGAAUCAAAAAAAAAAAAAUUGAACUCAUGGAGAUAGAGUGUAGAAGGAUGGUUACCAGAGGCUAGGAAGGGUAGUGAGAGAUGGUGGUGGAGAUGAUUAAUGCGUACAAAAGAUAGAAAUAAUGAAUAAGACCAAUAUUUGAUAGCACACCAGAAUGACUAUGGGAAUAAUAAUUUAAUCGUACAUUUUAAAAUAACAAAGAGUAUAAUUGGAUUGUUUGUAAAUGCUUGAGGCGAUGGAUACCCCAUUUUCUGUGAUGUGAUAAUUGCGCGUUGCAUGCCUAUAUCAAAACAUGUACCUCAUAAAUAUAUACACCUACUAUGUACCCACAAAAAUUAAAAAUUAAAGAAGUAAAAAAUUCAAAAAAAUCCCAAAGCCAUGGUGAUGUCAAGUGAUGUUGAGUUUGUGACCACAGUUUCAUCACUGCUAUGCCCAAAGAAGGGAACUUUUCCUUUUUCUCUGGGUUUUGAAACGCUUUGUAGUUAUAGUGAAGUAAACUCUUUGUUCUCCAUCCCUGACAUUAAAACAGUAAAGAAAAAUAUGCUUUGGUGCUAAUCUUUGGGUUGAUCUUUUAAAUAUCUCUCUAAUUGAAGUAAGAAGGGUAUUAACCCUGGGGAAAAUGUCAUGGACAACAAAAUAUUCUUGGCUUUGCAGUUCACAGGAUGUGUUGGUACCAAUUAUAGCAUUUUUUUCCCCAACAGAGUCGAAUGUAGUGGAAGCCAAAGGACCCUACCAACUCAAUGUGCUUUUUCAACACAUUAACUGAGCCAGUAGAAUUCAUUUCAAGUUCAUUUCUGCAUGGAUCAUUUACAGUGUUAAUUUGUGGGUUUGGAUGAUGACUGCUUUUUUUUUUUUUUUUUGCUUCACACUUACUGGUCACAAAAUGAGUUAGUUAAUUUUGUCACUUAAUGGUUGCUAUACUUUUCUUCUUUCUUAAGUAAUGACUGUUUUUUUUGUCAUCAUUUGCUGGACUAGAUCAGGUCUCCCUCUAUGAUUUUUUUAAAGACCUUGGUGCACACAGCUGCUUUGGCAAGUCAGGAAUCAAACUGACAGCCUAUUGGAAGGCAUACCCCAUCACAAGUCUAAAGAGACACAGAGUGACAGUUCACAGACGCGGGUGCAAGGCCUGCCUCUCAAUCUUCUUCAGCUGGCUAGGAUCUUGGCUGAUGCAGGGCGCCCAUGCCAGACGGCAGAGAGCCUGAAGUAACAAAAACAGGCCCAGUGAGGUAAUUAGGACUGACAGAAUGUUUGUCUAUCCACAGACUUCUUUGCAACAGGCAGCCAAAUUUAAUAUAUCCUAUGAGAGUCUGAGCACAUACGGUUUUUGCUCUGUCCCUGUUGAGAUUCUUAAACUUUCAUGAUUAUUAUUUUGUUUAUUUUUGCCACAGAUUUCUCAAUCUACUCUUUUUUUUGUGGAUUUGUGACCCAAAGGGUGUCAUGGCAAUCAUCUUGUUUUCUUUUCUCUUGUGUUAAAACUCAUCAUGAACCAUGAAGCCAGGAAACACAUGAGGAAAUGCAGACUCAAUUAGAGCUGAAGAGGCGAGAAUGCUAUUGGAUGUCUUUGAGGGGUUAUUCACAAUCAAUGUUUUUAGCUGCUAUUAUUGCUGUACCUGCUGCUAAAUGAGAAGGGCAGCCUUCAAACUGGUUCAGGUUCUUCAAAGUGUGCAGUUAGCUGGGGACAUAGAACCUAAUCAAAAAUGAGGUGAUCAGAUCUCAAAAAUAAAGGGCAAGUAUGAUUUUUCAAGAUGAAUGGCCUGGGUAAAGGACAAUGCUAUUUCUACCAGUAACAAGAGGCAGGCCAUAUGGUAUUCACUCUGUUUAUCCUUUCCCCAUCUUCACUAUGAAAAGGUAAUUUAGAUUUUAGUAAAUUUCCAGAAAUACAAACUUACUGGGCCACCCAGGUAUUAUUAUAAUUUUUUUUUAGUAAGUUCAGGGUUAUUUUUACCCAUCAAAAUAAUGUAGGGUUAGAAUCUAGCAUAUGAUCUUAAAUGGCCAGGAAUAUGGAGCUCAGGCAGAACUGGAAUCUGAUUUAUUUCAAAAGCAGAGGGGUCUGUAGUAGUGGAAUUAUUUUUUCUUAGUUCUAUUGAUAACAACAUUUAUGCCAGAAAAAAAUAAUGUAUCUGCCAUAAACAUGUGGCAAAUAAACUCGGAAUAGUGAGAGAAGGGUUGGGGGAUCCAUCUGGCACUUAGCGGAUGUUCAUGCAUAAAAGUGGCUGUAUAGAUCUAAAACUCUUCAUAGUGGUUUAUUCAACAGCCAUUUCUUUUACCUCUUUUCACAGUAAGUUAAUUUGGUUCAGCAAUCAGAUGGCCAUGUCACCAGGAGAGGCUAGCCCCUUCCACAUCCCCAGGGAGGGAAUUUUGAUAAAUCUAACCCUGUCAUGAUAAGCCCAUCCACCUUGCCACUGUUCAGUUUAGAAAUAGUGCACAUGAUAUUGUCCUGGACAAUGAGUACAUAUCUGUUGCAGAGGCUUGGGAGAAAGAUUUUUUAAUCUUUAAAAUAGUCUCAGGAGAAAGUUUAGUUGCUUAGCUGUCUCUAGUUAAAUUAGGGUGAGGAGAAGAUGCUGGACCUUCUGAAUCUAUCCUGUAAUUAUGAGAAGGAAGUAGAGGACCAAGACAGCAUGUUGAAGAUGGCAGAGUAGACAAGCAAAAUAUGGCUGAUAACUUGAGGAUGUUACUGCAGAAGCAAAAUAACCAACCCCACAACCACUCUGCCUCCCAGCUUCUUGUGACAUCAGAAAACAAAUUUCCUGAUUUUUUAAACUGAUACUUAGUUGGGUUUUCUUCAUCUUUUUUUCUUUUUUUUUUUUUUUUUGCCAAAAAUGAUGCAAAUAUUGCUAGAGAUAAAUUAUGUAUUCCACAGUUAAAAUCAAAUCAGAAACCCACAAAUAUAAUCACUAGUCUGUUUUCUUAAAGUUAAUUAAUUCAUUUGACACGGGUCUAGAGAUAUUCACUCAUUCAUGAAUUCAUUCAGUAAACAGUUAUUGAGCCUUUAUUUGAGCCAAGAACUGAGGAUAGAGUUAUAAACCAAAUCAAUAUUGUUGUUCCUUUCAUGGAAUUUAUAAUCUAGCAAGAAGUAAAGAUGUUGAACAGGUGUAGUUAGAGCAAAAUACCUUGUGGGUUCAAUGAUGACUUGAUCUGCAGCAUUAGCAUCUAGCAUUUCAGGAUGCACACUCAGCCAAAGCGGUUACAGCCACAGCUAAAGGUCAGAGAGAAUCUGGCUUCCCCGUAAUAGUGCUGCAGUGAUUGCUGGGCUUCGCAGAUGGAGCUAUGGGGUGAUGAGACUGGUCACUAGGUAUGCAGUUUCGUACUUUCUUCUGUCCAGUUUACUAAUUUACAGCACUUUCUUUCAUGUGCCAUUUUUGCCCUUUGGACUGGUUAAUUGGUGGUAAAACAACAAAAAUCAAAAUGUAUUGAUAUAAAGAUAUAAAUGCAAUUCCCAGGAAACAGUAUGUCAAGUACAGGAAUAUUUACCUCGAAUUAUUCCUAAUUAGUAUUUGGGAGAGACCAUGAGCCAGAUGUUAAGUAGUUACUGUUCUUCACUAGUCAGGCCUUUUUUUUUUUUUUUUUUUUUUUUUUUGAAACUUUCCCACUCAUGGCCUCUUAUUCCAGUCUGCAUAUAUUUAUUGAAAUUUUGCUAUGCCCUGGGAAUGCAAUGAAUAAACCAGACACAAACAUAGAAGUCUCCUUUUUAUUCUCAAAGAGUUUAAUUUUAAAUUAAGAGCACAGGUUUGGGAGAUAGCAGAUUUUGAAUACUGGCUCUGCCACUGACUAAUUGUGAGGUCUCAGGUAAGUCAAGAGAUCCAUUUGACUUUAGACUCUUUUUAUGUAAAAUUACCAAUAAUUAUAGUACCCAUCACAUAGGUGUUUAUGGGGAUUCCAUGAGAUAAUGCAGGCAAAGCAUUUAGCUGAGUAUCUGGCACAUGACAAUUUUUCAGUAAACGCAGUAAACGGUAGCCCUACUCAGAGCUUAAAUAUGUGCACAAGCAACUAUAACACAAGCUAGCAGGCAGUAUGCACCGUAAGAUGCAGAGGAAAAAAUGCUGCUUGAAUUCAGAGGAAGGAGCCUCUGAAAAGAGGAUGGGGAGCCCCUUCAGGAAGGAGGUGCCAUUUGACCUGGGUUAUUCCAGUGCUGCUUUGACACUGGCUUUCCUUUCAGUAGUGGUUCACCUUCUGUGGGGGCCUACCCUCCAGGUUGUCAGGGGCAGGCUCAAUCUCGAUGAGGAGCAGGUCUUCUUUGUUUCCUGUUCACACCACUGACUCAAAGAAGUCACUCCCUGAAAACCAGCCCUUGGCACUGAGCAGAGAUGGAAAUAUGACAGAGCAAUCUAUCCCCACUUAGUACUGAAGUAGUGAAAGUAGCAGUAGUAGUGACGUAGUGAAAAAUAUCACUUGUUUUCUCCUGGAUUGCUCCACAGAUAGUGCCAGAUCCAAGCCUGUGAUUUCGAAGAGCUAUGUGAUAUGAGCUGUGUAAUAGAUUAUUUUGUUUUUCUAGGCUUAAUUCAAUCAUAUUUAAAUAGAGACACUGGACUACACAAUCUACAGAGGAGACACUAUGGCAAGGACUAAAUGGAAUGCAGUACAUAAUGUGCUUAGCACAGUGCUUUGAACAUAGCGGUCACUCAGAGGGUAUCAUCUAAAUAUUUAUAAUAAUAGGUUCUAUAAUACUAUUGUAUCAGCGUGCUAGCAUUGCUAGGUUACAAGUUACCAUAAACUUCAUGGCCUUAAACAACACAAAUUUGUCAUCUUAUGUUUUUGUAGAUUAGAAUAUGGGUUUCAGGCCAGGUGUGGUGGCUCAUGCCUGUAAUCCCAGCACUUUGGGAAGCUGAGAUGGGUGGAUCACUUGAGGUCAGCAGUUCGAGACCAGCCUGGCCAACAUAGCAAAACCCCGUCUCUAUUAAAAAUACAAAAAUUUGCAGGGUGUGGUGGUGCAAGCCUGUAAACCCAGCUACUCUGGAGGCUGAGGCAGGAGAAUCACUUGAACCCGGGAGGCAGAGGUUUGUCGUGAGCUGAGAAUAUGCCACGGCACUUCAGCCUGGGUGACAGAGCAAGACUCCGUUUCAAAAAAUAAAAAAUGAAAAAUAAAUAGAAUACGGGUCUCAGAAGGCUAUGACCAUGGUGUUGAUAGAGCCUGUGUUCCUUUAUGGAGAUUCUGGAGAAGGAUCUGUUUCCCAGUUAUUUGGGUUGUUGGCAGCAUUCAUUUUCUUGUGGUUGUGGAAAGAAAAUCCCUUUGUCCUUGUGUGCUGUCAGCUGAGGGCCUUUCUCAGCUUUGAGGAGCCACCAGCAUUCCUUGGAUCUUUCAUCCCUUGCUUCAUCUUCAAAGCCAGCACCAUGGGUUGAAUUCUUUUGCUUCCAAUCUCUCUUUCUUCUGUCUUGCCUCCUAACUCAGCCUAGAAAAGUUCUCCGCUUUUGAGGACUGAUGAGAUUGGACUGGAUCCAUCCAAAUAAUCCAAGACAGUCUCUCCAUUCCAAAGUUUGUAUUCUUAGUUACAGCCACAAGUCCCUUUGCCAUGGAAGAUGUCCAGUAGGGCAGGAACAUCUUUGGGGAAGGGGCAUUACUCUGCCUUCACACUGAUCUUUUCACCUUAAGGGAAGCACUUUACGAUGAGACCUUUUACUAUUUCAUCUUGGAGUACUCCUUUUCUAUUUCAUUUUUUAUCCCCAGAGCAUCCAACAUUUUGACAGAUCUUUGUUUCCAUGCAGCAAUCUUUAUAGCUGACUUCUCUUUUCAUGCAUGAAUGCCUUUUCUUUAUUUCAACUUUUCCUUUCCUUUCCCUUCAAACCAAUAAUUUUCAUACUUACCUAAUCUGUGAUUAGAGAUAUCAUUUCCAUAUGUGUUAUAUUUAGCUUUUGUUUCUACUUUUCCUCCAAUGGGUUUUGUUACUUGCCUUUUUUUUUCCAUUUUCAUUAGUGUGUGGCUUCUGCAUUUUAGGCUCUUGAAAAUAAUCAUUAUUUUAAGUUAUACAGAAAUGGAUUAAGAAGAAGAGAAGAAAUUCAAUAAUUUAGGAAAUGUUCUGCUUCCCAGCAAUAUAUUUUAUUUAAGUUUUCAUUACACUUAAUAGCUAUUCAUUGUAACAAUUAAUGCAACUCAAAUGUGUAAUCAAAUAUGUAACAAGUACUCCUCAACCUUAGCUAAUCACAUGCCCAUGCAAUGAAAGUUAACAGUUUGUGCAUCCUGUGUAUACUUCUACCCCUUUCUCGAUGUAAAUAUAACUGUAUACAAGUACAAAGACCUUUUUCUUUUUUUGCUGUAGUAGAUUGUAUUAUAUCCUUCCAAAAUUCAUAUGUUGAAGUCUUAGCCCUCAGUACCACAGAAUGUAAGCUUAUUUGGAAAUAGAAUUGUAGAUGUAAUUAGUUAAGAUGAGGUCACUAGGCUGGGCGCUAAUUCAAUAUGGUUGUAUCAUUAUAUAAAGAGGAAAUUAGGACACAGAGAUGUACACUCAGAGAGACUGCUCUGUGAAGGUGAAGGCAGAGAUUAGGGUGAUACUUCUGUAAACCAAGGAAUGCCAAGCUUGCCAGCAGACCUCCAGAAGCCAGGCAAGAGGCAUGGAACAGAUCCUCUUUCACAGUCGUUAGAAGGAACAAACCCUGCUGACACCUUGGUCUUGGAUUUAUAGCCUCCAGAACUAUGAGACAAUGCAUUUCUGUUGUUAAACCACUCCAUUUGUGGUACCUUGUUAAGGUAGCCCUAGCAGACUAAUAUAUCUGCUUUCCAAAUAUAGGGUUAUAUUGUAGAAAUUGUCUUGUGAUAUGUGUUGUUCACUUUAACACGUCAUGAGCAUCUCUUUAGAUCAUGUAUUUUAAACAAGGGGAUUGCCAUGCUGUGAACAGGAAGGUGGAAUGUGGAGCUGGAGCUGCUCAAGGCCCCCUUCCUUGGAACAGGCUGGGUCUGGGAAGCUGUAGAAGUCAUGGAGUAGUUCUGGCUAUGGGAUGUGACCAACAUGGGUGCUGGCAUGGUGGGCAGGGACUCAGGGCAGCUCUUCACUGUGUAACUCCUGGAGGCCCCUCAGGUACCAGCAUGCACAGAGCUUUGCUGUAGGAGAAAAAACAUUUUCUCCCUCACAGUCUGUGUGAUAUAAAUAACAUAAGCACUGGCUGAAUAGCUAGGUCCCUGUUAAGUUUUUAGGAAAAACAACUUCAAACUAAUAAGCAAUCACAUUUCAAGAGUGGAGGAGUUUCCACAGUCUAGGAAUUUCUUUGACUUUCUGGUACUUCACAUAAAACCAGCCCACCAUGGUAAGAAUGCAACCCUCUCUCACACUGAGGGAUUCUUGUUCUGCGGGAACCAACAUCUGACGUAAGUGGCUAUGGAGUUUAGCCCUGUGAACAUUUUCGAGAUGAGUGUCAGUUUGCAGGGAUUAGGGUGAGGAUGGUUUGUACUUUCAGGGGAAAUGGCAAUAUCUAUGUACAGUUUCCACUAACCAUAGUUUCCAUGGUGUCUAAAUAAAGAUCCAAUUUUGAAUGAAUUCUAGGCAACAGCAAAUUGAAUAAUAUUCUCAGGGCAUUUUAAAUGCCUUCUAGGCCCAGCCUUCCCAAAGCUUAAAAAGUUCAUAUGGUAAGUCACAUGCCAGGAAUUUUCUACAUAUUCAUGGCAUUCUUGGAGUGAUUUAUUCAUGAAAUGGAGCAGCCAUGGAAAGCUAGGCAGAUGUUGCUUCUUUUUAAGGUCACUGGUCUGAAGCAGUGUACACUGUGUAUGGAGAUUGAAAUAGGAAGGUUUAUUUAGGGAAAAAACAUAUUUUGCUAGUCUAUCAAGUAAUAUUUUAUUUUUCCAAAAAUGGUAAGAAUUUGGUCCUAUUGAAUUAUCAGCAAAACAUAAGAAUAGCUAAGAUAGUCUGACAUUGAGUUAUAUUUCUGAAUUGACUGUUUAUUUUGACACUUAUGUCAACUCUAUUUGCUUUUCAGCUUUAAAUUUGUCUUUCAGGUUUUUAAAAGUCGCAAGUAUACUUUUAAGCCAUAAUAAUCACUUCAUUAACAGAAUGGGUCCAUGACUAGUCAAUCCUUUGUUUAAGAUUUAAGGAUAUCUUCCAAACUAUGGCAUAAAACUCCUGUGAUUAUGUACGCUUGGCCAUACGACUAGAAUAAAAUGCAUUUAGAUGAUUAUAUUUCAUUAAAUCAAUCUAUAGACCAAAAUCUAAAUAACUCUAUUUUUCCUUUUUUAUUCCCUCAAAAUAUUGUGUAUGGUAGACAAUUCAUUACAUGAGGCUUUGUGAUGCUUAUAACUUCUGAACUAUGGAUCUGGUUUUCUGUAGGGAUGGAGAGAAAGGUGAUCUUUUAAGGAGACUGGUGCCAAGAAGCUAAGGGAACAUUGGAUGUGUCAGUGCCUGAGCCAAACUAAAUCUUUUGCAUUUUGUAAAGUUUGCUAACCCAGUUUGCAAAAUCUGGGCUUAUGUUAAUUGUCUUUCUUACAUCAUCAACCUGUAAUAAUGGAAAAACAGAAAAUAAGUAAUAAUUUGUGCAAUGUUAGAGUAAUUCUUAUUUAAUCUCUGUAAUUAUGUAACUAUAGAAUUUUUAUUUCUUGGCUCACUUAGUCCAUGGAGAUGUUAUUUCAUGGCUAGAGGAAAUUAAGAAAGGUUUUGGAGUAAGCACAAUUUCAAGGAACCAAUUUAACCAUUUUGCGUGGUGCUUAGAAUUUGAGAGUGACACAUGAGCCAUAAAUUCAACUUGGGCUGAUUAAACAUCUGCUAUUAUGGGAUAAACUCUGAAAGAAAAAAAUAAUUAUUUCCAUAGCUAAAUAUAGAGGUGAAGGAAGGUGUAUGAGUGAAGUAGCAUGAUAGAAACUUUCAGGCAAAGGAAUUCUAUUUUGCCUUAGAAGAACCCAAUAGUAUAAAAUCCAUCAUGAGAAAAUUUGAGGUUGCCAUGUAAUUCAGUCUUCCAUUUUCCCACAAUAUGUCAUUCCCAUUACUUGAUCUGUGAAAGUGAAAUGAGGCUGGAGUAGGAGAAAGUGGAGAUACUUGGGUUUAAUCAUUUCUAAGAUUACUAAUAUUCUCUGCUUUUAUAUUUAAGUACAUUAAAUGUGUUUUUUAGAAUAUUUGAGAGAAUGUGUCCACAAUAGCUUUUUCUUCCAGAUCCACAAGCAUUAAGUUAAUAUAGGCUAAUGGCUAUAAUAAAUAGCCCCAACCUUUAAAUGGCUUAACAUAAAAGAAGUUUAUUUUUCUUUUGUUUCAUAGUUCUAUAUGAAUCAGUGUAGAGCUCUGCUCCAUGUGGUCACUCAAGGACCCAGGGUCGUUCCCUUUUGUGGCUCCACCAUUUGCUAGGUGCUCGUCUUCCUCUGCAUUCAGCUGCACACAUGGGGAGAGUGAUGGAAUGUGGAGAAGGCAUAUUCACUCUUAACUGCUGUGCCCUGGAGGUGAUGCACUUCACUUCUACUUACAUUGCAUGGCCUGGAACUCAGUUCGAUGAUUUUCUCUAAUUUCAAAAGAGGUAGGAAUGUAGUCUGACAGUGGGACCAGAAGAAAAUACUCUCUGCCACAAUAUGCAGUAAUUUUCAAAUAAAUAUAAACGAGUGAAAGGAACUUGAUAUUAAAGACAAUAUAAGAUAUAUUUAAUAUUUAGGUUUUACAGUGCUUAUUGUUAUGAAUAUGAAGUCUGUACCAUAGGUUCAUUCAUUUAUUUAUUCAUCAAAUAUUUACUGAGUGCCUGCUGUGUGCCACUGUGCUAGGCACUGCUCCAGUGUGAGCCAGAUGGUCAUAGUUCCUGAAUUCAUCAAGCUAACAGUUUAAUGGCAGAGACAUAUGCUAAUUAAUGUAUGAUUUCAAACUAUCCAGAUGCACUUUUGUGGUAGUUCUGGGUAGUACAAUGCCACAUGAAGAAUGUUCUCUCGAUUUCCCUUUAAAUAUCUUUGUCACUUCUCAUCAUAAUUUCUCAGUUAUUUAAUUAAUUUUGUAUUUCUCUAUUACCAUUUCUUCCAUUUCUCCAGACUCAGUCAUUUUCAGAGUAUGUAGUAGAUGAUUGUCAUUCCCUAGGGAUUAUUAGUGGAAAUGGAGGGUUGUCUUUACUUGGAGUUGAGUUUGAGCCAGUUGUGUCAUUUUAUACCCUUUGAUAAGUAUUUUUAAAUGAAAAUCCUUUUAUUUUAAUCCCUUUAUAACUCUUACUGUGAACAUAUAAAAAAUGUUCUAUUCUGUAACUUGGGCCUCUUCUUGCACAAAACAACCUUAAGAGGUGAAUAACUCAAACUGCUGGGACAGCCUACUGGUGAUUCUGGCAGAACAAAGCCUGUCUGGGAACGGGCCAGUCAGCUUCCUACCCUAGCACAGGUGCUAAGAAGCCUCACAUGACUGCGUCCACCCUAGACACAACCCGCCACAACUGCUUUAGGUGAGGUUUUCUCAAGGAAUGCCCCAGCGUGAGAAGGGAUUCAAGGGCAUUUUUCCACAGCCCAUAACUCUACUGUCUGAUUUCACUAUUAGAACAGGGAAGGUUGUAUUAGUCCAGUUAGGUAUACAAGUUUGGGAAUGGGUUAGCAGUUUGGUUGUCUGGUGCCUUUUAUUUUUGGAGGUACCCAGAUAUGAGGAGACAUCCCCAGGUAACUAUAUAAUAAGGGAAAGAUUGCCUUUUCUCAUAGACUCUUUCUGAAUGUGUCCAGUCUCCCCAGGGUGGAGGGGCUUGGAAUGGGGGUGGGGGCAGCUGUGAUGUUGAGUUCAAAAUUAAUCGAUUCUCUCUUGAGGUCCCAGCAGCCUGGAGGCAAAAUUGGAAUCUACGAAGAUUGCUAGAGAAUCUUCUCUCUGGGACCAAAUGAGAAACUAAAUUUACAAUAAUCCUUUAAGAAGAAAAAUAAUCCCAAGGGCCUUUGAUCCUUGCUGUGUACAAUUGGAAUCACCAUAGAAUAAAAAAAUCUUAAAUAUGAAGAAUUCAGUGACCUCAAACUUUGCUGAUGUUCACAGCUGACACUGAAUUCAAACAAAAUAAGCAAACCUUAGAAAAAAGAAGCCCUCUGCAAAAAUGACCUUAAGAUGGUGGUGAACUCCCCUUUUUCAGAAAAGCCAGAAAUGAAUGAAACUAUAGCUUAACUAUUAACAUUUCAUCAUGAGCUUUGUCUCUUUGACAUAUGGGAAUUAUCAUUUAUGAAAAGAUGCCCAUCUGUAAGGAAUGAGAUAGACUAUCUGUGGAAUAUUAAAGGUGAUAAGACUAUGUCUGGUAUUAAUUGAAACAUUUUUGGGCUACAUCUCAUCUCCAGAGAAAUAACUUUUUUCUGUAGCUUCGAGAGUUGCAGCUUACUUUUAUUACAUUUAUAGGCACAUACACACGCACAGACACACACACUAUAUUUAAGUGAGGGAAAUGGGAAUUCUAGUACCUGGGAUGUUUAAAAGAUGUUUCCAAUAAAAAGUUUAAAUUCCUUGGAUGUUUCUUAGGUAUUUUGGGAAAAAUCAAUCACGUGGUAAAUGGCUUCAUAUUGGAAUAAUAUAAUGGUUGUCAACUUGCAACUACUUCUGUCAAAAAUUAAAUGAUAAACGUUUUCCAUUGGAAUUUUUUUGUUGCAAGGGAUUUUUUUAUUUUCUUUUUGUGAAGAAGAGCCUUUCUAAAAUCUAAAGUAAAAUUCAGAAUAAAAUCUUUCUGAGUGUGAAGAGACUAAAUUUUAUUUGGUAUAAAUAUGGUUGCUGUUUUUGUUUAAACAAGACUGUUAAAAUCUAUGUUUGUCCAGUAUUUCUGGGGCCCUAAAGUUGUGAUUUUUGCUCAGAUUAUAGGUUAUCAUCAUCAUCACCAAUUGGGACGUUAAAGGGGGGAAAAUGGAGACGGCAAUGCAGGUUUUGUUUUUUUUGAUUUGUUUUCUUAACUUUUCCUUCAGCAUAAUUAAUUCCUCUCUGGUUUCUUGAAUGUUUUCUUUCUUUUUUUUUUUUUUGAAGCACAUGUUAUAUGAUUUUAAAAUUUGUUAAAAAGUUUUGUUACUUAGAUGACUUUGUAAAAUUGUUUGCUAUCACUAUUCCUACUAGAUGUAUUAUUUGUGGGUCUGUAGAAGAUAUUAUGUAAACAAAAAUCUGAUAUGGUCUAUGAUGUGUGUGUGUAUGUAAUGUGUGUUUGUGCAUAUGUAUAUGUGCAUGUAUGCAUGUGCACGUGUGUGUGUGUGUGUGUGUGUGUGUGUGUGUGAUUUCUGGUAGCUAAAGCCCAAAAGUGGAAAAUUUAAUUUUUAUAUUUAUUGAUAUCCAUUGGCUGUCAGGUGAUGGCCAAGUCUUUUGAAUUAUAAACUUUUGUAUGUAAGUUAAAAACAUUUACAAUAAUCUAUAGAGCUUUUUUUCAAAUUGCUCAAUAUUUAGGUUUUCUGCUUGCUGGUUUAGUCAACAGAAAAUCUAGUCAGAAAGGUCACGGAGGCUCCUGAAGUGGACCAAGGAACCUCUGUCAUAAACCCUGAAGGUGAGUCCGCACAUGAAACCUGCUCUUCCAUCGGGCACUGAGUUUCCUCAGACUCAGGAAGGUGUCCAUUUUCAGCCAGCCCCUUGAAGGAAGCAGUGCAGUGGACUCUGGCUUUAGAGCUGAAGGCCUGGUUUUGAGAAUUGCAUCAACAUUUUUAUUAAUUGUAUGUUUUAGAAAAUGUACUUAUUUUUAUUUCUUUUCAAUUGAAUAAAACUUUCCAUAAACCAUAGAUAAUAACUUACUGCACAGAAUUUUAUUAGGAAUGAGUGAAACAAAGGUGGUAAAAGUAUGAUAAAGUUCUCCAAAUAUGCUAGGUGGUGGUGGUGUUUUUUUGUUUGUUUUUUUUUUUUUUGUAAUAUCACCUCUUCCAUUGGCCCUGUUUGGUUUCUAUUCAUUUACUCAGCAGAGAUAUAUUGAAUCCCUACCAGUGGCAGACCCUGAGCAGGUCCUGGGUUGUAGUGGCCACCCCCAACCCAGAGCUAAUGGUCCAGUGGGAAAUCUGACUGUAAAGAAACACAUUAGCCAAUACAUAGUCAUGCCUGGUGAUAGAAGCUAAGGUGGAAAAGUGAUCGGUUUUAGGAGAGAGUGUAAUAGAGACUUAAUUUGGAUCAUGAGUCAGGGAAGGCCUGUUUGAGGAACUGACAUUGCAUUUGAUGUUGGAUUAUAAGGAAGCCUUGGGUGGAUGAAGAGCAGGCAGAAUGUCUUCUCAGUUGAGGAAACAUUAAGUGCUAUUACUCUGGGAUGGAAAGCAAGUUUAAAAGGCUGAAGGGAUACAGAAGCAGCCAGGCAGGAGUGGCUGAAGCAUAGUGAAUUGGAGGGGCCCGGGGGUUGAAUGACAAAGGAUAAAUCUGCAAACACAGUCAUAGUCUAGACCAUAUUAAAGGUUUGGGUUUUAUUGCAAAUUCAGUUGGAGGCCAUUACAAUAUCUGGAGCAGGUGAGUGGCACAAGCCGAUUUAUGUUUAAAAGAGUAUAAGCCCUAAAUAUAAGCCAUAUCAAGAGCCAUGCUGUAAUAUAGAUUAUUUAGAAGCUUAAUGACUCUUGUAGAAAUAUAGAUGCUCAUCAUAAACAUUCAAACAAUUUAUGAAAGUCCACAAAGGAAGGCAAAAUUAAUUGUGAAUACCAGGCCGGGCACAACGGCACAUGCCUGUAAUCCCAGCACUUUGUGAGGCUGAGGUGGGUAGAUGACUUGUGGCUAAGAGUUCGAGACCAGCCUGGUCAACAUAGAGAAAACCAAUCUCUACUAAAAAUACAAAAAUUAGCCAGGUGUGGUGGUACAUGCCUGUAAUCCCACCUACUUGGGAGGCUGAGGCAGGAGAAUCUCUUGAACCCAGGAGGUGGAGACUGCAGUGAGCCAAGAUCAUGCACUGCACUCCCACCUGGGCAACACAGUGAGACUCUGUCUCAAAAAAAAAAAAAUUGUGAAUCCCAUCAUUCAGAGAAAAUCACUCUUAACAUUUGCACACAUGCUUACAAUUUUAUAUAUAUAUAUAUUCAGAUGAUCAAAAAAAUAUUGUUUUAUUCUCCAGUGACCUGAAUAAAAACUUCACAUAUUGUGGUCUUAUUUCCAUGACAAUAGUGAGACACAUCAAUAUGUCUGAUGGAUGCUUAGCUGUGAAUUACUCUAAUUGGUUUAGUCAAUUCCCUAUUGAUGACUUUCAGCUUUUUCCCAUUUGUUGCUAAUAUACUGAUGUGGUGAAGCAUCCUUGUGAAUCUUUUGUGCGUGGAUAUAUUUCAUAUAUGCAAUUACCUAAUUAAAGCAAAUAUCUAAAAGGGAAAAUGCUGGAUUAUGGACUUUGUACAUUUGAGGUUUUCAUGCCUGUUGCCAGUCAUCUGCAAUUUACUUUAGGAAAUCAUGUGAAGAAGAAUCAGAAUUUUUUUCUUCUCUAGAUGAAGAGUCAAUUAUCUUAUUCACUGAAAAAGUAGGGUGCAAUUUUAAAGCAACACAAUUAUCAAUUUUACUCUUCGCAAAUUUAAGACUUCUUUCUCUCAUUCAUUUUCCCUGUAUACAGGCCCAUUUCUCUCACUGGACUAUAAACUCCUUGUAAUCAUAGUAAUGUAAGCUUUUGGUCAAUCCCAAACUCCUGUCCCAGCUUGGACUACUUGACAGUUGUACAACCAAAGGCAAUGGAUUAUUACAGUGGCUGUCGUUUAUCUUUAAAAUACUUCAGCAUAGACGAUACCAUGGAUACCAUGUGUGAAUGAGCGUAAAUUGGUUUUAAUCCAUGCCUAGUUAACAUGUAAAAUAUCCUAAUUCAGAGUACAUGCCACCAGGGAUGCUUAGUUAGCAUGUGAAAAACUGUAGUCAGAAUUUCACUUUCUGAAGGCGUUGGCUACAAGCCUUCAACUACCACUAUCUCAAUUCACAUUAGAGUGUUUUCAAUUAAUAUAGCACCGUAGAAAUUCUAUUUCAUUGGUGAAACAGAUAAACAGAUUCUGUACUAGAUAUGUGGAUUGGUAUACUGUGAGACAUGUGAGAGGCCUCUGGCACAUUUACCCUCAAUGCAGACUUAGAGGCACUCGGGUCCUCCAGUUCUUCUCUGUGCCUUCUGCUGUUGAGAAUUUCUGAUCCAAAUCUGAUGAAAAUAGAAGCUCAGUUGAAUCCAGCUUCUGUGAUAUUGCCUUACUAGUCUGGAGUGGCUUUUUCAUGCAAAGCCCUCUCUUAAUAGUCUAAUGGGCCAGAGGUGGGACAAGAUCAAUCUUCCAAAAAUAGGUUUUACAAUGGUUUCUGUAGACACUUGGUAAUAACUGUUUGGAAGGAUUGCUGAAUAUGGUCUGAGACUUGCUUUCUUUGUACCAUACAGUAACCUGGAACAAGAUAUCUACCAGAAAGAAUCUGCCAGCUGUACAGAUCAAUUCACAAUGCUGGGAAUACCUUGGAAGUCACUUUCUUUCUCUCUUUUUAUGGAAGCAUUCAGCCAGGGGACCUUCAGCUACUCAAAACUGCUGAGCUGCCUUGUAGCCUUGGGCAGGCAGUUGGCUGAAUUGAGGUUGGUCACAGAACUCUCCCUGUGCUCCAUUCUUCUUAAAAUAAAAAGCUCAUACCAAAAAUCAUGGCAGGUAUGCAAAUAUUACUACAGUUUUCAUGGGGAGAUGUGAUUGUCAAGUCACAGGCAGAGCUUAAGCAAGCUUCCCUUUAAACACCGUUCUCUCUCGCCAGUCUUGUCUCCACCCUCUCUCUUCCCUUUCUCAUUUUCCAUUUACUGUUUGAUUUUCUUUCCACUUUCCUAUUUUUAUAAGGCCUCAAAAAUCCCAUUUAUUUAUGGUCCACACCCUUGCAGUGAAACUAAAUUGUUGCUCAUAAAUGCCCAUUGGCACCAUGGAACUAUUCUUGUAUAAAAGAGGAGAACUGGAGUUAUUUCAUUAUUUCCCCUCAGGCAAGAAAUUUCAGAACUAUAGAGCAUUCAUUCCGCACGCAGGGCAUGUUUUGCCCAGAAUUUUGCUUCAUUGCUGCUCAGCCCACCAUGAAGCCCCCUUAUGUUGCCUCCUCACAUCUUAGGGCAACUAAAGCCUGUUAGCAGUGUUGAAAACAGGGCAAAGGAAAUAUGUUCCAGGGAGGGGAAGUAUUUCCCAGGCCGUAGAGUCUGCAUUCCAUUUCCUUGAGAGUGGUGUCAGCAAACAAUUCAGAGUGUGAAAAAGACAUUUUGUAUCAUGUUUACAGGGCCCUUGGAUGCACUUUUUUAAUUUUUUUUUAUUUUUUAUUUUUUUAGGGGUAUGAGCUUAGCUGUCCUUAAGAUCUUUUGAUUAGCAUGUGGAGACCAAGCCACUUUAGGCCCGGCCUAGUGCAGUCUGUAAAGAACUGACCAUGGUACGAAUAUUCCCUCCUUGACUCCUGCGAUAUGCUUUAACAUUUUAAUUCCGUGCUUCUCAUGCUCACAACAGUGACUUCUCAUGAACAGUAGGCAUCUCACGAAGUGCAGUAUGGUUUGCACUUUAAUUAUAAUAGCUACAUUUCUUGACCACUUGGGUUCUUUUUGUUUCUCCUAACCUCACAAGUUGGAUAAUAUGUAAUGUGGGGAGGGUGUUUGUUCUAGUGGUUAAGGACACGGGGAAAGAAUCCUGAUUUUGCCACCCGCCCACUCUGUACCGUUUGAUGAUUGCAAACACUUCUAAAUCUUAGUUGCCUCGUCUGUAGAAUGGGUGUAUUAACAAUACUUACAUUACAGGAUGGUUGUGAAAUACAAAUUAGAUAAUAUACAUGAAACAUAUACAUAAUAUAAAUAAAGUGUCUGGUAAGUAAUUCAAUAAAUGAUAGUUAUCAUCAUCUUCAUCACUUAAAAUGACAGAGUUGGGAAGUGGGAUUCCUGGGAUUCAAACCCAGACCUAACUUCUAAGCUUAUGUAUUUGGGAUUGUGUUUUAUGAGAAAGACAACAGUGAAUCAGAGCUAACAUUUCAUUUUGAGCUCUAGAAAGACUUGCUGGGUACUGUCAUAAGCACACAGACUUAUUAACCUCUCUUGUAGUCAUGACAACCCUAUGAGAUUGGUAUAACUGUCAUCAUUUUCCACAUUUGGAGAUGGAGAAACUGAGGCCCAGGGAGGUUAAGUAGCUUGCUCAAGAUUCCUGCUGCUAAGUGGCAGUAGCGAGCCACCACCUGCCUGGAGAAUGCAGGCACUGAGCCACUUGCAGUGCUCUGCCACCUUUGUGAGUCCCAUUCUUGGACCGGACACUUCAUUGCUCAGAAUUCUUUCCUGAAGUAGGGAUGGUUUCCGUGCAGCAUGGUGGAGUUCUUGCAGUGUGGGAGCCUGAGCCAAGUAAGCAGGCUUCAAAAGUUGGCAGGACGGUGUCCCAGGGUUCUCUUAGCAAACAGAAAGAAUUUACCCUCCUGUUGGAAAAAAGAAAGAUGGGGAAUUCAUGGAACACAAGUUGGGUCCAAAGCUGGUGGCCACUAGGGAAGGGAAAUUUUGAGUAGAGUUAUCUUGUCAAUUAAGUGGAUUUCUCCCUGACUUAGCUUGGGGCUAAUGCCUGCAUGGGAAGCAGGGACCAUGUAAGACAACGAGAUUAAUAACUCACAUUUAUUACAGCUCUGUAUGAGUCAUCUUAUAUAAUUAUCAUGACAAACAUUGAAGUAGUUGUUAUAUUUGUACCCAUUUAUCAGAUGGGAAAUCUGAGGCACAGAAAAGUUUAAACUUGUGCCCGUGGUCACAGUUCUGGAGUGAGGGUCUUGACAGGCAGACUCCAAAGUGCUCUCCAAUUCUGUGGAUGUGAUGAUGGCACAGUGAAGCCACUCGGACCACAAAGCAUCAGAGCAACCACGCCAUGAGGGACAUGACUUUUCCAAGCAAGCAUUCCAAGGAAUUUUCUGAAAGAGCCAGGAAUUGACAUGGAGGUGGGGAAGUUUUGCACAUUCUGAGGUCUUAUCAGUAAGAGAAAUAACUAAAUUAGCUGAAUAAAGCUUUCCCUUUGUUUCUCUUCCAUUCCAAGGUGGUGAGGCUUGAGGAAACAUGAUAGAGAGGAAAUGAUUUAGUCAGAGGUUGUACAUGGAGAAUCAUACUUUUGUUUUCCUCAAUAAGGCCAUGCCAUCAGUAGAUGAAGCACUUUAAAGAGGGCACAUCCUAUAUAUCUUUCAACUUUCAGGGAGAAAAUGUUUCUGAGAGUAGAAAUUUCUUUUUUUUGUUUCGAGAUAGAGUCUCGCUCUGUCGCCCAGGCUGGAGUGCAGUGGCGCGAUCUCGGCUCACUGCAAGCUCUGCCUCCUGGGUUCACGCCAUUCUCCUGCCUCAGCUUCCCGAGUAGCUGGAACUACAGGCACCAACCACCACAUCUGGCUAAUUUUUUUGUAGUUUUAGUAGAGACGGGGUUGAGUAGAAAAAUUAUAAUGGGGAUUCUGCUAUCCUUUGGGAGGGAAAUGGUAAUAAUUUAGUGAUGUGGCUGGAAGGAUCAUGUUUCUUUUCUCUGAAGCAUCAUUCUGACUUAGGGGAGUUCUUAAUUAUUAAGAUAAUGCCAGACCAAUAAACCAGCUAGCCCUAGUGUGGUCAAUAAUAAUUCUAUCAGAAAAGCUUGAAAUCAUUUGCUGUUUGUGAUUUCAUAGCAAAUAAAACUUUUCCCAUCAGGUGUUUUAAAUAACAUAGUUUGACUCCAAGGUCUGCAUACAAUGUUUUCUUUAUGCUAAAUUAGUUUGCUUAAGAAGUGUCCAAGAUAGGUAAAGUGAAAAGCAUUACUCCCAAGAAUCAAACCAACACAACCACUUAAAACCUAAUAAAAAUGUAUUUGACUAAGACAGGGAAUAGAACCUCAUUAUUCUAGCAAAAGUUUAGUUUGUGUUUUAUUUCACUUAGCUUCAUCUUUCUGUGGACCAUAAAUAAGAAAUGCCAAGUAAUAAAUACACUAUACAAAAUGCAUUUUAAUAAUCCUAAAGGGCUUCAUUACUGUGGUUACAACCUGCAGAUGUAAAUUAUGGCUGAUACUCUAGCCUUCAUUUAUCAACUUCAGAGGUUCUGUUUUUUCUGCUGUAAAUGCUAUAGGAUUAUGCUAACUAUUUACAGAAUAAAUUAACUUGAUGUAGCUAAAUGGAAUUUCAUUGCUUUUAAAUAUCUAAAAGAUAAUAUCAAAAUCUUCAAGGAAUAUAUCAUAAUACAUAAUUUUGUGUGGCUUUGGAUUUUUUAAAACUGAAAACAAUCCAUACUGCAAGGUAAUAAAUUGGGAAGUUACCCAAGAGAAACCAAACAGCUGUUUUCAAUAAUGCAGGUAAAUUCUAGUCAUAGGAAAAUCUCUAUUACUGCCUGAGCUAUUGGAAAAGUUUUGUGCAUUAAACAGGCCUUGAGACUAGCAGAGAAAUCCCUUAUGCAAUCUAGACCCAAACCACUGUUCUUUUUUUGUUUUGUUUUCUGGUCUUCAUUUUUACCUUCCAUUUCAGUGAAUCUGGAAUUUGGAAUAGGUGGUGCAUCAGAAAAAAAAAAAAAACUAUAUGCCACUGUGUAUUUUUUUGUUUUUAAUCUUUUAAAUUAUUUUGCUUUAUUUAUUUUUUUGUUAUAACUAACACAUAAUAUUUGUACAUGUUUAUGGGAUACAGUGUGAGGUUUCAAUAUAUGUAUACAUCAUAUACUGAUCAAAUCAGGGUAGUUGGCAUGUCAAUCACCUUAAAUCUUUAUCAUUUCUUUGUGGUGAUAGCUUUCAAGAUCUAUAUUGAAAUAUACAAUACGUUGUUAUUAGCUGUAGCUACCCUACUGUGCAAUAGAAUACCCAAAUUCAUUCUUCCUAAUUAACUGUAACUUUGUACUCAUUGGCCAAUCUCUAUCCAUCUUCCCCUCCUUCCUUCCCUUCCCAGCCUCUGGUAACCACUACUGUAUUCACUACUUCUGUGAGAUCAACUUUAUUAGAUUUCACAUAUGAGUGAGAUCAUGCAUAUUUGUCUUUCUGUACCUGGUUUAUUUCAUUUACAUUAUAUCCUCCAGGUUCAUCCAUGUUGCUGCAAAUGACAAGAUUUUCUUCUAUUUUUAGCAGAAUAAUAUUUCAUUGUGUAUCUAUACAUUUUCUUUAUUCAUUCAUCUGUUAGUGGACACUUAGAUUGAUUCUAUCUCUUGGCUAUUAUUCAUAAUGCUACAAUAAAUGGGAGUGCAGUUAUCUUUUUGACUUAACUAAUUUCAAUUCUUUUGAAUAUACACCCAGCAGUAGAAUUGCUAGGUCAUAUGGUAGUUCUAUUUUCAAUUUUUGAGGAAUCUCCAUACUGUCUUCUGUAAUAACUGUACUACUUUACAUUCCUACCAACAGUGUAUAAAAGCUCCAUUUUCUCUUCAUCUUCGCCAGCAUUUGUGUGUGUGUGUGUGUGUGUGUAUAUAUAUACACAUAUAUACAUAUAUACAUACAUAUAUAUACA
Molecule: long non-coding RNA, 118538 nt
Filed under: Homo sapiens (human)
Lineage: Eukaryota; Metazoa; Chordata; Mammalia; Primates; Hominidae
Description: non-protein coding lnc-LYPD6-2:8
Source: RNAcentral